RNAcentral lists this long non-coding RNA (100369 nucleotides) under Capsicum annuum. RNAcentral describes it as "long non-coding RNA (CANN_LNC017513)". Lineage: Eukaryota; Viridiplantae; Streptophyta; Magnoliopsida; Solanales; Solanaceae. The record is from RNAcentral.
CCAAAGGGAAUUUUGCACCAGAAAUUAGGACCAAUACACCGGUUGUAAAGCAAAUGGUAUUCGAUUCUCCGUCAUCUUUUCUACAAGAACUAAACUAUAAAUAUAUCCUAUAGAUAAAAAAGCAAAAUAGCAUACCAUCAUUCACAAAAAAUCUUCUUUAUAACUUCUUUCGCUACAAAAAAGAAAAAAAAUGACUCAUAGAGCCUCGGAUCAAUUUCAUAUUUAUCAACCAUACACAACUAUGUACGAACAAACCGAUCACCAUUUUGAGAAAGGCAAUUCAUCGAAGAAUAAGGAGGAACUCAAGGUGCAUAAACUAAUUGAUGUUACUCCAUAUCCAAGUAUUAGUUACAAUUCGAAUGGAUUUGAGGCAUUUAGGCACGAAAAAGAAGUACAUGUUCGUAAGGAGAAGCCAGAGUAUCCAUGGAAUAACAUCGGAUACGUUGAUCAAGAAGAGAAUAGCUAUGGAAAAUUAGCUUACGAGGAAGAAGAUGAAGAAGAAGACGUUAAUGCUGAAGCAAACGCUUUUAUCAAAUGGAAGCAUGAUAAGUUCAAUCGUGCUAAAUUGAUGUCAAUGAAGUACUUUUACUAGGUUAGAGGCUUAUAGUUUGUUGUAUAUAUAUCAUGCAUGAGCCCUGCUCUUUGUUUUACGUUUAUAUACUAUAUAACUAAGCCUCAAUAUUGAUGCAUUAGCUAAAUAAAUUGUAAUCGGUUGUAUUUGUAUUUUCUUUGAUAGUACUAUCGUACCCAAGAUUGAUAUAUGGCAGACUUAUAAUUUUAUGUUUGUGUAUCAAAAUUAAAUUUGCCUUUUCUAAUUUGUGAGUAACCAGAGUGCCAACUUUUUGCUUCGGUCUAUACGAAGGAAAAUGUUUUCCAUCUUUUCUUUGGAAGUAUAAAUAAUUUUUUAUUUAUUUCCUAGUAUUUGAUAAAUAAAAAGAUAUUAUUUCAGAAAUAUUUUUAUAUAAUUUAGAGAAAAACUAUGAUGAUGUGGUGGGAUGGGGUGAGGUGGUCAAGGGGUAUCGAGGGGUGGGAUUUGGUGAAUGAAACAAUAACUCUAGAAUGUCACUUAGUAUGAAAUUUAUUUUUCAUACUUAGAAAAUUUAUUUUCAUUUUCAAAAAUAAAUUAUUUUCUAAAUAUUUUAACGGACCUAAUAUGAAAAUGUAAAAAAUAUUUUAUGAAACUCGUCCUUUGUUUGUAUUGCAUUAUGCUCCCUUCCCAGGCAAACUUAUCCUACUAGAAUCAGUUAGACCGCCUAAUAGAAUCUAUUGUUGUAAGGUUCAACAUUACUAACAAAAUCUGGAUCUGGCUCCUCUCCAUUUUCCUUUUCUCCAAUUUUCUCAAGUUCUUACUUGGAUUGAAGACGUAUCUCAAUAUUUAAAAUUAAUGGUUGAGAUUUAAUCAGUUAAUCAUAGUUCUAACCAUAAUUAUCUAUUUUCAUAUAUUUAGUUAUAUUUGAUCCUCAAAUAUCCAUUAUAUCUCUUAGUCAGUAUUUUUAAAAAAUUCUUUACUGCCAUGAAUAUAUAUUAAAAACUUUUCCUAGAUAUUUCUUUUUUAAAUUCAUAAUAUAGUUAAAAUUUUAAUUUUUGUAAUUGAAAAUUCAAAAGAGCUACAUAAAGAAAAUAUAUUGAAUUUAUUUGGCACAAGUACAAUGAAUUUAUUUGACACAAAAAGAAAAUAAAAUUAGAAAACUUCAAGCCACAAUCUUUAUUUUUUUUAUUUAAAAAACAUUAUUUAAGAAAAAUGGAAAGCAAAAGAAAAAAAAAAAAAAAAGAAAGUAAAAAUCCAACAGAAAAUUAUUCAAUGAUAAAAAUAAAAUAGUUUAAUAUAUUUAAAAAAGAUAUAAUGGGUUAUUAAAAACAUUUGAGCAAUAAAUAUAUGAAAGUAGAUAACUAUGGUUAGAACUUUGAUUUGAUUGAUUAAAUCACAAUCAUUAAUUUUAAAUUAUGACAUGUGACUUCAAUCCAAUCAAGAACUUGGAAAAAUUGGAGAGAAGAAAAAUGGAGAGGAGUCAAAUCCACAAAAUAAAAUCAUCAAAAUUAAUGACAAUUAAUACAUUUUUCAUUAAUUUAAGAAUUCUAAAUCAACUAAAGUUGAUUUUAGGAAGAUUUGAAAAAUCUAGAAAUAAAUGUGAAAGCGUUAGAAUAAACAAGAUAAAAGAAGUGUCAAAUUUUUAAAAGUUUUAAGUAAGUAAUCAAAGAUUUUCUAAAGAUUUACCUUUAAAAGUAAGGAAAGAUUUUAAAUAUAGAAAAGUUAAAAAAAAUAAUCAUAUUACAAAUAUGAUUCAAAUCGAGGCAUCUCCUUAUUCUCUAGCAAAAAGAAAACAGAGGUACUGCAUGACAAAUACAAAAGUGACAAUCCGUUAACCACUUGAAACUUCUAGUGGUAAAAUAUAUGUAUGCUUACAAUAAAAUAUAUGUUAUAUUUACAUUAUUAUAUUAAAGUGUGAAGGAUCUUUGAGAAGUGAUUUGAAUUUUUUGCACUUCAUUAAAAAUCUUCACAGUAAACAAAAUUAUUUAAUUUUAAAUAAUCAAAAACUACACGUACGAGGCACGUGCGGUUAAACUAGUAUAUAUUAAAAACGUGAAGGACAUUAAAAAUAUUGUUUGAACUUCUUGUCUUUCAUUAAAAGUCUUUGUUUUAGAUAAAAUCGUCUUUUCACCAUUCACCUAUUAUUUUAGUAAUAUUAAGUAUUGACUAUUAUUUCCUAAAAAACAUUUCCUCACAAAAAUAGAAUUCUUUUUUCACCAUCUAAAAAAAACUAACCAUUCCUAACUAAAAGAGGACAACUUAAAAUUUUCAAAUUAAAUAUCCAAAAAAUAAAAAAUUAACCAAAAAAAAAUUAACAAAAGAAUCCUCCAAGCGUGAAACCAAAAAAAUAAAAAUAAAAUAUCCUUCUCCAACAAAAAUAAAUUAAAAUAGACUAUGUAGCAGAAAAUUAGGAUUCAAAAGAUAGAGGAGGGAUAAUUUAAUCUGAAAACAAGGUUAAGGGCAUGGGAGUUCAAUAGAUAAUAUCUUUUUUUAAUAUUAUUUAAUUAACUUUAUAAUAUUAAAUUUUGAUUAUAACAAAUAUAUGAAAAAUUAAAUGACAAGAUUUCCAAAUAUAUGAGAAGACUAACUUAUGAAAUUUUUUGUUGGGUACGUGAGUCCUAAUGUCGGCAAUUAUUAAUUAAAAUUUAUUUACUUUAUUUAGCUUUCCUCCUAACAAUAGAAGACUGAAUUUAAGAGAAAAAAAAAUACAAAAAUCAUGAUUAAAUUUCAAUAUAACUCUAGGAGUCAAAUAUCCACAGUUGGGGGGAAAAAUAUCCGACAAGUUCAACUAAAUUAAUUUGGUGACGGCUAUCUCUAUAAAUAAAAAUAUUACCAUUUUAUAUAAAGGAUAUACUAUAUAUUCACCACGUCCUUAAAAAAGGGCACAGUUAUGCUAGAAGCUAAUAGCAAAGCUCACAUUAGCUGCAAUCAAGAAAUUACAGUCGAAAAAUACUGCUGCAUCAAGUUGAAUGUGAUCAAAUUAUGUUUUAAUAUCUCAUAAAGUAAAUACCAUUACCUGACAUUUGUUGUGAUUGACACAUGACAAAUAAUAUCAUGAGUGUAAAGAUACUUAGAAAUGUGAUCAAAAUUUUUUGUGCUUCAUUGAAAGACUUCACAAUAGACAAAAUUAUCUUUUCACUUAGUUUCUCAAAUUAUUCUUUAAUUAUUUUUAUAAUAUUUAAAUUAAAGAACUAAUAAUAUUAAUUAAGGAGUCCUAAAAUAUAUGGUAAAAAACGAUAUAUGAUUAAAAGUAACAUUCUUUUGAUCAACUGAUCCGUAUUACAUAGUUAGUAAUAACCUAUUAGAUUAGAAAUACAUCUAUAAAAGCACCUAGCUUUUGGUUAAAUUUUAUAUAGAUUACAUCAUAUCUUCGUGCUUCGAUUGUGGUUGUUGCUCCGGUAAGGUGAAGUUCGAAGCAAAGAAAGGAGCAGCAAGUCACAACCAUCUAUUUCAAACCAACACCACCAAUUAAAAAACUAACAACUUCUGUUGUAACAUAUUUGCUAUGUUUUACCGUAGAAUUUGUAUUGUGUCAAUAUCUUGUCUUAUCUAUUAUCUACAUUAUACUUAAUCUAAUGGAUUUUUACUCACAACAUGCAGAUUUAUAUUGUCUCAAUAUCAUACGUACCGUCGUAAGCAUUUAGUUUCUAUUAUAUGUUUUAUUCAAAGAUAUUUUGCAAGUUAAUCUUAAUGUUAUGAUUAAAUACGAUAAACUUUAUGUAUCUAUUUUGUUUGUCUGAUUCAUGAUUUGGCAUCAAGUUAGGUUAUUUGUCUCUAAGGAGCAGAUGAAAGUGGCAUCCGGAUCGUCUCCACGAGGAUGAGAAGCAAGAGAGAAUGGAGAAGGAACCAGACAUUAGAAGAAUGAGUUUGGUUUAUUUUUGAAAAUAAAAAAUGUGUGGUCAACUAUGUUAUUUGCUUAUUUAUCUUGUUUCAAUGUUUGAUUUUUUAAGUGUCUACGAUGACAUUACAUGGUAAAAAAGUUCAUUGCAUUGAUAGAGAGUCUUUAGUGCUUACUUGAUAGCUUUGUGAUUGUUUAGAUUUUUGCAUAUGUAGCAAAAUUUUCAUUAUCUAUGCAUUUAUAUAGCUAACAUGGCGUAUGAAUAUAUGAUUGUGCUUGCUGGAAUUUUUAGAGGGUAUGUAAAAUGACGUUUUAAGAAUUAUUUUAUAUUUAUUUAUGUUCAAAUUAAGAAAUUAAAAAAAUACAUUUUUUAUUCAUUGACAUGAUAUACACGUGCAAAGCACAUACACUAAAGACCUUACAAAAGUACUGUAACAUAAUUUUUUAUUUAGUUACCCACAAACACAAACAAAUAAUAAAAAAUCGAGGAUGAAGUUCAGUCUACGAAGCCUAUCCAUUUGCUUAAUCUAGCCAAAAUGAGAUUAAUCACAUUUCGUUAUGAGAAACUUUCAUAAAAUAAAUAUAAUUUGGGGUUAAUUCGAUAUUUAUAGCUAUAAUUUGCUUAAUUAUAAUUCGUAUGUACAAGUUAAAAGGAGUAGAGAAGCGAAAGAAAGGAUGAUGUAUUUAUUGUAUCAGGUUGUGUCACAAAAAUAAUUAUUUUGUAUGAGUGAACAUAAUUGUAUCAUGUGUAGCAAUAGAUUUUAUUUUUUUGUAGCAAUAGGUUAAUGUUUCCAUCAUUAUUAUACAAAUAAAAUAUCACCCUUUUAUACAUUUUUAUUAAGGACUUCCAAAAUAUAUAAUAAAAGAAAAAUAUAUGAUAAAGGUAUAAGAAAAAUUAAAAUAGUAUGAAAAUAUAUGAGAAAACUAGGUUAUGGAGAAUUAAUGUCAGCCUCAAUAAUAAAAAUGUAAUUCGAAUACCUUUAUUUGAACGAGACUUCAUAAGUUAAAUAAAUUCUGAUCAUCAAAUUUUACAUUGUAAAGUUUCAACAAUUAUUAUUACAUAAUAAUUUCCUUUCCUUUUUAAAUUCAUUUGCUUCUAAUUUAUAUUUAGAUUUAAGAGUAUCUUUUAGGUUUAUUGGUGACUUCUGUCUAGAAUUUUACAGAAACAAUGGUAAAUCAUCUUUUCCCCACAAGUAUGAUGCUUUCGAAACUUUUCUUCACAUUCAAGCAUUCGAUUCCCCCCAUAAUUUCAAUGUUUGAAGAGUUUCUAUCACGUUAAUGACUCAUGUUUUAGAUUUCAGUGGCUAAAGGUAAUACAUAUACGCUCCAUCACUGCUAAAUUGAUUUUAAGUUUUAUUCAUUAUUUCAGAUUUCAAAAUUAUGUGGUCAUUGAGUUUCACAAUAUUUUAUCAGAGUCUUUAAAUAAUUACGCAUUCACAUAUUUCGUGUUGAUAAGCCGUCUGAGAAUGGUCAUGUUGUUGGGACCUCGAAGACAGACACUAUGCAAAAUUAUCUAUUCUCGAUUAUUACAUUAUGUUAUUUCAAUAAAUUCUACUCUUAAUUCUUGGUGUAUGUAUUUUGCUAAAAUUUUAUAUAUUUAUUCUACGGUAAGGAUAACUUUAUUAAUUUGAAGACCAUGAAGUCAUAUUUUCUAACCAUCAAUUGUAAAGGCUAAUUGGAUAAAUGCAAUUAGAGUUUUAAUAUGAGAAUAGUAAUCCCAAAUGUCAAAUGUUGAAACCUUCAGUGUUGUAAUUUAGGAUCAUACUUUGAAAAGAAUUGAAAUGUGAGAUCAUUGAAGACAUCUAUUGAGGAAGAUGAUAACUAUUUUUGCUUAUAAUUGAAACGACUAUAAGUCUAAAUCUCCCAUAUAAAAUAAUCAGUAUACAACUUUUGUUAUAAUUUUAAUUUUCUAAUUUUAUUAAGAGUCUUAAAUUUUCAAGGGUUAUGUGUAUUUGUUGAAAUUGAAAUGAAGCAUGAUAAUUUGUGAAUUUCAAGUUAUAAAAUAAUCAAAGUGGUUAUAAAAAUAACUCAAAUUAACUCUUUUACCAAUUCACCAUAAAUAGGAGUAUUGAAAUUUAUGAGGAAACAAACUUGGUACGAUAGAAGUAAAAAGAAAAAAAGAGAAAAAAUGAUACGUGCAACGCACAUAGUCUAAACUAAUAUAUAUAUACAUAUAUAUAUAUAUAGUACAUUGCACGUGUGUUUGUGUGUUUGAUAUUAAAGAAGAAAAUUGCAUGCAUUUGUUUGUCCAGUGUAUAAAUACUUAGUUAUAAAGAUAACUAACAUCAUUCAAAUAAGAAGAUAAUUUAUAUGAGGUAAUUGAUAUUUUAAUUGACUAGGUUGAAAUUCUAAGUAUUAAAAGAAAAAUAAUUAACUAAUAAUAUUGUCCAAUGCAAUAUCUGUUUUUUUAAGACAAUAAAAAGAAGGUCAAAAUUUUAUUGCCUAAAAGACAUCAAAUGCAUCAAAAAUUGUCCUAAAAAUCUACUUCAUACCUGAGCAAAUUGGACAGUCUAUCACUUGCUUGACACAUUAAAAGUGAAUUACUUAGUCCUUUUUUGAUCAAGUUAUAAUUAAAAAAAUAACGAAAACACAAAAGAGAAGGAGGAAAUGUAGAGAAGUCUCAAAUCUUCAAUAGUAUUUGAUGGAUAAAAAUGGCUAAAGAGAAGUUCUUUUAAAAUUUAGCCGAUGGUGUUUAAAUAUUUUUCUUAAAUUCUAAUAAAUUCUCUUUUAGCCUCAGACAAUACAAUCUUUUCUUCCAUUUAAGAAAUUUGAAUUAUAAAGGGAAUAAAAAAUUUAAAAGGCUAUAAUCUCAAAGAUUAUAAAGACACAAGACACUAUUAUCUAUAAACGAAAACAUGAAUAAAAAUAAAAAUGAUAGUACAAUGUUGGUGUUUAAACAUUAUAUUACGGAUCUUAACCCUCCUUCCAAAAUAUUAACCAUCAAUAUGUUUUACUUUUUCUAAACAGAAUUUGAUGGUAAAUAAGAAAAAAAGACUUGUAAUUUGUAAAACCAUCUCGUACAAUUUUAUGAUAAAAAGUGUAUUUAAUUAAUAAAAUUAAAUAUUUUAAAAGUUAUAUAAGAGAAUAACACAAUAAUCAAUGUAUAAUUAUAAAUAAUAUUAAUCUACAAACUUAACAAAAAUAAAAUCAAUUAUGACAAAAAUUAGGAAAUUCCCCAAAACAUAAACACAAGCUUACGAUGGAGAAAAAACUAAUAGUAGAAAAUAGAUUUGUCUCAAUUUUAAACUUUUUCUUUAGAUGGAAAACAUGCCUGCAAAGAAUUAUAUAAUGGAGAAAAAUAGUUAUUAAAUUGAUAAAAUAAAUUAAAUUAAUUUAAAAAAGAUUGUUUGAUUAUAUUUUGUCUGUGCGAUACAAUUUGAACUUGUACCCAAAAAAAUUCAUUGGAGCCUAUUUUUAAAGACUCGAGGCAUGAGGACGAAGUGGUUGUGAGGUUGGACUCUCAGGAUGUGUGUAAGAGGGAUAGUUUUAAGUACCUAGGUCUAUGAUCCAGGGGAUGGUAAGAUUGAUGGGGAUAUUUCUAACCGUAUUGGAGCAGGUUGGAUGAAGUGGAGGCUCGCCUCGGGAGUGUUGUGAGAUAAGAAGGUGUCCCUUAAGCUUAAAGACAAAUUCUAUAGAGUGGCAGUUCGUCCAGCCAUGUUGUAUGGGCGGAGUGUUGGCUAGUUAAGCACGUUCACAUCCAAAAAUUGAAGGUGGCGGAAAUAAGAAUGUUGCGUUGGAUGUGUGGGCUUACUAAAGGGGACAGAGUUAGGAAUGAGAUUAUUUGGGAUAAGGUGGGAGUUGAUUCGGUGGAGGACAAGAUACGGAAAGGAAGGCUGAGAUGGUUUGAGUAUGUGAUAAGGAGGGGCGUAGAUUCCCUGGUUCGAAGGUGUGAGAGGCUAGCGUUGGAUGGCUUUAGGAGGAGAAGAGGUAGGCCAAAUAAAUACUUGAGCGACGUGAUUAGACAUGACAUGGAGCAGCUUCAGCUUACUGAGGACAUGACCCUAGAUAGGAAGGCUUAGAGGUCGAGGAUUAGGGUAAAAAGCUAGUGUUAGUGUGUGGGUUAUAGUUAGCAGUCAGGAGAGUUCUUGUGUAGCCGGAUUUAGUAAUCAUAGGACAGUGUACAUAAGUGUCUUUGGUAUGUGAGUGUAUGUCACUACUAGGUGGGUGACCUAUUUUCUAUUGCUUAGUUCCUAUUUUCUUAUUCCAUAUUGCUCUUAUUUUCCGUAUUUCAUAUUUCUGUGAUUUUAUUCUAUUAUUUCCUAUUCUAUAUUUCGGUUAUGUCAUCCAUCCCCUUGUUUAUUAUCCUUUAUCUUGAGCCGGGGGUCUAUCGGAAACAACCUCUCUACUUCUUCGGAGGCAGCGGUAUGGACUGCGCACAUCUUACCCUCCCCAGAUCCCACGCUGUGAGAAUACACUGGGUUUGUUGUUGUUGUUGUUGAAGAUAUCCUCAUUCUUAUGAUGUAUUCACUACUAAGCAUCUGCAUAUAGUUAAAUUUAAAAAAAAAAAAAGAAACCAUACAAUGAAUUAAACUAUGUUACCAACAGGAACAACCAUUUAAACAAAAUACCAUCUCUCAUAUAAAGGAUAUACACCUGUGGAUAUAAAAUUUUAACCCUAAGACACAAUACAAAUUGAAUUUUCUCUUUUAAAUUUGUAAAUUCAAAUUGUUAUCAUCAAAAGAAUUGGAGAUGCAGUACCACCAACACCGAACUUAAAGAUAUUGUUGGUUAAUGUCACAAUUCGAUUUACAAGUUAUGAUGACACCUACUUUUUUUGCCAGUAGGUAAGUUGAAUCAUAGCCCGAAGCCAGAUGCAAUGGGCUAACUCGGUGAAAAAUGGUCAAAGCCAAAAAUUUAUAAUUAAAGACUUAAGUAGUAAUAAAACAGUCAUUAUAGUCUAAUAGAUCGAUAUAAAAUCAACAACCAUCCCAAGAUUCAGUAACAUCGGUACAAGAGCUACUACAAGAGACAAUGAGUACUAAAUAACUAAAUAAAAUUUGUCUCGAAAAUGAAAGACUAGACAUAGAUAAAUAGAAGGAAAAAUGGAUAACUCCAUCUCCAAGAGCUCACCUGAUCUUCGAAAAUCAACCCCGCACAGACAUCGAAUUAAAGACGGCAGAGAGUACUCAGAUCUACACCAAAACGAUACAAAAGUUUAGUAUGAGUACCAAAAUUACGGAUACUCAGUAGGCAUCAUCGGCGGACUGAGCUAAACAUGAUAUAAACACGAUAAUAUACAAGGUAUCAAUACGCUAAGUCAAGGUAAAAUGGGCAAAUCUAGAAAUAAGCUCUGAUUUGCUGUAUAUAAAUAAAUAAAUAUGAAAUAGCAAUAUAAAGAUCACCCAAUUAUAACUACAAGAUUGACCCCCAUAAGCCAAUAAGUGCGGAAAAGUAAAUAACCCAACCCAGGCCUCCAUAACCUUGAAAGGUACAAUCAAGGGAACUGAGUAACCUAAUAAUCAUAAGUUACCAAUUAUCAUUCCAUAACUAAGAAUCGAUCCAAACCAUAUAAUAUCAUACAAAAUCACCAAUAUCGUACUUGAAUCAAAACUCAAUAAUAUAUCAUCAUGAUCAUUAUUAGUCGGACUUGAAUCAAACUCAUAUUAUCAAUAUCAUCAUCAAUUGUCAAAGUCAAACCAGAAUUCAUAUUUAUAAGCCGUAUCAAUGGACCAUCUCAACAAGACAUAUCGAUAAACUAACUCAAUAGACUAUGCUAAUGAACUAUAACUAUAGACCAUCCCUUUUACUCAUAUCUAUACACCGAAAUAAAAAUCACAAUCAUAAGUUAUAUCGGUACCCACAUCCAUGUACCUUACCAAUACCGUGUCUAUCUAUUCAUGCCAAUAACUAUGCCCAUAAGCCAAGUCAAUAGUCAUAUUCAUAAGUUAUAUCAAUAAUCCCAUCUUUAGGUCAUUUCAUAUCCAUAAGUCAGUAAUCAUAUCUAUAAGUCAUCUAUCAUGUCUAUAAGUUAUGUCAUUAGUCAUAUCUGAAAGCCAUAUCAAUAAUAUAUAUAUAUAUAUAUAAUAUUAAAAGUGUGAAGACCUUUAGAAAAGUGAUUUGAACUUUUUUUUCUUCAUUAAAAAACUCUGCUUUAGACAAAACUAUAUUUUCACUAUUUUCUUCAAUUUAUUAUUUAAUUUUUUUUAAUUAUAGUAACUAGACUUCUAAAAUAUAUGGGACUCCUAACAUAUAUGGAAGAACAAUCAAUUAAUAUUUUUCUUUACUGGUCAAUUAGAAAAAUACUCCUAAAAUAGGACUCUGUUAAGGAAACACUUUCAUAAAUAUUAAGAUGCACAUUAAACUAGAGAAGAAAUUGAUUUACCUAUUGGAAGAAUAUAAUUGAUGCUCAUCUAAGCCAUCUGAUCAAAAGCUUUGGUUUCGCCUGAUUUAUGGGAGGUGUGAUUGUAAUAAAGAGAGUUUCGCCAUGAAAAUUAUAAAUAUUUAAAAAUUAAUUUCUUUUAAAUGAUAUUUAAAAGUUAGAGUUGUGUAUCAAUAUUUAUAAUCUAUAAUCUAUAUCUCAUUCUUUAGGGUCAAAAUUUUCACUAGGACAAAAAUUUCUAUCAAAAUCGAAGCUUUGUGAUCACUAUUGUAUUGUUUUGUUGUAGUUUACAGGUCGUAGAUGAAUGUCAGUUGGAUUUGAAGAAUUUCUUGUGUAAAAGUUAGAUUUAAUUGUAUUAUUUUUAUAAUUUAUUAUCUUAUUAUUUUAUUUUAAUUUAUAGAUGAAUGUCGAUUGACUUUGAUAAAUUUUUUUAGGUAAAGGUUAGGUUUUAAUUGUAUUGUCUUAGUAUCUCUAUUAGUUUAUUAUUUUGUGGUAGUUUACAGGUCGCAGAUGAAUGUAGAUCGACUUUGAGGAAUUUUUGUAUGUAAAAUUUAAGUUUAAUUGUAUUGUUUUGAUAUCUCUUUUAUCGUAUUGUAUUGCUGUAGUUUAUAGGUAGUAGAUAAAUAUCGGUCGACGUUGAAAAUUUUUUUUAAGGUAAAGGUGAGGUUUAAUUGUAUUUUGUGAUAUCUCUACUUUGAAUUUUUUUGUGUGUAAAUAUUAGUUUUGGUUGUAUUAUUUUGGUAUCUCUAUUUUCGUAUUAUUUUGUUAUAGUUUAAGGUUUUGUGUUAAAAUUAGAUUUAAUUAUAUUGUUUUGAUGUCUCUAUCAUUAAAUUAUUUUGUCGCAAUUUACAAGUGGUAGAUGAUUACCGAUUGGCUUUGAAAAAUAUUUUUGGUAAAAGUUAGAUUUAAUUAAAUAAAUCCUUCAAUGUCCAACUAACAUACUCAUUUAAUCCUUCAAUGUCCAACUAACAUACUCAUUUAAUCCUUCAAUGUCCAACUAACAUACUCAUUUAAUGUAUUCAAUCACCUCAAGUUUCAAACCAAAUAUCAAUAAAGGUAUAUCAUGCAUGAAUUAGUCUACAAGGCUAACACAAGUCUUGGCCUAAGGUGGGUCAGAGGUGCUCACUUCUAAUCCUUAAAUUUCAUUUAGAAAAAUUAUACCCGGAUUAAGCUAAGGUAUCUAAAUUCAAUUCUAGGUGUCGAAUAAGCCAUAAAUAGCCUAAGAUAGCAAUUAUUUCCAAACUUGAAUAACUAAGUAUAUCACACCUAAAUUAGUAACUAAGGCAAAUUCCCUAGCGUAAGUAACUAAGGACAACUCCACCUAAUCAUGAAUGACUAAAGCAAUUUUAUUUAGCUUGAGUAACUAAGGCAUUCCCAUUCUAAACAUGAGCCAUAAAGCAACUUUCACUUGAUACAUGAGUGACUAAGCUAAUUACACCUUAUUUUUGAUUUCAAGAUAGUCUAAAUGGUUCAACUAUUCUAAAUAUUCUCAUUCAUGCUUCCAACACCUAAAUUCCACCUUAUAUCUAGUAUAAUAUUAUAAUCAUACUAAGAGAUAGCUUAAUCUAUGAAGGUAAAGCUAGCCUACCUAAAUGUUGAAGAAAAGCCGGAAGAAUUUGCUAAACUAUCGAUUUUUCUUUUCAAAAAGCUUCUGCAAGGUGUCACGCUAUCAAAAUCACAAUCUACUCAUCAAAAAGAGAAUAAUGAUACCCAUAUUUCAUUAUCGUAAUUCGGAUCCAAAUUACAUAUAAAUUCCAUGUGGAAUCUAUUUACGAAAUUACACCUUCGAAACCAACAUAACGUCUCUCUAUGCUCAAGGAACAUUUACCCUAAAAAAUGGGUGAAUUCCGAGCUCUAAUGGUGCUAAAGUCAAGACACCAAGAUUCUAGAAAUUUUAGCAAAAGAUUUGAAUUAAGCAUGAAAUUAAUAGAGGGUUAUCACAAAUUCAAAGAAGAAAUGCAUGAAUAAUCUCCACCCAAACUCCAAAAUCUCCCACAAUUGUUUCCCUCAAGCUUUUCCAUUUUUUAGGAUUUAAGAUUCUAAAGAAUGAAUGAAAAUGGUGAAAAAUCAUGGUAAGUGGGUAUUUAUACCCUUCCCAGAUGCACAGGUAUCGCUUAAGUGAACUUUAAAUCGCGUAAGCGAUACUUUUGCUCUAGAACACCUGUCGCUUAUCCGAUGAAUAGAUUGCUUACUAGUUAUUUGAGAAAAUGUCGUGGACGCGACAUAGUAUCUAACACGACCCGACUCCGUACCUUGUCGUACAUAGUAUCUGACACGACCCGACUCUGUACCUUGUCGUAAUGGGCAUACCAAAUCUGACCAGGACCGGGGACCGCCUCCUGUUACCCAACCCAACCACCUAUAUCAAGCCUUAAGUGUACUGAAUUUAUAACAUAUAACAAGAUAGUAUUUUUGUUCUCAUUAAGACUCUGGGAUAGGGUCACGACCGUGACUAACUCAAUUGAGUCCAAUCGUACCACACCAACUGCCCAACCAUACCAAACCAAACCAUAGACCAUAAACCAAAAGGAAUACCAAAACAUAAUAUGAAAAUCAAUCCUAAAAUAAAAUAGGAUGGAACAACCAACAAUAUUGUCCAAUGAUGUCAGCCCACCAACUUUUUCCAAUACCAAGGACGAAUCCUCUACUGAUCCCGCCUAUACCAACCCCAGAAGUACCACAAAUUCGGUUGGGACAUGCCCCCAACCAUGGCCGAAACCAAUAUCCAAAAGUAAAAGAAAAAUGUCCAAAGAAAUCCAUGACAUAAAAUAAUGCCUCCCGAAAGGAUGGAAGCUCACCACUUAGUCCAAAUGCUGAUAUCAAAUCCGCGUGCUAAAUAGGAGGAGUAGAAUGGCUGAUUCUUGCAUAGUGUGGGUAUACAACUGCUAGUAGAUGGGUUUAGCGAGUGACCGCUAACAUGAAUCUCAAGAUAAGGAUAACAUAAUGCCAGUUAUAAAACCAAGUAAAACCAUCCAUAAAGCAUACAACUAUACAUAUAUAAGUGUCGAGAAAGGAAAUCGGGUUUAGCAUGAAUUUAAAGCCAUUACCUGUGCUGUGUAACUUAGCUGUCCUAAACCACCCAUGGGCCAUAUGGGUUUAGCUCCCCCUGCUGAGAGGAAUCUAGUGCGUGUAGCCGCACGACCAGGUAAUAUCCCAUGGGAUGACUAGUACAUCCCCCAAUAUAAAACAUGACACACGCACACGGUCAUCAAGACCCCUCAUAUUGGUAAAUAUGAAUUUCUAGUUUUGGCCCUCUCAGGACUGCCACCUUCCACAGCUUUGCUACACACCAUGCUAUUAGUGCCCAAUUAAAAUUAGUUUCUAAAUAACAAAACCAUUACCUAUUUAUUAACCAAGGGCAAUAUUAAUGGUAUCGUCAUACCACCCUUUACUUUCAAGUAACAUCCAAAGCCAAACCAUUUGGGUUAAGGGGACCUUAGGUGACUUUCCAAUUACCAUACUUAAUCCACUUGGGAGACUUCUAUGUUCUCCAAAAGCAUAGCAAUUUAUCCUUUAGCCUUUCCAAACCAUUUAAACCAUCCACAAUUCCUUUACCAAGUUUAAAACAUGCAAGAGUUCCAUUAAAAGAUGUCAAUGCAUUGAACAUAUCUUUACAAGCAUUUUAUCAAAUACCUUGGGAGCAUAAUAUAACCAAAACCAAUUCCAAAAACCAUUAAACCAUUACUAUGUAAUCCAAUUGUCCAAAUGCACCAUUGAUGCAUAUAGAAACAUAAGUAAAAUAAUAGAAAACCAUAACCAAGCAUUCAAUAUCAAAACUCCCAAUAAUAGUUGAAAACCAUAAUCAUGAAAUUAUAAAACCAUAAAAUCAAUCAUAUCAACCAUGCCUCUAGUUGAAAUUACAAUAAGGGAAGAGAAUUAUGCCUUAUACCAAAGAAUUGAUGGAAAGAAAUCACCAGGUCAAGCCCCAAAGCAAUCCAUAAGAUGAAACCCUAGCCUUCUUGCCUCAAAAGCUCUUGAGAGAAUUAUGGAGUAUUUUGGAAUAGUUUCUAAGUGUUAAUGAAUAGAAUAAUAGGGUAGAUAACCUCCUAAGUGUAUUAGAAGUCGUGGGUCCUAGUUAGGGUAAGUAGGGAAAUAUCCAGAAUACCCCUACUUAAAUCCAUAAAAACCCAUCAUAGUGAUACUACUGACCUAUACGAGUCGUACCCUCUUAUACGAUUAGUAUCCACCACUCAUAUUCAAGCCUCAACCCUUGGAUCAAACAUUGUCCAGUACAUAACUCAUCCAACUAAGUCGUAACCACAAUAUACGAUCCGUACCCAUAACCAGUAUCUCUGGCAGAAUGAAAUACCUGGAGGAUCAAACAUUGCCUACCAUACGAGUCCUUGAUACAACUCGUGCCAAUCCUUACGACUCAUAACCUUACGUUGUACCCCUUCCAGUGACCAAAUCCAUCCCAUCAACUAACACUGGUCAGCAUACGAUAGGACCAUACCACUUGUACCCCAACAUAUGGCUCAUACCCAUAAGUCAUAUUGGGUCUGGAGAACGAAAUUCCAGAGAAUUUUCUAAGGGUCAAAACCUAGGAUGUUUCAGUCUCCCCCACUAGGAACAUUCAUCCCCGAAUGAAGGAUAAGGUAGGGGUAACCACACAUAGAGUCAUUUGCAUUAUCAAAUAUCCCUUCAACAAAGUUUGAAAACAAAGAGGCAAAGAUAUUAAUCUUUCCUUUAACAAACUCAUAAAAUAAAGAUGUGUUCAAGACAUAUACCUUUCGUACGAAUCCCAGGAUAAGAAAACAAAUGCAGAUGCUUAGACUUCAUGUCCUCUUCUGCUUCCCAAGUAGCUUCUUCCACCUUAUGGUUCCGCCAUAAAACCUUAAUCGAAGCCACAUCCUUGGUCCGUAAUCACCAAACAUUCCUAUCUAAUAUCUCAAUCGGGACCUCUUCAUAAGACAUAAAAUAUGAAAUAUCCAAUUUUUCCAAAGGAACAACCGACGAAGCAUCACCAAUGCACUUUCUUAACAUAGAAACAUGAAAGAUCGAAUGAAACAAACUCAAGAUAGAUUGAAACUCCAACUCAUAAGCAAUAUUGCCAACUCUCCACAAAAUCAUAUAAGGACCAAUGAACCGAGGACUGAGUUUCCUUUUUUUUCCAAACCGCACCACUCCUUUCAUGGGAGAAACCUUGAGGAACACCCUAUCCCCGACCUCAAACUACAAGUAUCUACACCUAACAUCCACAUAGGACUUUUGGUGACUUUGGGUAGCUCUAAUCCUAUCCCGAAUCACCUUGACCUUCUCUAUCACCUGAUAGACUAAAUUCAGACCAAAUAUGUCCGCUUCUCUAAGCUCAAACCUCCCAGUAGGAGAUCUAUACCUCCUACCAUACAACGCCUCGAAAGGAGCCAUACCAGUACUCGAAUGAUAGCUAUUAUUGUAAGAAACUCCACCAAAGAUAGAUUCUCAACCCAAUUGCUACCAUAGUCAAUCACUCAGAUAUGAAACAUAUCUUCCAAUGUCUAAAUUGUUCUCUCCGCUUGGCCAUCCGACUGUAGAUAAAAAGCAGUACUUAGACUAACCUUAGUCCCCAACCCUUUUUGGAAAGACCACCAGAAAUGAGACAUAAACUACGUAUAACGAUCAGAGAUAAUUGAAAUAGGAACCCCAUGUAGCUUCAUAAUCUCCUAAAGAUACAAUCUCGCAUAAUCCUCUGUCAAAAAGGUAAUCCGUACGGGCAAGAAAUGCAUAGACUUGGUCAUCCUGUCCACGAUGACCCAAAUCAAAUCAUACUGAUUCCAAGACCCAAGAAGAUUGGUAACGAAGUCUAUAUUGAUCACUUCCUACUUCCGUUUAAGAAAAUCAAUUUCUUGAUACAACCCUUUUGGUAUUAUAUGCUCAACCUUAACCUGUUGACUCACCAUACACUUGGCCAUGAAAUCAGCCACAUCUCUCUUCAUGCUAUUCUACCAGUAGAUCUCCUUGGGAUCAUGAUACAUCUUAGUCGACCUGAGAUGAACAACAUAGCACGACUCAUGCACCUUAACCAAAACCCUUUGCCCCAGCCUGUCGGCAUCAGGAACACACGACCUCCCUUGGUACAGUAAAGUUCCAUCACCACUAAUCUCAAACACCACUACCCUUUGCCCACCAACAUCAUCCUUGAUUCUCAUCAAAACAGGGUCCAACACUUGCUUUUCUUUAAUCUCUGCACCAAGAGAUGAUCGAACCACUUCUUGCACAAUCACACCACCAUCCCUAAAGUCCAAGAGAAGAAAUCCAAGAUUAGCCAAGCGGUGAAUAUCCUUCACCAAUUCCUGCUUGCCUUCCUCCAUAUGAGCCAAAUUACCCAUGGAUAACCUUCUAAGAGCAUCAACAACCAUAUUAGUGUUACCUAGGUGGUAGUGAAGACUCAUAUCAUAAUCAUUGAGAAGCUCAACCAACCUUCUCUGCCUAAGAUUAAGCUCUUUCUGAGUGAACAUAUAUUGAAGACUCUUGUGAUAAAAAAAAAUAUCCAUGUAAACACCAUACAAAUAGUGCCGCUAUAUUUUUAAAGCAAACACAACCGCCAACAACUCUAAAUCAUGAGUAGGAUAAUUUCUCUCAUGUACCUUCAACUGCCUGGAAGCAUUGUCAAUCACCUUCCCAUACUGCAUCAAAACACAACCAAGCCCAACCCGAGAUGGAUCACAAUAAACCACAAGCCCAUUAUUGCUUUUCGGAAAAGUCAUGAUUGGAGCCGAAGUCAAUUUAUCCUUCAACUUCUCAAAACUUCCUUCACAAAUAUUCGACCAAGAAAACUUAACCUUCUUCUGAGUCAACUUAGUCAAAGGAGAAACUAUUGAAGAAAAGCCUUCCACAAACCGCCUAUAAUACCCUGCUAAAUCCAAGAAGCUUCGAAUAUCAAAUGGAGUUGUGGGCCUAGGCCACCUCUUUUCCAUAACAACCUUCUGUGGAUCCACCAUGAUCCCUUGACUAGAAAUAAUAUAGCCCAAGAAAGUCAUAAUAUUCAACCAAAACUCUCACUUAGAAAACUUGGACUACAACUGUUGUUCCUUUAAGGUCUGCAAUACCAUAUGAAGGUAAUUAGCUUGAUCCACCUCACUCUUUAAAUAAACCAAAAUAUCAUCAAUAAACACAAUAAUGAAGAGAUCCAAGUACUACCUUAACACGAUGUUCAACAAGUUCAUAAAUGCUGUCAGAGCAUUAGUCAAUCCAAAUGACAUCACCAAGAACUAAAUAUUUUCCAUAUUGAGUAUGAAAAGCCGACUUAGGUGCACCUUGCUAAUCUUAAGAUGAUGGUACCCUGACUGAAGAUCUAUCUUAGAGAAAAAAUUUGGCACCCUAUAACUGGUCAAACAAAUCAUCUAUUUGAGGGAGAGGAUACUUGUUCUUGAUCGUCACCUUGUUUAACUACCUGUAGUCAAUGCACAUCUGAAGGGAACCAUCUUUCUUGCACACAAACAACAUUGAUGCACCCAAUAGAGAAACACUAGGACGAAUAAGCCCCUUAUCCAAAAUAUCCUUAAGCUACUCCUUGAGUUCCCUUAACUCAGUCAGAUCCAUUCUAUACGGAGGAAUAAAAAUUGGACGAGUGUUCGGAAGCAAAUUAAUACCAGUCUCUAUUUCCCUAUCUGAAGGACCACCAGGAAGAUCAUCCAGAAAGACCUUAGGAAGCUCAUUAACCAUAGGGACCGAAGAUAAAAAGGGACCUUCCGGGUUAGAAUAUUUAACUCAGACCAAGUGAUAAAGACAACCCUUGGAGAUUAAUCUCUGAGCUUAAAAUAAGAAAUAAACCUCUCCCUAGGAGCUAAGAAACUGCCUUCCCAUUCUAUAACCCGUUCACUAGGGAACUUAAAGAUAACCUUAUGGGUCUAACAAUCUACAAACGCAUAACAAGAACACAAUAAAUCCAUACCUAGAAUUACAUCAAGAUCUACCAUAUCAAACUCAAACAGAUCCGCCAAGGUCUGCUUACUACCAACAGAUACCACACACCUCCUAUAAACUCCCUUAGCAAUAAUUGAGUCACUUAUUGGGGUAGAAACAGAAAAAGGAUCUAAAAUAACUUCUAGAUUAAAACCAAAAGACAACUAUAUAUGGAGUUACAUAAGAAAGAGUGAACCCUGGAUCAAGUAAACAAUAUACAUCACAAGAGAAAAGAUGUAACAUACUAGUAACAAUAUCAGGUGAUGCCUCAAAUUUCUAUCAGGACACCACAACAUACAACCUAUUUUGAACAACAUAGAACCAGGAUCAGUAAGAGAAGAAAAUACCACCCCACCAGGUGUAGGAAUAGAAGAUGAAGCUACAGUAAUUUUAUUCUCCCCCAUAGAAACCUUAUUUAGCGGACAAUCCCUAAGUCGAUGGCCUACCUAGCCAUACUUGAAGCAUUUGUCCUUUCUUUCCUCUCAAUAGCCCCAAUAAUAACGGCCACAAAAUCGAUAAGAAGGACACAAAAAAACUGACUGACCUCCGCUCGUUUGAGAUUGGGCAACCUAUACCCGAGAAUUGUCACCACCUUGAUGACGCUUGUCUCUUGACUAAUAAGAAGCAUUAGUAGAAAAAGGAGCCAAAAGUCCCCCACUUCUUUUUUUGCCACUUACCACCAUCUCUAUCAUCCUGAGACUGAGCACCUCGCUGAUAAGAAAACUAGCUCCUUUUUCCCUGCCUAUCCCCAAACUCAGCCUGCUUCAUCUUCUCAUUCCCAACCUGCUGUAUAUAAACAGUCAACCUCGAGAUGUCCAUAUCUUUAAUCAGCAAGGAAAUAUUGCUCUCCAUAGUCAAAUCCCUAUUCAACCUAAAAGAAAACUUCCUCAUUCUCGACCUCAUAUCAUCCACCAAAUCAGGAGCAUACCUUGAUAGCCGAUGGAACUUCAAAGAAUAUUCCUUUACUGCAUCCUCCCCCACCCGAGGUUCACAAACUCCUAGCUUUCCUUAAAUCUUGAGGAAAGAACCAACCCAAAAAUGCAUUAGAAAAGGCCUCCCACAACCCUUCCUUUUCCAUAUCACCUCUAUCCCUAUCCCACUCCUCAUACCACUGAUAAGCAACAUCCUUGAGAUGAUAAGAUGUAAAGUUAACCCCUUCUACAUUAGUAGCCUGCAUCACCUGAAAGAUUAUUUUUAUCUCAUCCAAAAAGCCUUGUGGAUCUUCCUCCACCUUCACCCCAUUAAAAGUUGGAGGACCCAUCUUCAUAAAUUGACCAACCCUUGUGGCCUCAACAAGAAAAACACUAGUCACACCCUACUCAGCCUGAGUAACAACUAGUUAGGCAAUAACAUGAAUAGACUGACAAAAUUCUACAUUUUUCAUGUUGCCUUGAGGGACCUGAGGAGAACUAGCCAAAAUAGGAAGAACUCUAACUCUAUCAGGAAUAGGACCAUGAGAUCAAAGAUGUACUUCAGACGUAGGAUGUACCCCUUCAGCAUUAUCCUCAGAUGGAACGGAAGAAUUUACUUGUGUUUCAAAUCUAGGAGACAUGAUCCGAAAGACGAACAAAUAAGGAUUAGAGGAGCUUCAAGGAUUGAAAACUCAAACUUGAAGAUAGAAUACCAAGAGUGAAAUAUUCCUAAAUGUUUUGCAGCCUCUCUUAUGAGUGUGACAUGCUUCAUACCCCUAAAAGAGACUAUACUCGACACGGCUUUGUGGACUCCCAAGUGACCAUAAAACUAGGCUCUAAUACCAACUUGACAUAAUUCAACCCCGGGCCAUGUCGUAAUGGGCAUUCCAAGUCCAACCAAGACCAGGGACCGCCCCCUGUUACCCAAUCCAACCACCUAUAUCCAGUCUUAAGUGGACUGCAUUUUGAACAUAAAAAAAGAUAGCGUUAAUGUUUUCAUUAAGACUCUGGGAUAGGGUCACGACCGUGACCGACCCAACCAAACCAUACCACACCAACCACCUAACCAUACCAAACCAAACCAUAGACCAUAAACUAAAGGGAAUACCAAAACAUAAUAUGAAAAUCAAUCCUAAAAUGUAAUAGGAUGGAACAACAAACAAUAUAAUCCAAUGAUGUUAGCCUACUGACUUAUUCUAAUGCCAAGGCCGACACCUCUAUCGAUCCCAUCCAUACUAACCCCCAAAAGUACCACAAAGCCUUUAUCCAAAAGAGUAAAUAAAUUUGGUUAGGACAUUCCCCCAACCAUGGACAAAACCAAUAUCUAAAGUAAAAGAAAAGUGUCUAAAGAAAUCCAUAACAUGAAAUAAUACCUUCUAAAAGGAUGGAAGCUCACCACUUCAGUCCAAAUACUGAUACCGAAUCCACGUGCUAAUCAUGAGGAGUAGAAUAAAGAGUUCUUGUAUAGUGUGGGUAUACAACCACUAGUAGACGGGGUUAGCGAGUGACCACUAGCAUGAAUCUCAGGGUAAAGAUAACAUAAUGCCAGUUAUAAAGCCAAAUAAAACCAUCCAUAAUGCAUACAACCAUACAUAUAUAAGUUCCAAAAAAGGGAACCGGGUUUAGCAUGAGUUUUAAACCUUUAUCUGGGAUAUGUAUCUUGACCUUCCUAAACCACCCAUAAGCCAUAUGGGAUCAGCUCCCACUGAUGAAAGGGCCCUAGUGCGUGUAGCCGCACGACAAGGAAAUAUCCUAUGGUAUGAAUAGUACAUUUCCCAAUAUAAAAUAUGACACAUACACAUGGUCAUCAAGGCCCCUCAUAUUGAUAAAUAUGAGUUUCCAAUUUUGGCCCCUCCGAGAUGGCCACUUUCCACGGCUUUGAUACACACCCCGCAAUUAAUGCCCAAUUAAAACUAGUUUCUAAAUAACCAAACCAUUAUCUAUUUAUUAACCAAGUCUAAUAUUAGUGGUAUCAUCAUACUACCCCUUACUUGGAACUAAUAUCCAUAGCCAAACUAUUUGGGUUAGGGGACCUUAGGUGCCCUUCCAAUUACCACAGUUAAUCCACUUGGGAGACUUUCAUGUUCUCCACAAGAAUAAACAUUUAGCCUUUAUCCUUUUCAAACCAUUUAAACCAUGCACAAUUACUUUACCAAGUUUAAAAAAUGCAAGAGUUCUAUUAAAAGAAGUCAAUGCAAUGAACAUAUCUUUAUAAACAUUUUAUCAAACACCUUGAGGGCAUAAUAUAACUAAAAUAAAUUCCAAAGACCAUUAAACCAUUAUCAUACAAUCCAAUCAUAAAAAUCCACCAUUGAUGAAUAUAAAAGCAUAUGUAAAAUUGUAAAAAACCAUAACCAAGAACUCAAUAGCGAAACCCUCUACAAUAGUUGAAAACCAUUAUCAUUAAAUAGUAAAACCAUGAAAUCAAUUGUAUAAACCAUGCCUUUAGUUGAAAUUAUAAUGUGGGAAGAGAAUCAUACCUUAUAUCGAAGAAUUGAUGGAAAAAAAAUCACCAGGAAAAACCCCAAAGCAAUCCAUAUUAUGAAACCCUUGCCUUCUUUCCCCAAAAGUUCUUGAGAGAAUUGUAGAGUAUUUUGGAAUAGUUUCUAAGUGUUAAUGAAUAGAAUAAUAGGGUAAAUAACCUCCUAAGUGUAUUAGAAGUCGUGGUUCCUAGUUAGGGUAAGUAGACAAAUGCCCAGAAUACUCCCACUUAAAUUUCUUAAAAACCCAUCACAGGAUACGACUGACCUAUACAAGUUGUACCCUCCUAUACGAUUGGUAUCCACCACUCGUAUCCAAGAUUAAACCUUUGUUCAAACACUGUCCAAUAUAUAAAUCAUCCAACCAAGUCAUAACCAUAACAUACGAUUCAUACGCAUGACCAGUAUCUCUGACAGAAUGAAAUACCAAGAGGAUCAAAUACUGCCCACCAUAUGAGUCGUUGAUACGACUCGACCAAUCCAUACGACUCAUACCAUAAAGUCGUACCCAUUCUAGUGACCAAAACCAUUCCACCCAUUUACACUGGUUAGCAUACGAUGGGACCAUACCACUUGUACCCCAGCAUACAGCUCGUACCCAUGAGUCGUAUUGGGUCUGGAGAAUGGAAUAGUAGGGAAUUUUCUAAGGGUCAAAACCCAGGAUGUUUCAAUAUCGAUUAUGCGGUAGUUCCUAUACUGUCAAGCAAGAUGAUGCGUGUUGGGGUUUGGCAGAUCGCUUAAGCGAUCAAAUACAUCUAAAAGAUCACCAGCACCAGCUCUGCCAUCUCCUCAAGAUUUAUCCGGAAUCUCAAAAUGCAAAUGGACUAUGAUAUCCUAUCAAAUUUGACGUUUCAAACUUAAUGGCGCCGUCAAAAUUUUCAUUCAAGGUCGUUUCGACGAAAAGUGGAUCCCCCAUCCACUUGUUAUUUUUCUUAACUUCUGGCCAAUAUAGUUUAAAAUGAGUCUAGGAGCCUUAAAAUCGAAACCAAAGGUUCACCAAACCUAAUAUCGAUGUUUUAGAUCUGUUGGAAUUGCUAUAAUUUGCAUACGAGGUCGUUUGACUAAAGUUUUUGCUCGGUGGCUAGUUUGAACUAGCGAAGGCUUCAAAAUAGGGAAUUGAAUCUAAAAACCAAACAAACUGCACAGUAAUCAAACUGUCAGUUCCAGCAAGUCAUAAAUGACUUGGGACAACUACAGAAAAGCUCUAAAUAAUAUAACAAGUAAAAAUACAGAAAAUAACCUGGAGGGUCAUUACAAUUAAUAACACAUUAAAAUACAUUAAUAAAUAAAGCGCUGAUGUACUGAAAUAAUAAUUUAUAAUAAUGUACAUGAUGAUACGAAUAAUUUUAACGUAUUUCACUAGAUAAAAUAAACAUUACAAUCAUUAUUUUUGGAAAGACUUCUCUAUAACAUUUAUUUUCAUGGAUAACACACUAUUUCUAAUCAAGAUUUUGCAGUGGUUGACCCAUAAAUGUGUGUUACAUGUUAAUAAUUAACAUGCAGAUAUUUAGUCAACUAUUUAUAUUAAAAAAUAAAUAAAUUUAAUUUAUAAGAAAAUCAUAUCUAUGUAAUGAGUAUAGAAUUGCUAUAAAACAAUUAUUAAAUAUUGACAAUUAAUGUUAUUACUUCUUUCUCAGUUUACACCCAUAUAACCAAUACUUUAUUUAAUUUGCAAAAGAAUAUAAAAGUGCUAAAAUUAUACAAAAGUGUAUAAUAUUGUACAGAGCUAUUUAAUAUUACAUAAAAGUAUGUAAUACAUCCCUACCUACCGAUCAAGAUGAAUUUCUUAUGCCAUUUGUAUAAUUCUUAUUUCAGAUCAGUCUAAAUGACUUAAAAUUUUGUGAACAACCUCCUUGGAGUAUUUUUUUCAAUAGUCUAAACAACAUUAACUUUAAAUUUCUCAAAUAAAUUAAUUUUGAAAUUCAAACUCACUUGUUCAAGAUAACUCAUAUCUUUCUAAUCUAAUUUUUAUCACCCGAAAAUUUACAAGCAUGUACUGUAAAAGUAAGCUAAAUUUUGACGUAAAGACAUCUAAAUUUGAUUGAAACUUUUGCGUGUGUGCUUUUGAUCCAUGUAUAUGAAGAUCACUCCAACAUAAUAUCCAAAAUCUACCAAACAACAAAUUAAUCAUGCCAAAUAAAUUAAUUAGUCAGCAAUAAUCAUAUUGCUUACAAGAAAACAUAUAUAACACCACCUUUUCCUCUCUGUUUGGGAUCCAACCACUCCUCAUGGACAAAAACGAGUCACUACUUUAGAAAUAGUUAUAAGCACCUUGAAGUAAAUUUUCUGUCUAAUCCUUUACCACAUUUUGAAUAGCAGAUGUGGUGAACCUACAACGAAUGAUGCUUUAAAAACUUUUACCAAACAAUUACACUAUAAGGCCUCCAAAGAUUAUUUAGGACUUAGUCGUCUUUGGAAUCUUUAACAAAUGUCGCUCAACCUCCAUUUUGUUCACCAUUGACUUUUGAAACUCUCUUUAACUGUGAAAACACAACAUUAUCAGCUAAAAGGCAAAGAAGAACAAAUUAAAAAAUAAACAUUAACACCUACAACUUUGUCAACCUAAACAAUGUGAAAAAGCUUAUUAGUUUCAUUAUUAAUAAAAAAUAAAAAUCAUUUAUUAGGUAGUCAUAAGGUGUUUAUAUACUUAGAUAUCCAAGAAGACAGUCAAAUCGAUAUUAUUUACCAGUGUAAUAGAACAAAAAUUUGAGGCCUAAAAAUUGCAUAUAUCUGAAAGAUAACAAUAAAUAUGAAAUACAUAGACCCUGCUUACAUGAUUUGAGUAAUUCCAAUCAAUGCAUCAGAUAACAUCUAUUGUGUAGUUCUUGCACAAAGUGUUGUCCACGUAUGAAGCAAUGAUUGGAUUCGCAUGCUUCAUAGUUGAACCUGUAAACCAUAGACAUACUUAUAUUCCAACUAAUUAUAUCACUGAGCCUACAAAUACCCUGAAAAUAAUAGGCAGAAUAUGAGCACGACUUUUUGCCUCUACUAAUCAACCAAGUUUCGUUCAUCAUUGUCAGAUUGUUAGAGGAAAAAUUGAUAAACAAACUAUUGAUGCAAUUAACAAUAUGCAAAUAAAUUCUUUAUAGACUUUAUCAUUUUGUAAUAUCUGUCCAUAAAUAUUCUUAUCAGCCAGAUACUAAUUUCAAGCAUAAUUUAUUAGACUGAGUAUUUUUAUCCAUAUGAAAAUAUUAAUGGAUUGUUGUUUCCACAAAUAUAACACUUUAACUUUUUUCAUUGUAAUUUUUUUAUUUUCUAGGUAGGAAAGAUUAUUCAAUGUAGAGGAGCACUACAGGAAGACUAUAGUUUUUUUUUUAUAUCACUUACGACCUUAAUACUUUUUGUACUGAAAUCAAUGAUCCGGUAUGUCUUGAAAAUAUAAUAAAAUAAAAAUAAACUCAAUGUAACAAAAAAUAUAAAUCUGAAACUAUGACACCAGAAAGUUACAAUGGAGAUUCAACAAUGAAAUUUACUUACAAACACUAAAGAUGUUUUAUUAUUUUUGACCAAUAAUAACCAAUGUAAUAAAAAAUAAUCUGAAACCUGAAAUUUAAAGCAAACCUUCACUUGUAAUAAAUCUUGAAAUCUUUGUUUUCAUAAAAAUUCCUUGAUUAUGUGCCUUUUCGCUUACUCACCAAUCAUGAUGCAGGUAAAUUAAUAAAGUCCUUUUUCUUGGAAAAAAUCAUCGAUAAAAUAGAGAACAAAAAAGAUGGAGAGAGAACCUGAUAAAAGUACUUCUUUUAGUUGUGAUAUGUAAUUUAAUUAAGGGAAGAAUUUGUAUAGAAUACAUUUCAAACUAAUUGGAAUCAUAAAACUUAGAAAAAAAUGUCACUAUCCAAAAGUUGAGGUUAGAAUUAUAUCUACCCUGACCCAACCUUAGUAGAUAAGUCAAAUACUGAAAGAGGAAAGUAGAUCAAGAACAAGACUAAAAUACUACAAAUUGAGAAUUCUAGAACAAAGUCAAGUCACACAUGAAAAUUUUAGUGAAAAUCUGAACAAAAUACAUCAAAUCCCCAAAAUUUGAUGUCAUAAAUAUAGAGUAUCUAAUAAAUACAUAUAAAAUACAAAAAAUACAACUCUCUUUGAAAAUAAAUAAAGACAUAAAAAUAUAUAAGAGGAGGUCUGGAGUCGACUAUGAAAGCCUAGAGCGAGCCGGUACCUCAAAAUCACCAACUAUAUAAUACGAAAUCAUCCUCUGCAUGUCAUACUCAUUCUAGAAUCUGCAUGGAAAGGGCACAAUAGUAGUGAGUACGAUUAAUCAAGAGAUUUCAUAGGCCAAGUGAGCAAAGUAAAAAAUACAAGUAAAUAAAUACUAUAAGCACGUCACCUGCAAACAAAAUAGUUUUCCAAUGGUAACUCACGCCGUCAUUAUUAACAAUUCUUUUGUGUGAGUGUGUGUAUAAGGGAACAAACAUACACGAAAGUACAUCGAAAUUGAUUACACGUCAAGUAACAUAUAAAGGCAGCACAUAAAAUGCAUAUGCAUAUGCAAAUGCAAUUCAAGGAAUGAUGCAAUAAAUGUUUUGAAAGUCAUCACAUGAAUUUUUGUAUACAACUAUUGAACCUUAAUGUUCAUAAAUAGAACCCAUGAGGGGUUUGCAAUUCGUGUACUAUCUCAAAAUUUUAGUAAUCUCAAUCUCAUAAUUCAAUCUACCCGACCAACACAUCCUUUGAUCUAGACUUUUUUAAAAGUGCUAUUUUCUUUUAAAAAUUAGUGUUUCUCAAUGAUACCAAUAUCUCAUGAAUGUACAUGUAUGAAUAAGGAAAUAAUGCUCACAAUCAAUUAAGUAUGAAAAUAACAAAUUCAUUCAGUACGUCUAUAAGUGAGCCCAGAAAUCAACUCAGUAUGUCAAAUAUUUCAUGAUAUCAGUUCUAGUGUGGAAACAUUGGAAUAAAUAACUUGUAAGACAUCAUUAAUAUCAUAUCAAUCCAUAAUUCGGCCAUUUCUAUUAUGAUAAAGACAAAUAAUGCUCAAUAAGGCCUAUAAGAUCAAUUCCCCGUACAUACAUCACAUUAAUAUUAAAAGCAUUCAAAUGCAUAAAUAAGACCAAUGAUGUCAGUUAGACUCUCACAUGGUCUAUACGCAAUAUGUAAUAUCACAAGUCAAUGGAAACAUAAUAUAAGCCCCCACUCGGACAUCAUGUAAUACAUAAUAGCUUCAAAAAUAUUUCUUGAAGUUAUUUUUUCUAACCCGUUAUUCAUUAACUACUGAGCUCUGUCUGAAGAAAGAUAAGACAUAACCUUCCUUAAAGCGCCAAAAUCCAAGCCUUGAAACCUUCAACACAGAGCCUUUCCUUUUCAAAUAGUCUCGAAAUCAACUAGAAUAAACAAAUAUAACAUCUACGCAUUAAAAUAAAGCUAAUAAUACCCAUAUUGACUAUUUUUAAGUCGAAUUCAAAAUAAAUUAAAAAUAUGAGUUAAAAAAUACAAGGAAUAAAACUGAAAUAAGAAAACUCACAAGAAAAUAGGUUUACAAAGAGGUCCAAAUCAAAGAAAAAAACUUUAAAGUUUGACCUGCGAAAAACUCAAAAUUCAUUCGGAAUCAUGAUUAAAAGGUAUUUUCAAAGAGAUAAUCAUUAUGAAAUAAUGGAAAGAUGAGUUAAGUGGUUACCCAUAUGACAAGAAUGAAGAAACCCAAGUAAAAUUGCCUUUUCUGAAGCAUGAAGAUCUAAAAAUAGAGAAAAAAAUGUGAAAAGAAGUAUUUAUACUAUUUUGUGAAUAACAUCUCGCGAUCAUGGACCCCACCUCAAGUUCACUAGGGUCAAUGUUUGAUUGGCCAAUUAAUUGGCCUUUAGAUUCAUGGCCAAGACUUUGCAUUUCCGAUGGUCCAUGAAUCGAACCAUCACAUUUGCGGUAGCCUGAUUGUGAUUGUGAAAAAGGGAAACACCCAACUCAACUCAAUUACUCUUCGCAAUCGUGACCACCACUUCACAAUCAUGAUAAAGGAUUAAUUCUUUCUCCCUAUUCGUGACCUAGGGUGCACAUCAUGGAGAAGGAUUUCACUUGAACUAGAUAUCAACAAUUGCUGAGUUUUAGCAUGUUGAAAUAUCUCAAAAUAGAACCUCAGGCUUUGUUUGGGACCUAACAUAAAUAAUCAUAUGCCACUAGGAUAUUUUCGAUGUUCCAGACUCAAUAAAGACUUUGAAUUUUCAGAAAAAAUGUUUUUGACAAAUUAUUCCUUGAGACUCCUUUUACAUAAAUUUCACUAGUUUUUUUAGGAGGGAUAAAAAUGUAAAAUAAUGGUUUCAAACCCAAACCAACCCUACUACAAACCCAAAUUCAACGUUUCAAAUGCAAUGGAACUAUGUAAAUUGUCAUCCAGAAAUUAGAACAUCUAGUCUUGAUCAAAGUCAACUAUAGAACUCCUAAAGCUCCUAAAAACCUCAAACUCUUCCAAAAUCUUUUCGACAACAUUGGGAAUUGUGUCAACCAUUACCACACCCCAAAAUCAAUAUGUACAAACUAUGGAGAAUGGUAAAAUAGUCAAAUCAUAUGAAAAUCAAAUUUUCACAAAUCAAGUUAUUACUGCAUCCACCACUAAGACUUUAGUUUGUCCUCAAACUAAAAGACAAGAAAAUUCCCAAAUUGGUAAAGAGCUAAUGCUAACUACUAUGUAUAUUGAAAUCUACCUUCGAAGAGCCUUCUCAACAAGGUGGUGUCUCCACUGAACCUUAACCGCAUGAGUAUCUCUAGAAUGCAAUCGUAUAAUAUCUCUAGCUAAAAUAGACACUAGGGCCUCUAAAAAUUUCAACCUAUCAUCCAACUGAAUCAAGUACCAACGAAGUAUGUGAGACUUAUUAGAUAUAUCAAGUUGAAUCAUAAAUACCAAAAAAGCUAGAGGAACUACUGAAAAGUUUAGCGGUAAGGACAACUCAAAAGCUACCUCCCCAAUUUUUUAAAGACUCUCAAAAGGUCCAAUAUACCUCUAUAUAAGUUUUCUCUUCUUUAUGAAUCUCAUCACGCCCUUAUAUGGUGACAAAUAAAGGAAGACUCAAUCAUAAAUCCCAAACUUCAAAGCACAAAGCCAACAGUACACAAAACCAUUUUACAUGCUCUAGGUUGUCCAACGCCUAUCCCGAAUCACCCAAACUCUAUUCAAAGACUCACAAAGAAAAUCAGUACCAUGAGUCUAACCUCUAAGGUCUUAAACCAACAAAUUAGACAUCAAUAACUCCUACCAUACAAUGCCUUGAAAGGUGCCAUCUCAAUAUCCAAAUAGUAGCUAUUAUCAAAAGUAAACUCUGUGAAGGCUAAAUAUUGCUCCCACUAACCUCUAAAGUCCAUAAAACAUACAUGGAACAUAUCCUUCAAAUAUUGAACAGUCUGAUUUGACUUAUCGUUGCUCUACGGGUGAAAAGCUAAGCUAAGGUCAACCUAAGUACCUAUCUUCUCUUGAAACAUCCUCUGGAAGAUGAAAGUGAACAUUGACACCCUGUCUAAAAUAAUAGACAAAGUACUCCAUGAAGAUGCACUAUGUCUCAAACAUAGAUACGAGCAAACCUCUAGACACUAAAGGAAAUUUGAAUAGGUAAAAAAUAGGCCAAUUUGGUCAAUCAAUCUAUGAUGACCUAAAUAUUGUCAGAACCAUGAGAAGUACGAGGCAACCUACUCAUGAAGUCCAUAGUGAUCCAUUCCUACUUUAAUUUAGGAAUGGGUAAUCUCUGAAGCAAAACAUCAGGUCUUAGAUGCUUAGCCCUCAUCUGCUGAAAGUACAAGAAACGAUCUAUAAAGUAUGCAGUCCUUCUUCAUACCACCCCACCAAUAAUGUUGCAUCAAAUUGCAAUACAUCUUUGACACCCCUAGAUGGAUAUAAUGUUUGGAACAAUGUGCCUUCUUUAAAACCAAUCUCACCUAUCUACCUACUCUCGACAUACAAGCUAGGACACCAAUCCUCAAAAUGCCAUAAAAAUCUGGAGAUGCCUUACUAGCCUCGCUACUCAACAUAUUUUAUUGAAUCCCCCUCAAACUAUCAUCAUCAAACUGGUGAGAUCAAAUCUUCUUUAUCAAAGAAAAUCUAGCAUCAAUAAGGCUAACACAUAUCAGAGUGUCGAAAUAGUCAAGUCUAACCACAUAGUUAGCUAAAGACUAAACCUGUAAGGCUAAAGGUUGAUUUUAUGUCAAGAGAUAGACUAAAAUACCCAUAUUAGUAGUCUUCUAGCUCAAUUCGUAUACAACCACAUUACCCUUACCAAGGUGAUACUCUUAUUAAGAUCUUGUUGAUUGAAGAAAUACUGAAGGAUACCAUGAUUUGAGAAAAUCUUAUAAGGAACUCCGUACAAGUAAUGUUGCCAGAACUUCAACAUAAAUACUAUUAUUGCCAAAUCCAAAUCAUGGGUAGAGUAAUUCUUCUCAGAGGCUUCAACUAGCACGAAUCGUAAGCAAUCUCCUUUGCCUCUUGCAUCAACACCUCACCCAAACCAACACUAAAAAUAUCAUAAAAUAUAAUAAAUCCAACUACCUUUUUGAAAAAAGUUAAAAUAGGGGCUGAAGUCAACAAAUUCUUAUGCUUUUAGAAGCUCUUCUUAUAAUCAUCCGACAAUUGAAAAAUAGCCUUCUUUUAAGUAAACUUGGUUAAAAGAGCAACAAUCAAUGAAAAAUCCUCUACAAAAUACCAAUAAUAGGCCGCUAAACCAACAAAACUUUGAAUUUUUCAAUCAAAAAUUACCUCUAUCUUGGUCCGAUCAUAAUACCAUCGUUGGUCACUACAUAAUUUAAGAAAGAGAUUGAAUCCAAUCAAAAAUCAUAGUUGAAAAACUUUGCAUGCAACUUUCCAUCACAUAACCUCUAAAAUACAAUCCUUAAAUGUCUCACAUGGUCGUCCUCAUUCUUGGAAUAAGAUAAGAUGUCAUCGAUAAAAUACAAUAAAAAAAUAGUCGAGAUAUGGUCAAAACACGAGGUUUACUAAUUUCAUAAAUGUUGUUGGGGAAUUAGUCAACCCGAAAGAUAUGACCAAAAACUCAUAAUGACUGUAUUGAUUCCAAAAUCCAUCUUUAGAACAUCCAAAGCCCUAAUCUUUAACUGGUUAUACUUGGAUCUAAUAUCUAUCUUGAAAAAUAUAGAAGCACCCUGAAGUUAGUCAAAAGAACCAUUAAUACGAGAAAGGGGAUCCUUUUUUCUUAACUAUUACUUUGUUUAACUAUUGAUCAUUAAUAUACAUACAUAUAGAAUCCUUCUUCUUUUUCACAAACAAUAUAGGAUCACCCCAACAAGAUAUAUCAGUCUAAAUAAAUCCCUUACUCAACAAAACCUACAAUUGCUCCUUCAAUUCUUUCAACUCAGUUAGGGCCAUCCUAUUAGGAGGAAUAGAAAUUGGUUUAGUGCCUGGUUUCACAUCAAUAGCAAAAUCAAUAUCACAAUCUAGAGGAAUAUCGAACCACAGUAGACAUAUCCAUGAAAUUGCAAAUAACUUAAAUAGAAUUUGUAGGAGGCGGUGAGGGAACUCUAUUAUUGCAAACAUAAGCUAAUUAAGACAAUCACCUUCUUUGUACUAUGCGACAAGCAUGUAGAAAAGGUAUAACUCCCUUCAACCAAAAUUAAGAGUACCCUCCCAAGCUAACCCUGGCAUACUUGAUGUAGAUAAGGUCACAAUAUUAGCAUAACAAUCCAAAAUAUCAUGAUAGGGAGCUAACCAAUCCAUACCUAAGAUAACAUCAAAAUCAACCAUAGCUAGGAUAAUUAAGUCUACCCAAGUCUCACAUCCUACAAAGUUAACCACAUAAGAUUGGUUCAACUAAUUCACAAUUAAAAACUCUCCUAGGGCUGUAGAAAUAUGAAAAAACAUAACAAGGGGAUCAUAUACAACAUUAAAACAAUAAGAAAAAUAUGUAGACACACAGAGAAUGUAGACCCGAGGUCAAAUAACAUGGAAGCAUUCGCUAGAAAACUAGGAUGAUACCUAUAAUAACUAUAUUUAUAAGCUUUUGUCUCAGAUCUGCUAGGUACAACAUAACAUUGACCACGUAUACUCUCAGACUAAUAAUCUUACAUCUACUACCAUGAGCUCUCUUACCUCUACCUCCAGCAGCUUUAGCACCACUUCUUCCAUUUUGUGAACCACCUCUCACUAAAAAUAUUAGAGUAGUAUAAAUCUAAAGUUGAGAGCCCAACUGAGUAGGCACAUACAUACACAAAACAAUCUUUGAAAAAAUGGCAAACCUCCUUAUAUACAAAGCAUCUUCUAUGGUAAGACUCAACAUUAGAGGGCACCAACAAACUAGGAUGACUACCUUGACUAGAAUUACCAAAACUAAAACCUCUACUAGUAACACCUGAUGUAUGGCUACUUGAAACUGCAGAACCUGAAGUUCUACCACCUGAUCCCCAUAAAGUGGCAUAAACCAUCCUACUAUGAUAACCAGAGAAGCUCUACUCAAGAAAUAUCUACCUCGAGAGGUGUAACCACUAAACUCGCCCUGAUGUUAUACCUUAUUAGUACCUCCCUGAGUAUCCUGGGUAAUAGACCCUAUCACUUGGCAUGCUCAAUAAUACUCUUAAAGAAGCCCCUAUAACAACCUUUGGGGCAGUAUCAAAUUGAUAAUGACCCUUUAAACUCUUUAAAAACUUACAAAUCCUUUUUGACUGGAUAGAGAUAUUGGUAAAUAAAUACCUAGAUAGAGUAUGAAAGUGUGCCUCAUACUCGGUAAGAGAUAUAAAACCCUUCUCUAAGUGAUCAAACUCAUAAUGCAUAUGAUUUCUUAAGCUAUAUGAGAAAAACCUCUCUAAGAAGUCCUUAGAAAAUCGGGCCCAAGUCAUAGCAGGCAAACCUAAAUGCCUACAACUAGUUAGAGAUCUACACCAUUUCCUAUCUACAUCUAUUAAUUGAUAGGUGGUAUAAGAAAUUUUGUGCAACUAAGGGAUCCAAGAUUAUAUAACUUCUACUAGCAGUUAAUCAAAAACUCAUAGGUGUUAUCAGCAAUCGAUCUACUAAACUUAGCAGGAGCCAAGAGGAUAAAUCUUUUAAAUCUCUCUUGAUCAUUAUGAGACAUUAUAUUACCUGAAGAAACUGGAACAAUAGAAAGUCUAAAAGGUAAUGAAUUUAGAUACUGGGGUACCAUAGAUGAUGGUUGUACCCCUGAAGUAGGGAUACCAUUAACAAAUAUUAGUACAUAUAAUAUCCCAUGUCUGAAAGCCACUAUCCAAUAUACGACCCUUUUUCUUGAGCCAUACAUACUUCAUACGAGUCUUAUAUAGUGAGUCGUACCCAUAUAAGUAUGGAGUGAUGUGAGUUCUAUUCAAGUUAUGAGUUGACCCUAGAAGCCAUCAAGAAUGGUACGAGUCGUAUAAAGAAAAGUUAUGAGUUCCUUAGUGUAAGCUCCCUAAGGUUAUUUCCAUGAUACGAUUGGUUGUUUCUAAGUUGUAUAGACAGGUAACGAGUCAUAUGUUACCACUCAUACGUUGAUCAGUGUAUAAUAUCUUUGAUUUUGCAAAGAUUAUGAGUUGAUAGUCCUAGUUGUACCCUUACCAUACGAGUCAUAUGGUUGACUCGUGAAGACUAACAAUCAUUUCUGUGAAGUUAAGUUAAAGGGAUUUUUGAUCUUUUACCUUUAUAUAACUCUAAACCAUGACCUAUAACUCCCAAAGAGGAGUUAUUUCCUCUAUUCCUUACUCAAUUAAUAACAUCAUCUCUUCUCCCAUCUUCAAGAACAUCAAGAUUAGGGUUUCUCACAUAAAUUUAUCUUUUAAGUCCCAAGGUUCAAACUCUCUUCACAAGAAAGAAAUUCCAAGCAUAUGGGGUUUAUGAACAAGGAUAAUGUUCCAUUCUUGUACCCCUAAAACAUGAUUUUAAGAUUGAAUUUACUUGUUUUGAAUUAGGGUUCAUACCCAAAUAACCAUAUUCUUAAUGUAUGACACUACUAUAUGAUUGAAAACUUUAAGUUCAACGAGGUUUACAUAUAAUUAUGUUUUGACUUGUGAGAUUUAUAUUAUGAUUUUAAUUUCAUUAUCUUUACCAGGUUAUUGUUGAAAGAUUUCAAGGUGAUUAUUGAGCAUAAUGUUUUAUUUUAAAUUUCUAUGAAACAAAUCAUGAAUUCCAAGUCCUAAGUAUAAGUAAUGAGUUUACAAGAAGUUUAUGCUCUUUAGUUCCAUGUUAGUUCACUUCUUAUGUAAGUUCAAGCUGAAUAGAUAUCAUGGGUUAGCUUAGUAUUUGUAGUCUUAAGCAUCGUGUGACGUCUAGGGGUACUUCUAGAGCAUUACAAACUUGGUAUCAAUGCAUAAGGUUUAAAGAGUCUUAAGCAGUUGGAUAAGCCGUGUUACGUAGAGUCUUGAUUAUGAAUGUGAAGCGCGCCAUAUUUAUAAGCUAGAGGCUAUGAAAUAAGUUAGGAAUUAUCAUUUCCUUCAUGAUAUAUCAUGCUUACGGCUGUUUAUAUCUGCCUUAACUUUUACUUUUACAUGAUAGGAUAUGCCUCCUCGUUGAGCCGAUGUACAUAGAAAUGGUGAUCAACCAUCCCUAUACGUCGAACCUUUGAAUGAGAAUAUGCCUUAUGCUGAAUUUUGGCCUGCUUUUCAAGCAUUUGCCCAAGCUAUGAAUGACAAUGUUUAGGGAAACCAACAGGCAACAAUGCCACUUCAGCAGAAUGGUAACCUAGUUGCAGCUCAAAGUUGGGAUUUUAUGAGAAUGAAUCCACCUGAGUUUCAUGGGUCAAAGGUGGAUGAGGAUCCUCAACUCUUUAUUAAUAAGGUAUGAAAGAUUACUCAUAUUAUACAUAUUAAUGAAGAGGAGAGUGUAGAGUUGGAAUCAUAUAGACCCAAAAAUAUUGCUUAUGAUUGGGUCGUUACAUGGAAAAAGGUAGGGGUGAGAAUGCAACUCUUAUGAGUUAGCAGGUAUUUUAGAAUGCUUUUAUGGACUGGUUCUUUCUACGUGAGAUAAGAGAGGCUAAGGUGGAUGAGUUCAUGAACCUGAGGUAGGGAUCUAUGACUGUGAAUAAGUACUGCCUUAAGUUCACUCAGUUGUCUAAGUAUGUUCUUGAGUUAUUAUCUUACUCUGGAGCUCAUAUGAGUAAGUUUGUUACUAGGGUGUCGAUUUAGUGGUUAAGAAGUGUAGGACUGCCAUGCUGAUUAAAGACAUGGAUAUUGCUUGGUUGAUGAAUCAUGAUCAAUAGAUUGAGGCAGAAAAGUUGAAGAAAAGAGAGAAGAGAAAUAGGAGAGCUAGGAUGGGCAAUUUGAGUUUAGUCAGUCAAGGUCUGGAGGGGGAAACUAUUCCCAAUUUUAGGGUCAUUCAUUAGUGCCCAGACUAUCUUUAGCCAGUGCCCCUGCAUCCAAGACACGACAGGAUUAGUGGGGUAAGAUUUUGAAUUCCAGGUUUUAGAAUUAUGUAGUCGGGAGGCCUAGUUACUCGACCAUAUAAUGUGUGGCAAUACCCAUCCUGGUGAGUGUUUGAUGUGUAAAAGGGGUUGCUAUGGUAGUGCAAAUUUAGGCCACAGGAUCAAGGAGUAUUUGUAUUCUAAGUAGGGAAGUAGGUAUAUUCAUCCUCAGACUCAGAUUAUGAAUAUAACAGCUCAGCCAGACCACCUAGUUCCUCCAUAAGGUACAUCAUCAAGUACCGAUGAUGGUCAGUGACAAAAUUGGUUUUAUGCUUUACCAUCUCGUCAAGAGUAGGAGAGUUCACUGGAUGUUGUCAUUGGUAUGCUUCAUUCUUAUCACCUUGAUGUAUAUGUAUUGUUAGACCCAGGAUCGAAUCUCUCUUGUGUAACUCCAUUAGUUGCUAUAAAUUUUGGAGUAGAUCUUAAAAAUCUUCCCAAGUCCUUCUUAGUUUCUACCCCAGUAGGUGAGUUAGUUGUUUCUAGACUAGUCUAUAGGGAGUAUCCUAUCAUCGUCCUCCAUAAGAUCAUACUAGAGUACUUAAUAGAGUUAGAGAUAGUGGAUUUCAAUAUUAUUUUGGGCAUGGAUCGCUUUAUUCAUUAUCUGCAUCAAUAUAAUAUCGCACCCGUGUGGUGAAAUUUUAGUUUCCUAGUGAAGUAGUUUUUGAGUGAGAGGGCAGUUUAGUGUCUCCCAAAGGUCGUUUCAUCUCUUAUUUUAAGGCUAGAAAGUUAAUAUCAAAAGGGUUUAUCUUUCACUUAGUUCUAGUAAAGAUACUAAGUCUGAAGCCCCAAUAGUUCAAUCAGUCUAUGUAGUCAAUAAGUUCACAGAGGUUUUCCCCAUAGUUCUACCAGGGGUACCUUUAGAUAGAGAAAUAAAAUUUGGUAUUAAUCUUCUUCUUGAUACUCAGACCAUUGCUAUCCCUCCAUAUCAUAUGGCUCCAACCAAACUUAAAGAAUUAUAGGAGCAACUUAAGGACCUCUUAUAUAAAAGUUUCAUCAAACCCAAUGUCUCUAAGUGGGGCUCUCUAUUCCUUUUCAUAUGUAAGAAAGAUGACACUCUCUAAAUAUGUAUAGAUUACAGAUAGCUAAAUAAGAUUACCAUCAAGGACAAGUAUCCCAUUCCUAGAAUCGAUGAUUUGUUCGAUCAACUUCAAGGUUCCCGGUGGUUUUACAAGAUUGACCUUAGGUCGGGAUACCAUCAGUUGAAAGUUAGGGAGCAAGACAUUUUAAAAAAAAAAUUCUGAACAAGGUACGCCAAUUUUGAGUUUGUGGUUUUGUCAUUUGGACUAAAAAAUGCCCCUGUAGCCUUUAUGGACUUUAUAUAAAGGGUUUUCAAGUAGUACUUGGAUAUGUUUUUCAUACUGGAAGGAGCAUUCAGACCAUUUGAUAAUAGUGCUAUAGACUCUCAAGUACCAUUAAUUGUAUGCGAAGUUUGGUAAAUAUGAAUUCUAGAUAGAAUCUAUUACCUUCUUGGGGGAUGUUAUUUCAGGGGCAAGUAUUUAUGUAGAUCCUUAGAAGACUAAUGUAGCAAAGCACUGGCCUAGACCCAUUACUCUAUUUGAUAUUAGGAGCUUUUUGAGUUUGGCUAGGUAUUAUAGAAGAUUUGUUGAAGGGUUCUCCUCUAUAGCCACACCAUUGAUUAAGAUGAUCCAAAAGAAAGUGAAGUUUAUAUGGUUAUAUAAGUGAGAGAUAUGUUUCUAAGAGCUGUAAGAUAGAUUGACUUCGGUACUAGUGUUAGAUCUGGUAGAGGGUUAGACUGAUUUAUGGUGUAUUGUGAUGCUUCUAGAGUUGGGUUAGGUUAUGUAUUGAUACAGAAUGGGAGAGUGAUAUCUUAUGCCUCUAGGCAACUUAAGGAUCAUGAAAAAAAUUACCCAACGCAAAUUUUGGAGUUAGCUGCUGUGGUAUUCACCUUGAAAAUUUAGAGAUAUUACCUCUAUGGUAUGUAUGUUGAUGUUUUCACCGACCAUGAGAGUCUUCAAUAUGUAUUAUCUCAAAGAGAGCUGAAUCUUCAUCAGAUAAAGUGGUUGGAAUUGUUGAAAAGCUAUGACAUAAAUGUACUCUAUCUCUUGGGUAAGUCUAAUAUAGUGGCAAAUGCACUGAGUAGGUUGUCCAUAGGUAGCGUGACUCAUGUGAAAGAGAAAGAACGUGAAUUGGUAAAGAAGGUGCAUAAAUUAGCCUAUUUGGGAGUAUGUUUGCUUGACACUAAUGUUGGUGAAGUAGUAGUCUAGAAUUGUUCAGAAUCAUCAUUGGUAGUGGAAGUGAAGGAGAAACAGAAAAAUAAUCUCAUACUUAGCCAAAUAUUGGAAGAAGUCCAGUAGAAGAAGGUCGAGGUUUUCUCCUAGGGGGAGAUGGUGUACUUCGCUAUCAAGGUAGGCUUUGUGUUUUGAAUAUAGAUGAGUUAAGGGAAAAGAUACUAGACAAGGCUUAUAGUUAGAGGUAUUCCAUUCAUUCGAGUGCUACUAAGAUGUAUCACGACUUACAGAAAAUUUACUGGUGUAAUGGUAUAAAAAGCCACAUAGAUGAGUUUGUAGCCAAGUGACCUAAUUGCCAGCAAGUUAAAGUUGAAUACCAACGACUGGGUGGUACAUUGCAAGAGAUUAGUAUCCCCACUUGGAAGUGGGUAGUAGUGAAUAUGGAUUUUAUCACAGGGUUUCUAAGCAUAAGACAUCAGAAUAAUCAAAUUUAGGUUAUAGUUGAUCGAAUGACUAAAUCAUCUCAUUUCCUACCAGUCAAGACUUCAGAUAUAAUGAAAGAUUAUGCUAGAAUAUAUAUCAGUGAGUUAGUAAGACUUAGUGGGAUACCUUUAUCCAUUAUCUUAGAUAGAGGCACACAGUUUACUUCACAGUUUUAAUAGUCUUUUAAGAAGGGCCUUGGUAUAAAGGUUAAGCUCCAUACUACCUUUCAUCUGCAGACCGAUAGUUAGGGUGAACGUACAAUUAUAACAUUAGAAGACAUACUGAGGGCAUGUGUUUUAUACUUUAAAGGAAGUUGGGAUGAUGACCUACCUUUGAUUGAGUUUGCUUGUAAUAAUAGUUAUCAUGCUAGCAUUUAGAUGGCUCUAUUUAAAGCGUUGUAUGGGCGUAGAUGAAGAUCACCAAUAGGAUGGUUUAUGGUUGGUGAAGCGACUUAGAUUGGGCCGGACUCUAUUCUUAAAGCAAUGGAAAAAGCUUAGUUGGUUCAUGAGAGAUUGAAAAUGAUACACCUUGGGUUUUGGUCCUUGUAAAUUUCUCAAGUAUUAAGCCUUCUGUUGAUCAUACGACUCACUAUACUAGUCGUAUAGUGUGGGUACGGGUCUAGGGACCCUAGUUGUUAUUGGUUAGUGUGAUGUUGGCCAAGUUUUAUUUUUGGUACAAGAAGACUCCAUACGAGUUGUAUGUAUAUGAUACGAGAGGUAGGGUUUAAUCGUAUGUUGUCCAGUGUCUAGACUAGAUAUUUAUGCUUAGGGUAUGACUUGAAGGGUACUAGUCAUAUGGUUAGGGUACAAAUUAGGCUAAGGAGUCAUAUUUUCUAAAGAAUGUGAUGUCCAACUUUCUGAUCAAGGUACGAGUGAAAGGUAUCACUCAUAUGAUGAGGGUACGAGUGAGGGGUCCAAAUCGUACCCAUUUACGGGAAUUUUUACAAUUCAAGUUGGGGGUAUUCUGGAUAUUUCCCCCAAAUAACUCCUUUGACCCCACUACAUAAAAUACCUUUGGAGGCUUCCUUAACCUAUUAUUCAUAAUAAAAAACUCUCAAAUCUCUCUCAAGCUGUUGGUUCAAGAAAGGCUAGGGUUGUUUUCAAGACAAUCAAUUAAGGAUCUAAAGGGUGGUUUCUCUCCGUCUUCCUUAUUGUCCAAGGAAUUUUACUAAUCCCUCAUUAUUAGUUCACCAAAAACAUGUUUUAAUGAUUGAUUUUCAUGGUAUUAUGUGGUAACAUUUGGGUUUUGUAAUAUUUGUUGGGUUUUUUUGGUUAUUCUAGGUUGGAUAAUGUUUUCCCAUGUUUUUCUUAUGGUUUUAAUGUUAUAAUUAUGGUUUGAAACAUGUGGUUUCAUGGGAAUGGUCAAUUGAUACCUGAUUUUUGGUUUGGAAACUAUAUGCCCUCAACAUCUCAACAUGUUUGUUAAAAUGCAUAUGGGAAUUCUUUUGUCAUAUAGUUUGGCUAUUAUUGAAAACUUUGCAUUUCAUAAUAUGGUAAUGGUUAAAUUGGUUUGGUUCAUUUUAAAUGGAUUGGAAAGGACUUGGUGGCCACGGUAUUGUUUUAAACAAAAACUUUGGAGACAAAUUGUUUUAAUGGAUUUGGUAUGGCAUAAAUGGGUAAAAUUGCAAGCUCUAAUUUUUGUAUGAUGAUACCAAUGGUUAAUGCCUAAUUACAAGGACUCAUUGGUAAUUGGUUGGUUGUGUGUGAAUGGUUUUAAUAUGGGCUUAUAUGGGGAUGUGUUAGCAAAGCCAUUGAAGGUGGCAAUCCCGGGGGGACCAAAACUAGAAACUCACAUUUGACGAUGUAAGGUUAGUAUUGGUGACCGUGUAUAUCAUGUCACACCUAUAUUUUGGGAGAAGUACUAGUCCUAUCAGGUUUUUCUCUGGCUCAUGUAGCUAAUACGUGCCGGGGCCUUUUUUAGCAGGAAGAGCUGAACCCAUAUAGGGCAUGGGUGGAUUUAGGAUGACAGAGCUACACAAUCCCAAGUUAAAGGUUUUAAAUACAUGCUAAACCCGGUUCUCUUCCUUGGCAUGGUAUAGAUUUUUAUGUCUGUAAUUGAAUAUGGUUAUUUACUUUGGUUUUUAAUAAUGGCAUUAUUUUAUCCAUACACCUGAGUAUAUGCUAGCAUUCACCCACUAAUACAUCUUCGAGUACUAUAUCAACCAGCCAUACUACUCCUUCUAUUUAGUGAUCUUAGAUACAGGAACAACUUUGUGUUGGACUAAAGUUGUGAGCUUCCAUACUUUGGAAGUUAUGGACUAUUUUCAUACUUUUGUUUCUUCCUUAGACUUUGGUUUUGGCUAUGGUCAAGGGCAUGUCCUAAUUGGAUGUUUUAGGAUUUUGGUUAGAGGCUUUUUGUGACUACUAUGGGAAUGUACGGUGUCGGUAUUGGUGUCAGCCUUGACAUUGAUAUUGGUACUGCGGCUGACACCAGUUGGAUGCUUGGUUGGAUGUUUGGAUAGUUAUGGUUAUGAGAUUUAUUAAAUGCCUUUCAAUUAUAAUUUUUAUAUCUUGUUAUAUGUUCAGAAUUCAUAUGACAUAGGGUAAAGGGAUAUUAUGGUUGGGUAUUGGGGGAGAUCUCCAUUUUGGUUCGAACUUGAGAUGCCUGACACGACUAGGCCCUGGUUUGGAUCGUGUCAUAUUUGUAUCAGAGCCCUAGGUUCAUUGUCACAUGGGAGUCCACAAAUCUGUGUUGAGUAGAGUAUCUUCUAAGGGUGUGUAGUGCGCCACACUCAUAAGGGAGAGCCUACAAGGCAUUUAGGAAUAUUUCUCUUUCUUAUGUUCUGUUUUCAAGCUGUAGUGUCUCUUGUCCUGAAAUCUCCUCUAAUACCUGUUUGUUCACUUUUUAGAUCAUGCCUCCUUGAUGAUGUGAUGCUCAUAUAAACUUCUUUGUCCCACCCUUGGACAAUAAUUAUGGGACCCAUUCUACUUUUGGGGUCCAAACCCAAUCUAGGGGUCCAAUUCCUGAUUUUCCUCCUGGAGUUCCAUUGGUUCUCUCUAGUUUUCCUUGAGCUCCUCAGACUUAUGUGACAAAUGCUGAGUUUCUUCAAUCUAUCCAUACUAUAAUGCCCCGAUUAUCUGAACUGAAAUGCUACACGGUGCUCAUCACCCCGAAGGACCACAAGCUAAUCCAUGACUAAUAUCUGUACUUGUACACUACAUAAUAUUACAUGAAUAUGCGGAAACAUGCACUGAGAGGCCGUAAGGUUCAAUACUGAACAUAACUUAAUAAUAACAAUAACGUCUGACAUAGAGUGGUAUCUCGAUACCAAAAUAAAAUUGAAAUAGUGAAGUCUGAAAAACAUAAAAAAUACUGUAGUCAUCUGAAAGCCUCUAACUAUCUGACUAAGGAGUUGAUGGGACAUGUCCCCAACUAACUUCGUCAACUGAAAACUAAACUAAUAUGGUAAAAUAAGAUCAUGUUCUCGAAGAAUGAGGACUCACUGCUAAAACUCUGAAACCUGGAAUGCUACUGCUGCUGCUAAUCUGGGAGUUAUGUCUCUGAACCUAUGGUGUAAAAUAAAAAGAAAACACCAUAGCACAAAUACGUCAGUACAAAAGAAUGUACUGAGUAUACGGGUGAGGUAGGCUAAAUACAUGGGGCUUACAUGCAUGAAUGAUAAUAGCUGACUGACUAAUAUGAACGUGAGAGCACAUAUUAAUACAUAGUAACUGAGAUCGUGAGAACAUGAUAACUGAAUCUAUUUACCGAUGACCUGAAUUUACUGAUUUCUAGCACGACUGAUACUGGUGUUUCGAUAACUGAAAUAACUAAUAACAUGAGUGAUUGUGUCUGACAGUCCUAAAUCUGUUGGAACUAUCUGAGUUUCGUACUGUGACUGAGUUGACUGUAUCUGACAGUCCUGAAAUCUUAAGAACUAUCUGAGUUCUUUUACUAAGACUGAUAAUAAAACUGUGGGAAUAGUUUUUUAACCGACAUUGCCCAAAUGUGCUAUAACAGCUGAGCUAGGGUCUAGUUGUGCCCUGAUUGGAAGGAUGUCAAUAUAGCGCCACUGGUAAGGACAGCUGUGGGUAUCCUCAUCUGACAGUAUCCCCAAAAGAGAAUGGUGGGGCCCUCAUCUAACAGUGCUUAUCCACCUCAUCAACCCUCAUCUGAUAGUGUUGAUGUCUUAACCUAUGCUGGAUACAUAGUUCUGAAACACAAGGAUGACUGCUAAGAAUCACACACUUAUCUGACAGUGUGUGUUCCCAUCCCUGGGUUCACUCGGUGCUAAUUUCUACUCCCAUCUGAAGAGACUGAACAUGAUUGACUAACUGUACAUGGACUGAUUUUACUAAAUUUUAUUGACUGACGGAAUACUAUUGAUAUCUGAUAAUUGACUGAGUUCAUGAGAUUACUGAUCUUACUGAGUACUGAGUUCAUAAGAUUUCUGAGAUUUCUUGAGUCACAUAACUGUCUGACUUCUAUGGAACAUGGCUUGAUUGAGAUUAGCGUGAAAACAUGACAUGGCUCUAGGUACACAAUUAUAUUUUUCAGGUACAAGUACCCCCAGGACUCGAUAGAGGGAAACUGACAAGGCAUGAAAUUCUUGAAUACAUGACCAACACCAAUAAUCCAUAAUACUUCUUGAUCAUAGGAAUAGAGUUCAUAAUUCAUAAUGCCAUAAAUAAGGGAUUUCAUGCUUCACAUGGUUAUCAUAGUCUUGAUCAUGGAAGGGAAUGCAUCUAACAUGUACAUACUUGCAUGAUUUCAAAAUCAUGAACGUUGUAUAACACAAUAGUCAAUACACAAUAAAAGCAUGGAAAUUGUGUUGCAUCAUAAGGGUUAGCAUGGACUUGUCAUUUAGAGACUACUGAGUCAUAAGGAACAUAAUUCUAUCAUUCUAGGCAUUUUAUCAAACACCUUACAUGCACACUUUAUAGCAUAGGUGAAAUCAUCAAUUUAAGAAUCUAAAACUAUCCAAACUCAUAGGUUUUCAAUCAGCAAACUCACAUACUUCAUGGAAGGCCAUCAAGACACCAUCUUGAAACAUAAAUAACAACUAUCAACAUGAACAUGAUCAAAUCACAACAAAUAAAUCACAAUAGUUUAUUUAAAAUAUGAUUCUUGGACUCCACGAAUGAAAGGGAUCCAUGGAUGAACACUACGCAUACCUCAGUUUGUGAUUUUGUGAAGAUUGACGGAGAAAUUCUUGAAAUUUGACGAUGAAUUCCCUUGGAAUUGAACCUUCUAUGAAAACCCUAGGGCUUGUUCUUGAUAGUUGUUUUUAAGAGUAAUUGAGUAUAAGUUGCUGAAUUAUGGCCAAAUCUCAUGUCAUAAGGCUUAUAUAGGGUUGGAAAAUUGACCAUUUUAACCCUAGGACACGUCAUUAAUUUUUGAUAAAAUUUUCCAAUUUUCAUCCUUGGGGCGAUGCACCACUAUCGCGCCAAGUCACUGGAAAGUGACAAAUGGGAACUUGCAUGGGGGUGAAACACAGAGCUAUUGCUUUUCCACCUUGUCUGCGACCUGGAAGUUUGGACCGACGCACCACUAUUGCGGAGCAACACUGGAAAUUGAAAAUUUACAUUUGAGCUAUCUCCACGAUGCGCUGGAGGCUCAAGUGAUACACUGUCUCACUAAAAAGGCUCUAACUCUUCGCCCGGGUGUCAGAUUUGGACGAAUUUUAUAUCGAUGGAAAUCUUAUUGAAUUUUCCAUUUGAUAAAAAAUGAAAAUAUUGGGAAUUCCUCAUGAAAUAAUCAUCAUUAACUUUAGAAGAUAAUACUAGGCAUUCUUGGGAUGAAAUUAGCUAGGAAGAAAAUUUGGGGUGUUACAAUAUCUCCCCCUUGGGAAUAUUCAUCCUCGAAUGAGACUGGCUAAGAGAGGGGACAAUAAGCUAAACAUGAACUGAACAUAGAUAGCUGGAAAAUGAUCUCAUGACUGAAAAGUUGAACAUACAUACUGAACAUGCAUAUCUGAUGUAUGUGUAACUGAUUCAUGAAUGCAUAACUAAGUGCUCUGAGGAAUUAAAUUUUCUCACAAUGAGAAUUUAUGUCUGAUACAUAAUUAUACAACUGAGAUAGUACAUGAAUGCAUGAUUGAAUAUGCAAUGGCACUUGAUAUCAAGUUUGUGAUGACACAUAAGAAUGAAAUUGAAUACCAAAUUUUCACUGAAUACUGAACGUGAAGCUGAAUAAGAUUAAGGAGAACUGUUACCUUGAGCUUGAUUUGGAUUGGAGGGAAAGAGGUGAGGAUAUUUCGCACGUAUGUCUACUUUUGAUUACUAAGUAGCUUCCUCGAUGGAUUGAUUUCGCCAAAGAACUUUGACUAGAGGGACUUAUUUGUUUCUCAAUCUACGAGUCUGAUAGUCUAAGAUUUUGACUGGAAUCUUUUCAUAAAAGAGACUGUUCUAAAUAGCAAUGCUCUGAAUAGGGACUACGACUGAUGGGUCACCUAUGCACUUCUUAAGCAAAGAGACAUGAAAGACUGGAUGAACUGAGGCUAGAUCUGAAGGCAAAUUGAGCUCAUAAGCUUCUUUGCCAAAGCGACUGAGAAUCUUGAAGGGGCCAACAUAUCAGGGACUAAGCUUUCCCUUCUUUUAAAAUCUCUUCACUCCCUUUAUGGGAGAUAUCUUAAGGUAGACAUGAUCACCAAUCUCAAACUUGAGAUCUUUUCUACGCAUAUCUGCAUAAGACUUCUGUCAGCUCUGAGCAGCCCAGAGUCUUUCUUUGAUUAAUUGGAGAAGCCCGGAGUCUUUCUUUGAUCAAUUGGAAUUUCUCUAAGGCAUCAACACUAAGUUAGGCCCUAUAACUAAGGCCUCACUAAAUUCGGACCAACCAAUUAUAGAUCUAUAUCUCCUACCAUAAAAAGCUUCGAAUAGAGCCAUCUGAAUAUUGAAAUAAUAACUAUUAUUGUAUGCGAACUCAAUCAACGGCAAGUGGUCAUCCCAACUACCCUUGAAAUCAAUUGCACAUGCCCUUAGCAUAUCUUCAAGAGUUGAAUGGUCCUUUCUGCUUGACCAUCUGUCUGAGGAUGAAAGGCUGUACUGAGAUAAACUUGGGUACCAAGACCCCUUUAUAAUGCUUUAUAGAAGUAAGAGGUGAACUGGGUACCUCUAUCUGAGAUGAUAAAUAAUGGAACACCAUGAAAUCUGACUAGCUCCCUGACAUAGAGUUUGGCAUAAUCCUCGACUGAAUAAGAGGUAUGAACUAGAAGGAAAUGAGCUAAAUUGGUCAUUCGGAGAAAUACUAGAAAUCAAAAAUUUACAUUUGAGGUAUCUCCACGAUGCGCUGGAGGCUCAGGUGAUACACUGUCUCACUAAAAAGGGUCUAACUCUUCACCCGAGUAUCGAAUUUGGGUGAAUUUUAUAUCAAUGGAAAUCUUAUUGAAUUUUCCACAUGAAAUAAAUGAAAAUAUUAAAAAUUCCUCAUGGAAUAACCUUCAUUUACUUUAGAAUAUAAUACUAGGUAUUCUUGGGAUGAAAUUAGCUAGAAAGAAAAUUUAGGGUAUUACACAUAUAUUGGCACAAUUGGUAGCUUCUCAGGCUGAGUGUGGUACUUUUAUUACUCUAUCUUCUGACACCACAAGGGUUGUCUAGUUUAUGAGGUUGAAUUCUCUAACCUUUACUGGCGUUAAGGUAGAGGAAGAUUUUUAGAUAAAAUAAGAAAGAUUUUCUGAGCUAUGCAUGCAAUGAAUAUGGAGGACGUGGAGCUUGCCACCUACCAGCUAAAAGAUAUGGCAUACCAAUGGUACAAGGAAUGGGAUAAAUCAAGGGGUUAUAAUGCUGAGUGAUAUCUGUGGGUGGUUUUCUAUAAUGCUUUUCUAGAUUGCUUCUUUCCUUUGGAGUUGAGAGAACCUAAGGUGGAAGAGUUUGUUAAUAUGAGGCAUGGCGAGAUUUCAGUGAAGGAGUAUGCCUUGAAGUUCCACCAGCUAUCUCUAUAUGCUCCGAAUAUGGUUUCUAGCAUGAGAGCUAGAAUAAGAAAGUUCACUUCUGGGUUGUCAGAGAUCUAAUAUUAGAGAGUAAGGUUUCCUUUUUGAUCAAGGAAAUAUAUAUCCCUAGGUUGGUUAUUUACAUGCAUCAGAUGGAGGAAUAGAAUAAGAAUCAAGUUAAGAUAGGAGAGAGGUAGGGCAAGAAGUUUAGGUUCUCUAAGUAGGAUGGUGGCCAACAAUAGAGUGGAAGGGAUAUUGGUAAGUUUCCCAAGAAAAAGUGGGAAAAUUCUGGGUCUUACUUGAUAGCUUAUUCUCUAUACUCAAUACUUUUGGGUGGCAGGCAUUUCCAAAGUGGCGAUAACUUAAGGGCACAUGGUAGUUAGUCUCAGGAUAGUGAGGUCUAAUCAGCUCCAUUAUAUCCUCUCUGCAGGUUCUAUGGUAGAUUUCAUUAAGGUUAUUGUGAAGAAAAAAGGGAUAAGUACUUCAGCUAUGGUCAGUCAGGGCAUAUGAUUAAGAACUGUCUAGUGGAUAAGGUUGCUUCGGUGGUGAACAAGGUUCUAGUUGCUUCAUCAUUAGCUCUACUACCAAAAUGUGCACCAUCUAGUUUUGUCACUGGUCAAAACUGUGUUUAUGCUCUCACUACCCAAUGGGAUUUUAAGGCAUUGGUUGAUGUCAUGACUAGUACGUUGAAACUCUUUUCUCGUGAUGUGUACUAUUUCUUGAUUUAGUGUUCUCUCUCUUAUGUGACCUUAUUUGUGUCUAUGCAUCCGUAGUGUGUUUUGGACCCUUUUUUCUUUUUACCUAGUAGGUGACUUUGUGAUUGCUAAAAGAGUCUAUAGGGUGUGUGUGGUAUAUAUUGAUAACAAACACACUGUGUGGAUCUAUUUGAAUUAGAUAUGGUGGAUUUUGAUGUCAUAUUAGGGAUGAAUUAGUUGCACUCAUGCUAUCCUUCUAUAGAUAGUUGGACCUAUAAGGUCAUCUUUAAAUUCCCUAAUAAGCUAAUUAUUGAGUGAGAGGGUGGUUCCUUCAUUCCUAAGGGGAAGUUCAUAUCAUAUCUUCGAGUUUAGAGAUUAAUCUCUAAGAUGUGUCUCUAUCAUAAAGUUCGAGUUAAAGAUUCUAACUCGAAUGGUACUUCUUUGCAUUCUGUCCCAGUGGUGAAUAAAUUUCCCUAGGUCUUCCUUGAUGACCUUCCUGGUGUUCCUCCUGAUAGGGAUAUUAAGUUUGGGAUUGAUCUUAUUUUAGACACUCGUCCAAUUUCUAUUUCCCCAUAUAGAAUGGCCCCAGCUGAGUUGAAGGAGCUUAAGAAGCAACUCAAGGAUCCUUUAUAUAAGGGUUUCAUCUAUCCUAGGUGUCCCUGUGGGGUGUACUAGUAUUGUUCGUGAAUAAGAAGGAUAGUUCCCUUCGGAUGUGCAUUGAUUAACGAUGGUUGAAUAAGGUAAUGAUAAAGAAUAAGUAUCCUCUUCCAAGGAUAGCUAAUUUGUUUGAUAAGUUGCAAGGUCGUAAGUUUUUCUUCAAAAUUGAUCUUCGAUUUGGGUAUCACCAGUUGAAGAUUAGGGAGGUGGACAUCCCUAAGACUACCUUCCAUACCGAUAUGGGUACUUUGAGUUUCUGUUAAUGUAUUUUGAGUUGAUCAAUGUCCCUGCCACAUUCAAGGAUUUGAUAAAUAGGGUCUUCCAUUAGUUUCAGGAUCUAUUUGUCAUUGUUUUUAUAGAUGACAUUUUGAUGUCCUCUAAGAGUGAGGUGGUCCAUACAAAUCACCUACGUAUUAUCUUGCAGACCUUAAAAGAGUAGCUAUUGUAUGCCAAAUUUUCAAAAUGUGAAUUCUGGUUGAAUGCUGUCACUUUCCUAGGCCAUAUUAUUUCUAGUAAAGAUAUUAUGAUUGAUCCACAAAAAGUUUCCGUGGUGAAAAAGUGGCCUAUACCUACGACUCCAAUCGAUAUUUAGAGCUUCUUAGGUUUAGCGGGUUACUACAGGAGGUUGUUGGAGAGUUUUUUGACUAUAGCUACCCCAUUAACUAUGUUGACUUAAAACAAGGUAAAUUUUUUAUGGUCUGAUGCUUGUGAGGGGAGUUUUGAGAAGUUGAAGGAUAAGCUAACUUUAGCUCCAAUUUUGACUUUGCCUGAGGUCGCUGAUAGGUUUGUGGUGUACUGUGAUGUGUUCUCUGUGGUACUUAGUUGCAUUCUGAUACAACAUAGAAAGGUGGUAGCUUAUGCCUCUAGAUAGUUGAAGGUGCAUGAGAGGAAUUAUCUUUCUCAUUACUUAGAAUUGGUAGCUAUGGUAUUCACAUUGAAGAUCUGGUGUCACUAUUUGUAUGGGGUAGAUGUGGAUAUCUUUUCUGAUCAUAAGAGCCAACAAUAUGUGUUUACUCAGAAAAAGAUUAACCUCAGGAAAAGUAGAUGGCUUGUGUUUCUCAAGGAUUAUGAUAUAAGUCCUUAUUACCACCCAGGUAAAGCUAACGUGGUUGCUGAUACUCUUAGUAGGUUAUCUAUGAGGAUUCUGGCCCAUAUGGAUAAAGGAAAGUAGGAGUUAGUGAAGGACAUUCACCGUUUAGCUAACCUUGGAGUUCACCUCUUGGACUCUGAAGAUGGUGGUGUGUUUGGGAAGGAUGUGGUGCGGUUGUCUUUUGGUGUUAAAAUCAAAGAGAAACAGAUGCUAGAUCCUAUCUUGAUGAAAAUCAAGGGUGAUAUAGGUGGGCAGAAGGUAAUGGCCUUUGAGAUUAAUGGUUAUGGUACUUUGCGGUACUAUGGGAGGUUAUGUGUUCCUGAUGUAGAUGGUUUGUAAGAGAGGAUCUUGGCUGAGGUGCAUUAGUCACAUUAUGUUGUUUAUCCUGAUUUAAUGAAAAUUUAUCAUGAUCUCAAGGAGAUGUAGUGGUGGAACAAUAUGAAGAGGGAUGUGACUAAUUUUGUGGCCAAGUUCAUGGUGUGCCAACAAGUGAAAGUUAGGCACAUGAGGCCCAGAGGAUUGUAUCAAGAAAUUAAGAUGCUUGAAUAGAAGUGGGAGGUGAUCAACAUAGAUUUUAUUACCAAUCUCCCUCGAUAUCAGAAUUAAUUUGAUUUGAUUUAGGUCAUCUUGGAUUGGAUGACAAAGUCGGCUAACUUUUUUCCAGUAAGGACGAGAUUUUUGGCUGAGGAUUAUGGAAGGUUGUAUCUACAUGAGAUUGUGAAGUUGUAUGGGGUACCCAUUUUUAUCAUCUCCGAUUGUGGUAUGCAAUUUUUAUCUCACUUUUUGCAGUCAUUCUAGAAAAGGUUGGGGACUAAGGUAAGUUUGAGUACUUUUUUUCACCCACAGUUGGAUGGAAAAGAAGAAAGAACAAUUCAAACAUUGGAGGAUAUGCUUCAGGCUUGUGUGAUUGACUAUGGUGGUAGUUGGGUUGAGUAGUUACCUCUUAUCGAGUUUGCUUACAACAAUAGCUACCGCUUUAGGAUUGGGACGACUCUAUUAAAAUGUUGUAUGGUAGGAGGUAUAGGUCUCCUAUUGGGUGGUUCGAGCUUAGUGAGGCGGAUAUGUUUGGCCUAGAUUUUGUUUACCAAGUUAUGGAGAAGGUGAAGGUGAUUUGAGAUAGGCUUAAGGAUGCCCAAAGUUGCAAAAAGUCUUAUACAUACGUGAGGCGAAGGGACCUAGAGUUUGAGGUUGGAGAUAAGGUAUUCCAAAAGGUAUCUCCUAUGAAAAGAGUGAUGUGGUUUGGAAAAAAGAGCAGCUUAGUCCUCAAUAUAUGGGCUGUUAUGUGAUUUUGAGGAGUGUUGGUAAUGUUGCAUAUAAGUUGGAAUUGCCUUUUACUUAGAGCUCCAUUCACCUGAUAUUCCAUGUCUCUACAUUGAGAAAGUGUAUUGUGAUCCACCUCAAAUUGUGCCUAUUAAGGAUAUUUGUACUUCUGAUUUCCUAUCUUAUGAGGAGAUCCCAGUUAAGAUCUUGGAUCGUCAGGUUCGUCAUUUGCGUACCAAGGAUGUGGCCUCAAUAAAGGUAUUAUGGGGAACCCACAAAGUCAAAAAGGCUACUUGGGAGGCUGAAGAGAAAAUAAUGUCUAAGUAUCCAUUCCUAUUUUCUAUUCUGGAUAUUCAUGCUAAAGGUAUGUGUUCUUUAUAAAGUCUUUAUGUUUCAAACUUUGUUAAGGGAGAGAUUGACUUCCUUUGUAUCUUUAUUAAUAACUUGUUUAAAGGUAAGGGUAGAGAUAUUUGAGAGGUUUUAUCAUGCUUGUACUGCCUUAUUCCAUCGUUUGAGGGUGAAUGAUACAAGUAGGGGAGAAUUGAAACAACCUGGGAUCUGGUUCUUAUAAAUUUCUUGAAUCUUGAGCCUUCUAUAGAUCAUACGACUCUCUAUACUAGUCGUAUGGUGUGGGUACGAGUCUAGGGACCCUAGUCAUAUGUAGGAUCCAUCCGUAUGUUGUCUAGUGUCUUGCCUAGAUGUUUAUGCUUAGGGCAUGACUUAAAGAGUACUAGUCGUAUGGUUAGGGUACAAAUUAGGAUGAGGAGUUAUAUGUUUGACAAAAUAUGAUGUCGAGCUUUCUGAUCAAGGUAUGGUGGAAGAUACCACUCAUAUGAUAAGGGUACGAGUGAGGGGUCCAAAUCGUAACCACCUGCGGGAAUUUUUAUAGUUUAAGUAGGGGGUAUUCUGGACAUUUCCCCCUAAUAACUCCUUUUGACUCCACAUCAUAAAAAACCUUUGGAGGCUUCCUUAAUAUAUUAUUCACAAUCAAAAACUCUCUAAACACUCUCAAAUCUCUCUCAAGCUCUUGGUUCAAGAAAGGCUAGGGUUUUCUUCAAAGCAAUAAUUUAAGGCUCUAAAGGGUGGUUUCUCUCCGUCUUCCUUAUUGUAUUAGGCAUGUUACUCCUCCCUAAUUAUUAGUUUAACUAAAAUAAUGUUUUAACAAAUGAUUUUAUGGUAUUAUUGUGAAAAUAUUUGGGUUUUGAAAUAUAUGUUGGGGGUUUUGGUUAUUCUUGGUUGGAUAAUAUUUUCCCAUGAUUUUCUUAUGGUUUUCAUAUUAUAAUGUGAUUUGACAUGUGUUUUCAUGGGAAUGGUCAAUUGAUACUUGAUUUUGGUUUUACAAACUCUGUUCCCUCAACAUGUUUGUUAAAAUGGCUAUGAGUGAAACACUUAGACUUUGAACCAUCAAAAAAUUUCUCCAUUUGAUGUCACUUGGGGGGGGAGGGGUACGACUAGGGGCACGAGUCGUACCCCUUGGAUAUGAGUCGUGUCUUCCUUCCCUUCCCCUCUUAUAUCCUAGGCAGUAAGGUGAGGGUUACUCACUAUCCUAGGUAUGAGUGACCCCCUCCUCAAUUGUACCCUUAGUAUAUGAGUCAUACCUAGGCGAGUAGUAUGGGUUGAGGUCUUAGCUUGGAGUGGACUAUUUUUGUUACGAGUGGAGCAUAUGAGUUAGGGGUGAGUCGUACCCUUUGGAUACGACUCAAGGGUGUAUAGUCGUACCCUUAAUAGUAUAGGUGACCUAGGAGAAGGCUAGGGUAUGAGUCGGUGUACCACUCGUACCUUUGGGUACAGUUUUCCUAGUGAGUCGUACCCCAGGACGGGUGCAUUUUACAGCUUUUAACUAAGGGACUUGUGGUCAUUUCCUACACCCUAAACCCUAAGUACCUUCACUAUAUAAGUGUAUUAGGCCUUCUUAAGCACAUUUUUGAGUGGAUCAAACACCCAAAACUCUCUCUUAAGCUCAUCUUUGAAGAAUUGAAGGCUAGGGUUUCAAGGGUGAUCUUGAAGAGGAAAAGUAAAGUCAAGUUUGUUGGUGAAUCAAAUUGUCUAUGGAAUAUACCUCUUCACCUUGUUGAAUAACUCUAAACCCAUGUUGCACUUGGAUUAGUAAGUGUACAUAGUGAUUUUUGAAAUCAAAUGAAAAGGGUUUUGUUGCCUAAUAAUGAAUAAUGUUGAAUCUUUCUUAGAAUUGUGUUUAUACAUGUUAUUGAUGAUGAUUUUUAUAUAUAGGUACUCUUUGUAUGUGGUUUAAUAUAAGGGUCUUGAGUAACCCUAGCCUUGGUGAUUGUUAAAGGUAUGCACAUAAGGUGUUUUGUGGAAAUGUCUAAGUGCAUUGUCUAAUCACAUGUUGGUGAUGUUUUGAACUAGGGCAAUGGACCAAUAAGUAUGGAUGAUUGAUAAAUGGUAUGUUAAAAUUAUUGUGAGCUAUGUAUUGUAUAAUUGAUGACCAUGAUUGGUUCAUUAACUAAUUAGGGGGGGGGGUUGAAGUCCCUAAACAUGAUAAUGUAUUUGAAUUAUGUGUGUUACCAAGUGUGAUGAGAAUAUGGUAUAAGAUGGUUAAUGAAAUGCAAAUAGUUGUGAGGGUCUUGAUGACCAUAACUUGAAUUUUAUGAUGGAUUGAAUGAAGGCAGUGGCCUAUUGAAAUAGUUGAGCAAUGAAGGCUCCUAGAAAGACCAUGAGGUCAUGCAUAGUGUUGAAUUAGCUAUAUGGUUAAAGUCAUUAAGUGUUAUAUGGAAUGAAUGUUGAUUCAUGGUAAAAAAGGUUAAAGUCCUAAUGUUAACUAAUGAUAGUUGUAAUGGCUUGAGGUUGAAGUCCCUUUCCUUAUGAAAUGGAUUGAGGUUGGAGUCCCUUGCCCAAUGAAAUUGCUCGAGGUUAGUGUCCCUUGAAUAAAGAGAUCUUUUAAGGUUAAUGUUCUUUGUCGAAUAAAAUGGGUUGCAGUUAGAGUCCCUUGGCAUGAUCUUAGAGUCCUUUGUCUAACAAAUAGGAAUGAGGUUGGAGUCCCUUUCCUAGAUAAAUGUGUGUGGUUACAGUCCCUUGUUUGAAUUAUUAUAUAUGCAGUUAAAGUUCUUGUCUAAUGAAUGCCUGAGCAUGGUUAAAGCCUUUUGUCCAGUGGUAUGUGAUUGUGGUUAAAAUCCUAUGCCUAAAUGGAAUUGUUGAAAGUAAGUGUAGAUGGUUGGAGUCCUCUACUUCAUGCCUAAUGAAUGAAUUUUCAAGGAUGUUGUUAAGCCUUUAUUUCUUGAUUUACAUGUGAUAUACCUAUAUGUAAGGAUAAAGUGUAUGAAUAUGAUUGAAUAUGAUAUAUUGGAGUGUUCUUGAAUAAUGAUGCUAGUUUAUCCUUAUCCUUGAGUUACAUGCUAGAGUUCCAACCACUAACCAUCUCCGGACACUAUGUCCCCAUGGGACAUAGUGGCCAGAACAUCAUCUUCGCUUCCCACAUAGUGAUUAGGUGAUCGAAACGGUUCAUGCAUUGACUACGGAGUGGCGAGCUUCCUUAUUUCAGAAGACGUUCAUUCUUGGUCCCUUAUUUUUAGACUUAGUCUCAUCCUAACUUAGUUUUCCUAUUGUCUAGGGCUUGUUAGGACAUAUAUUUCUAAACAUUGGUUUGUAUAGAGGUAUUGUGGAUGACUGUGGACUUAGGUAUAUUGGCUAGGGUGUUGAUAUUUAUGAAAUUGUUAGACAUUGUUAAGUUAUGACUUCUAGUAUUGUAUUUGCUAUCUUAUUAUGCAGUUGGGAUUUACUCGAACCUAAUGAUUGAUGUGAUGACUAUGAUGGAUUAUUCGGGAGACCUCCGAUUCAUGUAGGCUUGAGGUGCCCAUACGACAUAGCCAAUUUUGGGGCGUGUCAAGUUGGUAUCAGAGCCUAGGUUCAUGGACAGUUUGGUGUCCACAAUACCGUGUCAAUUAGAGUCUCUUUAUGGGUGUGAAGUGUGAUACACUUAUAAAAGAGGAUCAAUGAGUCAUUUUAGGAAAUGUUUACCUUUCUUGUGUUUCAAUCUCAAGCUAUAAAGUCUAAGGUCUUGGAUUCCUCUGAUUUCUAUUUUCUAGCUUUUAGAUCGUGCCUCCAAGGAGACCUGAGACUCAGGCAAACCCUUCUAAGGGCCCUAUGGAUGAAGCUCGUCUAAUUUCUGGAGUUUGGACCUAGGCAAGGGCUGCGGAAUCCGACCAUCUUAAUGGGGUUCCACCUAUCCCCACCAACCCCGACUAUGAGAGUGAUCCUCCUAUUCUUUCACCUAAAAGGGAUGCUACUAAUGCCGAGUUUCAUCGCUCUAUCAACAUCUUCACUCCAUUGGUAGCCGCUCAAUUGAAGAGUGGUGCUCCAACUACCAUUUCUUUUAAGGCCAGAGGAAUUGGGCAAUUCAUGAGGUUGAGACCUCCUAUGUUCUUCAGUACAAAUCUUGAGGAGGAUCCUCAAGGCUUUGUUGUUAAAAUGGAGAAGAUCUUCCAAAUCAUGCAUGCUCCGGAGAUGGAGUCUAUUGACUUUUCUUCCUAAAAAUUGAAGGAUGUAGCGUACCAAUGAUAUGAAGGGUAGGAGUUGUAUAGAAGUGUUGAUGAAAGUCCUGUCAUGUAGGAGAUUUCUCUGAGGCUUUCUUAGACCGCUUCUUUCCUCAAGAGUUGCGGGAGGAGAAGGCGGAAGAGUUUGUGAACAUGAAGCAAGGGAGGAUGUUCGUUCAAGAGUAUUCCUUGAAAUUCCAUCAAUUGUAAAGGUAUGCUCCCGAGAUGGUUUCUAGCAUGAGGGCUAGAAUGGAUUAGUUUGUCUCGGGAUUGUCUCGUGAGUUGGUCCUUAAGAGCAAAAUAACCUUGUUGAUUGAAAACAUAGAUAUUUCUAUGUUGAUUGUGUAUAUGAAACCAGUGAAAGAAGAGAAAAAGAAGCAAGUUGAGAUUAGUGAGAGGCAAGGAAAGAAAUUUAGGCCUUCUGAGCAUAGUGGUGGUGAUGGUAGCAUGUGGGCACGGAAGAAGUAGGGGAGUUUGAUUUCCUUAUACAAUGGUAGUGUUCGCUCUCCUUACCCAAAGUUUUUGGGUGGUCAUUGGUCUCAGUUUGGUGGUGGGUCUUGGACAUAGGGUGCCCAAUUCCAGGCUAGUGGUGCCCAGUAAGCUCCACCUUACCAUCCUUGAAGAUUCUGUAGUUAGAGUCAUCGUGGUCAGUGUGAGAAGGGGAGAAAAAGAUGUUUCCAUUAUGGUUAGGUUGGGAAUAUGUAGAGUGAGUUCUCCUCUCUAGAAGCCUCAUGGGCCAACAAGGCUUUGAGUACUUCUCUCUGGCAGCCUUUUAGGCCAACAGGGCUCCUAUUGUUACUUCCUCUACUUUCGCACCGAAGGGUGCUAUGUCUGCCACUGCUUCUGUUUCUGGCACCUACGCUGGCCGAAAAAACUUGUAUGCACUUGCUACUUGCUAGGAUUCUGAGUCAUCUCCUCAUACUGUCACGGGUAUGUUGAGACUUUUCUCCCGUGAUGUGUGUUGUUCACUUGAUCAAGGUUCUACUUUUUUUUAUGUGACCCCGUAUGUGGCUAUGCAUCUUGAUUGUGGUCCCGAGAGUUUGUCAGUUCCUUUUUUGGUUUCAACUCUGAUCGGAGACCCUGUGAUUGUUAGAAGGGUCUAUUAACACAUCCCGAAAUUGGGUCAUGUUGUAGGGGCACCUCAAGCCCACAUAAACCGGAGGUCACCCCGAUAACCCAUCACAAUCUUCACAUCAAUCACAUAGGUCAGGUGAAUCUCGACCAUAUAAUGAGAUAGCGGAAAUCAUAUUACGAGUAAUAACUUAAACAAGUCUAAACACUUCAUUAGAUUCAUCAACUGACCAAUAUACCCAAGGCCACAGUCAUCUACAAUAUCUCUAUACAAACCAGAGUUUAUAAAUGAAUAUGUCGGGACAAGCCCCCAACAAUAGCCAAACCAAGUAAAAAUUGAAUACGUCUAAAGAUAGGAUACCAAGGAUGAAUGUCUUCUAAGGAAAGGAAGCUUACCACUCCAAAGUGGAUUCAUGAACCUCUUCGAUCAUCUAAUCAAUGCGCAAGAAGAGAAGAAGAUGCUCCGACCCCUAUGUUGCAGGGGACAUAGCGUUCAGAGAUGGUUAGCGGUUAGAACGCUAGCAAGUAAAUCAAGGAUAAGGAUAAAAUAGCAUCAUCCCUCAACAACAAAAAAUAUAUCAUAUUCAAUAACAUUAAUAACCUUAUCCAUAUAUAUAUAGACAUAUCACAUGCAAAUCAAGGGGACAAGAUUUGUCAACACUUUAGAUGUACUCAUUCAUCAUACAUGCAAUGAAUAACUCUAACCCUACACACUUAUAAAUUUAAGCAUUUCCCAUUAGGCAUAGGACUUUAACCAUAUUCAUAUAUCAUCAAGUAAGGGACUCUAACCAUAUACACAUCCAUUUAUGUGAGGGACUCUAACCAUAUACACAUCUAGUUAAGUGAGAAACUCUAACCACACUAUCAUCUAUUCAAGUGAAAGAAUCAAUGAGGAACACUAACCACUCACACACAUUCAUUCAAGUGAGGGACUCUAACUGCUCACACACAUUCAUUCAAGCAAUGAACUAUAACAACAUGCUAACAUAUUUGGGAAGAGACUCUAACCACAUGCCAUAUUAGAUGGGGGACUCUAACCCCAAGCCAAUUCAUUUGGCGAGGCACUUCGACCUCAUGAGAUUUCACUAUGCAAGGGACUUAAACGAUAAACGAUUUGAUUAGGUAAGGGACUUUAACCUCAAGCCAUCACGACUAUCAUUAGUCAACAUUAGGACUCUAACCCUUUGUCCAUGCAUCCAUAUACAUUCAAUUCCACGCAUAAGGACUUUAACCUAUUUAGCUAAUUCAACAUUAUACAUGACAACAUGGUCCUCAUGGGAGCCUUCAUUGCUUAACCAUUUCGAUGAUCCAAUGCCUUAAUUCAACUCUUAAUAAAAUUCAAACUAUGGUCCUCAAGACCCUUACAAACCAUUCAUAUUCUAUACCACAAUUUAGUCCAACACAUAAUUCACGUUUAUUUUCAUGUUAGGGACUUUAACCCCCUUCUUAAUAAUCAAGCCAUUAAGGUAAUAAAUCACACAAUACAUAGCUCACUUUACCUUCACGAUAUCAUUUAUUACGCAUUCAUACAUCUUGGGCCAUUGCCCUAGUUCACAACAUCAUCAUCAUGUAACUAGGCAUUUCACUUAGACAUUUUCACAAACACCUUGUGUACAUGCCUUUACCAAGACCAAUUUAAGGGUAGAAACCAUGAAGACUAGGGUUAAUCAACACCUACAUGUUAGACUACAUAAUACAAGCAUUCACAUGGGCAAAAUACCACCAAUAACCUGUAUAAACAUAAGUCUAAGCAAGAAUCGUCAUUAUUCAUUAUUAGGCAACAAAGCCCUUUUCAUUUGAUUCCAAAAUCACCAUGUACACUUACUAAUCCAAGUGUGAAAUACAUCGGUUUAGAGUUAUUUAGAAUGGGGAAGAGGUACAUGCCUUAAACAAGAUGAAUCACCAAGAAUAUUGAAUCCCCUUUGCCUCUCAAAGACAACUCUUAAAACCCUAUCCUCCAAUUCUUCAAAGAUAAGCUUGAGAGAUAAUAUUUAGGGUGUUUGAUCCAUCAAAAUGGAUGUUUAGGAGGCUAGACACACUUAUAUAGUUAGAGGGUUUUUAGUCAUGGGAAAUGACCACAAGGGCCUUAGUUAAAAUCUGGAAAAUAAACCAAUCCAGGAGUCCGACUCACCUUGUGACUAACUUAGGUAGUCGUACCCCAGGAUAUGAGUCGUACCCUGACUCAUACCCUUGGCCUCUCCUAGGUGACAUACUCUAUUAAGGGUACAAUCAUGCACCCUUGAGUUGUAUCCAAGGGGUAUGACUCACCCCCUAGUUGUAUGCUCCAAUCGUAACAAAACCAGUCCACUCUAAUCUACGAACUCACUCUAUACGACUUACCUAGGUACGACUUAUACCCUUAGGGUAUGAUUGAGGAGGGGUCAUUCAUAUAGAAGAAAGACUGCAACCCUUCCUAGGAUUCUUAGGGUAUGAGAGAGGAGGUGAGGAAGUAUAUGACUCGUAUCCAUUGGGUACGACUCAAGCCCCUUGUCGUACCAAUACAGUGACACCAAAAGGUGAAGUGUUUCUAUGGUUCUAAGUCUAGGUGAUUGAAUUCUUCACUACUUGGAUCAUUCGUCCUCGAAUGAGGGGGAAGGCAACUAAUAAACAAAAGCCAACAUAUCAUCACACAACAAAACAAAAUUCAAGCAAGUUAGAACAAGCAUAAUAGGGAUAUAACACACAUCAUGCUCAUUUUCCAUCAAUUAUUCAUGUCAUCAUCUUUGGGACUCAUACCAAUUAUUUAUCAAAACACUUGUUCAUUUCAAAGCUUAGGGACUUAAACCCUUGCUUAUCUACACUUACUUAUUUCAAAACUUAGGGACUCAACCCAUCAACUUAUCAAGGAUAUUUACUCAAUUCAAGGAUUAGAGACUCAAACCCAUCACUUACCAAAGACAUCAAUCAAUUCAAGAUACUAGGGACUUAAACCCAUCACAACAAGGACACAUAUAGUUUCAAAGUAAUAGGGAUUUGAACCCAUGGUCUAACAAGACACAAAUCAACCAACAUAUUAGGGACUUUAACCCAUUUUCUAUUAAAGAUAUAAAUUAAAGUAAGGAGAUCAACACAUACCUCUACCCAAAGUUUCUGGUAUAGAAAACAAGUGCGGAUACUUGGACUUCAUGUACUCUUCCGCUUCCCACGUAGAUCCCUCGAACUUUUGGUUCCUCCAUAGAAUCUUUAUCGAAGUCACCUCUUUAAUUCAUAAUCGGUGUACUUGCUGAUCCAAGAUCCUCACCGGGAUCUCAUCAUAGGACAAAGAGUCCCAAAUACUGACAUCAUUCAAAGGAACAACCAAUGAAGGAUCACCCACAUAUUUCCACAACAUAGAGACAUGGAAAAUUGGGUGAAUAGAGUUCAUACUAGAAGGCAACUCCAACUCAUAGGAAAUAUUGCCAAUCCUCUUCAUAAUCAAGUAGGGACCAACAUACCGGGGACUAAGCUUCCUUUUUUUACCUAACCACAUCACUCCCUUCAUAUGAGUCAAUUUCAAGAAUACCCAACUGCCAACACUGAACUCUAAGUCUCUACAUCUUGAUCCACAUAAGACUUUGGGCGACUUUGAGCGACUUUGAAUCUAUCACUAAUCACCUUCACCUUCUCAAAGACUUGUUGGACUAAGUCAGGGCCACGUAAUUUACCCUUGCCAACCUCGUAACACCCAAUCAGAGAUCGACAUCUCUUACCAUAAAAUGCCUUAAGAGGCACUAUGCCAAUACUUGAGUGGUAACUAUUAUUAUAGGAAAACUCAAUCAAAGAAAAGUGGUCAUACCAACUACCACCAUAAUUAAUCACACAAGCCCGCAACAUAUCCUCUAAUAUUUGGAUGGUUCUUUUCUCUUGCCCUUCCGUUUGUGGGUGGAUAUCGGAACUAAGGCAUAUUCUAGUACCUAAUCCCUUUUGGAAUUACUUCAAAAAGUGGGAUGGAAAUAGAGGACCAUGAUAUGAAAUAAUAGAGACCGAAGCACCAUGCAACUUCACGAUCUCCACAAAAUAUAAUUCAGCAUAAUCUUCUAUCGAGAAAUUAGUCCUCAUGGGCAAAAGGUAAGCGGACUUGGUUAUCCUAUCAACAAUGACCCAAAUGGAAUCACAUUGAUUCUACGAUCUAGGAAGACUUGUAACAAAAUCUAGAUUAAUUGCCUCCCACUUCUAUUCGAGUAAUAUGAUCUCUUAAUACAAGCCCCAGGUCUCAUAUGCUCAAUUUCACUUAUUAACACACCAUACACUUGGACACAUCACGCUUCAUACUACCCCACCAAUAGAGCUCUCUAAUAUCAUGAUACAUCUUGUUGGAACUGCGAUAAAUAGCAUAAUGAGAUCCAUGAGCCUCGACCAUGACCCUUCCCCUUAAUCCAUCGACAUCGGGAACACAUAGCCUACCUUGGUAUCUCAAGAUACCAUCACCACCAAUCACAAUGUUCACAAGUUUAUGUUGACCCAUAUUACUUUUGAUAUUCAUCAAGUUGGGGUCCAAUGCUUUUUUUUCUUUAUCUCGACAAUAAGAGAUUAUUGAGAUACCAUAAGCACAAACAAACCAUCAUCCUCGGAAUUCAUAAGUUGAACUCCAAGAUUAUUCAACGGUGAAUGUCUUUCACCAAUUCUCGCUUAUCCCCAUCUACAUGGACUAAACACCCUAUGAACAAUCUACUAAGAGUAUCGACAACUAUAUUUGCCUUACUAGGAUGGUAAUGAAGAAGCAUAUCAUAGUCAUUCAAAAGCUUAAGCCACCUUCUUUGCUAAAGAUUCAACUUCUUUUGAGUAAACAUACAUUAGAGGCUCUUAUGACCGAAAAAGAUAUCAACAUGAACCCCACAAAUGUAAUGUCUCUAAAUAUUUAAUGCAAAGACCAUAACUUACAACUCUAUAUCAUGGGUAGGGCAGUUCUUCUUAUGUUCUUUCAAUUGAUUAGAAGCAUAGGCCACCACCCUACCAUGUUGCAUCAACACGCAACCAAGUCCGACCUGAGAAGUAUCACAAUACACCACAAAACCAUCAAUACCUUAGGGUAAGUCAAAAUCAGAGCAAAAGUCAAUUUAUUUUUUAACUUCUCGAAACAACCCUUACACGAAUUGGACCACAAGAACUUUACCUUCUUUUGGGUUAAUUUAUUCAAUGAGGCAGCUAUAGUGGAGAAAAUCUCCACAAACCUUCUAUAGUAAUCGGCUAGACCCAAGAAGCUCCAAAUAUCGAUUGGAACUAUAGCUCUAGUAGCUUUUUAACCGCUGCAACUUUUAGGGGAUGUACCAUGAUCACUUCACUAGAGAUAACAUGACCAAGAAAAGCUAUUGUUUUCAACCAAAACUUGUACUUGGAAAACUUGACAUAUAAAUUAUGAUCCUUCAAGGUUUGAAACAUGGCACAAAGGUAAUUUACAUAAUCCUCCUCACUUAUAGAAAACACUAAGAUAUCAUCAAUAAAGGCAAUAAUAAAUAUAUCCAAGAAUGGAUGAAGACCCUAUUCAUUAAGUCCAUGAAUGCCGUUGGGGCAUUGGUCAACCGAAAAAACAUAACAACAAACUCACAGUGAACAUACCGGGUUCUAAAGGCCGUCUUAGGGAUAUCUGUAUCCAUAAGCUUAAGCUGAUGAUAACAGGAUCUAUGAUCAAUCUUAGAGAAACAAUUUGUACCCUAAAGUUGAUCAAGCAAAUCAUCGAUCCUAGGAAGAGGAUAUUUAUUUUUUAUGGUCACUUUGUUCAACUAAUGAUCAUCAAUGCACAUACAAAAGCAUCCUUCUUGCGCACGAACAACAUAGGAGCACCCUAUGGAGAGACACUAGGGUGGAUAAAACCUUUAUCUAAGAGGACUUUUAAUUGCUCCAUAAGAUCUCUUCGCUCUGCUAGAUCCAUUCUAUAAGGAGGGAUAGAAAUCGAAUGAGUUUUUAGGAAAAGAUUAAUCCCAGAACCAAUUUCCUUAUCGGGAGGAACAAUGAGAAGAUCUGCGAGAAAUACCUCAAGAAACUCAUUAACCACGAGAAUAGAUUCUAGAGAAGGUUCUUUUGAGUUAGAAUCUUUAACUUAGACUAAAUAAUACCCUUUUAGAUCAACUUUUAGGAAUUUAGAUAAAAAAUGAACCUUUUAUGAGGAACUACGAAAUCACCUUCCCAUACGAUAAUUGGAUCAUUAGGGAACUUGAAUAUGACUGAUUUGUGAGCAAUUGCUAACACAUUUAAGACCUUUAACCAAGAAUAAUUAUGAAGUCUUAAGCAACUUUUUUUGUUUUUGAUUUGUUUAUGUCUGAUUUUACAGUUUAAGCUGAUGGGAUAGAGAACCAACAAAAAUAGAAGCAAAGAAGUUAAAAUCUAGAGGAAUUUGAAGAGAAGUGUGGAUGACAACAUCUAUGAUAAGUCAUCAGCCCUGUAAUAGGAUAUCAUAGUUGUCAUUAGACUUAACCAUGAUUUGAAGCUUCUGACGACAUCUAGUGAUAUGACGUCAAAAGUGUGAUACACCAUCAUGAAUGUCAUCAUCUUUAAAUAGAGAAUGGAAGUUAAAGAUAUUUUUAUGACGAUGUUCAUGAUAAGCCAUCAGGUUUGUGAUAAGGUGUCAACAUCAUCGUCAGUCUUAGACAGCAGAAGCCGAAAGUGCAGAGGAGCUGACGACAUCCUUGAUAAGCCAUCAGACUCCUGAUAAGCUAUCACGUAUAUUGUCGUCCAUUCUAAGAAAAAGAUGCAACUUUAAUUUUAUUUCCUUAUUUAGGUUGAACUAUUUAAAUCUUUGUUUUGGGGUUUUAUAGGGGGCAUUCAUUCAUUCACCAUCAUCAUUAUUCAAAAGAGAGUUCGAUACUUUGAGUCUUAGAGAAUAUUUUCCGAUAUUUCUUUCUCUAUAUUUUAGGAUUCGAACAAUACUACUAUUGUGGGGAUUUUAUUUUGUGAUCUAAUCUAUGAUUCACUAAUUAUUAUUUAUCUCUAUAAGUAAUCUUGUCUAUUAUAUAUUUAAUUAUGUGUUUCAGUCAUUAUAUCAUGAGUGGCUAAACUUUAUUAACCUGAAUUAUAGGAUCUAGGGUUUAGGUCUUGAUAAGGUGCUAAGUGUUCAAGAUUUGAAAGGUGAUAGGAUUUCUUUAUAAUUCUAAGGUUUUAAUUAACAUCUUUUGGUUGCAAAUAAUAGAUAACACCUUCUUUGAUUUUCUUGAGAAAGAAAUCAAAUAUAGUAGGAAGUGAAUUAUCAACAGGGACUCGGAAAUACUUCAUUUAAUAAUCAGCCCUGUAACAAGGUUGGUUAACCUGAGGUAAAAUCUGGGCAGUAAAUAGAAAUUCCCAACGUCCGAGAGGAUUAGGAAAUUAAAUGCUUAAGUAGGUCAAGAGACAUUUAAGCAUAACAUCGAUUAAGAUAGCUUGUUAUCCUUCCUACCGUGAGAAUCUUGAACCACUUUUAGCAUCUAUCAUAUACCGGAAUCCCUAGUGAACAUAAUUCUAGUUAUUUCUUAAACUCUUGGUUUAUAAACACUGAAACUAGAGUGAUCAAUAAUUAUUUGCUAAUCAUUAAAAAUCCCUACUUUAUCUUUUCUCAUCAUUCGUUUGAAUUCAACUUGUAGCUAUAGUUUUAAACUAGUUUAAUCGCCACUCACAUUGUUCCCUGUGGAUUCGACCCUGACUCCAAAGUUGGGUAAAUAUAUUGACGACGACCGCCUUGCACUAAAUUGACAUGUAAGUUGAGUGUUAUCAAAAAAGAGCACCGUUGCUGGGGAACAAUUUGGCGUAUUAGGUUGGUUUAGAAUUUUAGCCUACUUGCUUGAAUUCAAAUUUGUAAAUAUUUAUUUUUAGUUUUAUUUUAUUUCUUGUGUUAGGUAGAUUUUUAUUUUAGUUUACUUAUUACCAUGGUAUCAUGGAAUGAACAUGAUCUUGGUAGUUAUAAAUCUUAUCUUGAUGAUCCAUAUCCAUAUUGUGAUGGACCUCACUUUUGGCAAGAUUGUAGAUAUGCUACCCGGAGAGAUAUAUGUGCAUUAUCUCCAUCUUAUCAGGAGUAUGAUUGUUCGUUAUGUGGUGGUCAAGAUGAACAUUGGAGUGAUUGCCCAAAUUCCCUCUUCCCCCGAUAUGCUAACCCAAAUUCUAGUUUUUCUUAUGAUUUUGAUAGGUUUUAUGGUCAAGAACAGGAAAAAUAAAACACCGGAAAGAGAAUGAAUCACCGUAAAGAGUGGCAUUGAAGCUAUGCUUUAACUAAUGUUAGAGUGUAUGGACACAAUGAAUUAUAUCAUACAUGAUAUACAUCAAGAUAUAAAGGCAAAUAAUAAGAAAAGAAGAACGAUAGAGGAUAUGGAUAUAGAGCUCAAACAUUCAAAGCACUUUUCCAUAUUAUGUUUAGAUGAUAUCUUGUAUGUGGAAUCAUUUAACAUAAUGGACGGAGAAAGAAUUCAAUGUUAAUGAUGAGCUUAAUGUUGAGUAACCCUCGGUGAUUUCCCAACUAACCAAACCAUUUCUGAAGAAGAUGCCAAAGAUGAGGAGAUGGUACUAGAGUCAAAAAAAGAAAUCAAGGACAAUCCUUGUGAAGACGCUAGUCCAUUUUGGGGUAGAAAUACUAAUAGGGAUGCUACUCCAAAAUCGAGAGUUAUUCCUCAUUCGAUCCACUUUUCAACAUUAUGCUUAGUGGAUGUGAUGAAAGUCGAAUUACCUAAGAAAAUAAUGAAUUUUGAAAAUGAGGAGAAAGAUUAUUAUAUUUUGGAGUUUGUCCUUCCAAAAGGGUAUACUACAACCCCAAUCUUGAAGGCCAAGAAGCUUAAAGAUCGAUGUCUAUUUAGUGGCUGUUUAAGAUUCUCACCAUUUCCAAAUGAGACCAUAUGAAAGUUUGAUGCAAAGUUUGGCAAGCAAUUCAAGUCUUCGAAGUGGCGUGAUAGAACAUUCCUCAUCAUGCCCUCAUAUUUGCCCAACACACCCCGAAGAUGUAUUGAUCAAAAGUUGGAAUGACAUUUCAAAUCCUCCAAGUGGAGACAUAAAUAAUUAUCAACAAGGUAUCUUGAUGAAGUCUGAGUAGUCAAGAUAACUAAGUCGUUCCGUGACACUAAAUUAGGCGCUUCUUGCAAGGAAACCCAAGGUAUUUUGUUGUUUGUAUUUGUAUUAUGUGAUUGACAUUAAAUCUUCGCACCCGUGGUGCCACAAGUAUGUUUCUAACUCUCUUGUUUUGGUUUGAUGUAUUGGGGACAUUGCAUGAUUUUAUGUUGAGGGUGGGGCUACUUGUGGGUGUUGAUGUCCUCUGUGGGUUUUUGUUGCCACGCCUCUUUUUCUUGGAGUCUUAAUCCUAGUAGAGCCGACAUGUUUAGGCGUAUGGUGUUUGUUUUGUGAUGUGUUGUGGUUGAUUGGGGGAAAAAUAAGUAUCUAGGAUAGAUAAAAUAUUUUUGUUGAUUUUUCUUGGAAUGAUAAAUACCACUCAAAUUGUCUAUCUAGUAAUUAUGUGAUGAGCAUCUACAUGUGACUAUUGUGAAUCUUUUUAUGGCAUUAGUAUUAGGGACACGAUAAUCACUGCUAAUAAUUGCAUGAACCAAAUGGGUAGUAGCUUGUGAUUUACCUUUAUGCCAUGUGUGUGUGAGAUGCUACCUUGUUCCCGUUGUGUGUUAAAUCCAGAACUUGCUCGGUUGGUCUUGCCUUGGUUGUAGGAUAGUGGUUAGGAAAGGAUCAUAGGCCGUUGUUGAUGAUAGUCCACUUUUAGCCUAAAUGACCUUCUAUAUGUGAAUAAUAUCCCUUGAUCCUGAUUUUGAGCUUGAAUGCCUAUUCUUUUUAUUAUACCUAUCACCUUCGCAUUUGUAUCACAAUGAACAUAUUUUGGCCCUGGUCCUCCUUGGUCAUUGUGCACUUUUACUAAGGCAAAUCGCCUAAGUUAAAGGUGGAUACUAUAGGAGUGCGUGACAUAAAAUGAGUAUGAAUAAAGGUAGAAUAAAAGAAAAGAAUAAAAAUCUAGGAGUGGUGGAAAAAGAAUAAGAAAAGAAAAGCUGUGAAAAAAAAGAAAUGAUAGUCGAUAAAAAAUUAAAAUUAAGUCAUGGAGUAUGUGUGAUCAAGAAAGGAGAGAACUAAGUAAAGGUUGGUAAGUGAGACCCCAAAAAUAGUGUAGUGCCAAAGAGGCUUAGUCAAUUUAAAUAUCCUCGUGUAGCAUACCAGCCCCAAGCCUAUGUUACAAUGCCAUAGAGAAGACCUAUAGUGAUCCUAACUUAACUGUCUGAAAACUUAGCCAAUGAAAAUAAGAGCAAGCAUAUGGUAUUUGACAUGCAUUGAUUGGAAUUUGUUUCUAAGAGUGAGUGUCUCCUUACCUUCCUUGCAUUUACAUGCUUGAUGUCAUAAAUGAGUGAGGAGGGACUUCGUUGUUGUAAGGGCACAUCAGUUGCAUUGCUAGUUGCCUACUUGUUUGGGAAGUGUAAAUUGUACAUAUGCAUAGUUAUUGUUGCUAAGUUGAUGCCAUAUCUUGAUUCCUUUCUGUCACAUUACUGAUCUUAAUGGAUAUACACAGCUGGGUUUAAAGAGAUUGAAAAUGGAGAGAGUAACGUAUUUUUAACUAAAAUUGAUGAUCAACUAUCAUAGGUAUCUUAUGUAUCUCUUGGUUAAGGAUCGUAGUGUUGUCUUUUAGUUGCUUGAGGACAAGAAAUUUUUUAAGUUGAGGGUGUUGGUGUGUGUGCAAUUUCUAACACAUUUAAGACCUUUAACCAAGAAUAAUUGUGAAGUCUUAAGCAAAUUUUGUCGUUUUUGAUUUGUUUAUGUUUGAUUUUAUAGUUUAAGCUGAUGGGAUAGAGAACCAACAAGAAUGGAAGCAAAGAAGUUGAAAUAUAAAAGAAUUUGAAGAGAAGUGUGGCUGAUGACAUCUAUGAUAAGUCGUCAUCCCUGUGAUAGGCUAUCACAGUUGUCGUCAAGCUUAAGCAUGAGUUGAAGCCUGUGACGACAUCUGGUGAUAUGACGUCAAAAGUGUGAUACGCCGUCAUGAAUGUCGUCAUCCUUAAACAAAGAAUGAGAUUUAAAGACAUUUUUGUAAUGACGUUCGUGAUAAGCCGUCAAGUUGGUGAUAAGGCAUCAACAUCAUCGCCAGCCUUAGACAGUAGAAGCCAAAAGUUCAUAGGAGCUGACGACAUCUGUGAGAAGCCGUAGACUCCUGAUAAGCUGUCACGGAUGUCAUCGUCUAUUAUGAGAAAAAGAUGCAACUUUAAUUUUAUUUCCUUAUUUAGGUUGAACUAUUUAAAGCUUUGUUUUAGGGCUUUCUAUGGGGAAUUCAUUCAUUCAUUCAUCAUCAUCAUUAUUCUAAAGAGAGUUCGAUACUUUGAGUCUUGGAGAAUAUUUUCCGAUAUUUCUUUCUCUAUCUUUUUGGAUUUGAACAAUACAACUAUUUUGGGGAUUUUACUUUGUGAUCUAAUCUAUGAUUGACUAAUUAUUAUUCAUCUCUGUAAGAAAUUUUCUCAAUUAUGAAUUUAAUUAUGUGUUUCAUUUGUUACAUCAUGAGUGGCUGAACUCCAUUAAUCUGAAUUAUGGAAUCUAGAGUUAGGUCUUGAAAAGGUGCUAAGUGUUCAAGAUUCAAAAGGUAGUCGGAUUUAUUUAUAAUUCUGAGGUUUUAAUUAAUGUCUGUUGGUUUCAAAUAAUAGACAACACAUACUUUGAUUUUAUUGAGAAAGAAAUCAAAUUUAGUAGGAAGUGAAUUAUCAACAGGGACUCAAAAACACGUCGUUUAAUAAUCAGCGCUGUAAUAAGGUUGGUUAACCUGAGGUAAAAUCUGGGUAGUAAAUAGAUAUUCCCUAAGUCCAAGAGGAUAGGGAAUUAAACUCUUCAGUAGGUUGAGAGACAUUUAAGAAUAAAAUUGAAAAAGAUAGCUUAUUAUCCUACCUACCGUGAGAAUCUUGAACCACUUUUAGCGCCUGUCAUGUACCGGAAGCCCAAGUGAACAUAAUUCUGGUUAUUUCAUAAAUCUUGAUUUACAAACACUAAAACUAGAGUGAGCAACAAUUAUUUGCUAAUAAUUAAAAACCCCCACUUUAUCUUUUCGCAUCAUUCGUUUGAAUUCAACUUGUAUCUAUAGUUUCAAACUAGUUUAAUCGCCACUCACAUUGUUUUUUGUGGAUUCGACCUCGACUCCAAAGUUGGGUAAAUAUAUUGACGAUGACCGCCUUGUACUAAAUUGAUGUGUAAGUUGAGUGUUAUCAGUGACCAUAAGUGUCCGAAUAUCUAAUGAAGCAUAGCAAGAGUGCAGCUAAUCCACCCUAGAAUGACAUCAAAAUUAACCCUGUCCAACUCUAUCAAGUCUUCAAGAGUAUUCCUACCACCAAUCGAUAUCACACACCCCUUAUAGACCCUUCUAAUAACCACAGGGUCUCCGACCGAGGUAGAAAUAUAAAAGGGAACCGAUAGACUCUUGAGACCACAAUUAAGAUGCACAGCCACAUACGGAGUAACAUAAGAAAGAGUGGACCCUAGAUCAAGUAAACAAUACACAACACAGCUGAAAAGUGUCAACAUACCUAUGAUAAUAUCAGGAGAUGCUUUAGAAUCCUGGAGAGUAGCAAAAUCAUACAAGAAGUUUCGUCCUGCACUGGUGCUAGAUAUAGAAGCAAAGGCAGACAUAGCACCCUUUAGAGUAGGAGUAGAUCGAGUGGUAAUAGGGGCCCUAUUGGCCAAAGGUGCUGUUAGAGAGGGGAAAUCACACUACAUAUGCCCAACCUGACCAUAAUGGAAACAUCUAUUUCUACCCUUCUCAUACUGACCAUAAUGACUCUGACCACAAAAUCUGCAAAGAGGGCGAGGUGGAGCCGAUUGGGCACCACUAGACUAGAAUUGGGCACCCUGUGCCCAGGACCCACCACUAAAAUGAGUCCAAUGAUCAUACAAAAAUUUUGGACAAAGAGAGAAAACACUAUCUAAGGAGAAAGAACUUAAACUCCCCCACUCUUUCUAUGGCCACUUUCAAUCAUCACCAUCAUUAUGCUUAAAAGGCCUAAAUUUUUUCCUUUUCGCUCACUAAGAUCAACUUGCAUCUUUUUCUGUUCUUCCACUUGUUGUAAAUACACAAUUAACCUUGAAAUAUCCAUGUUCUCAAUUAACAAGGCCACCUUACUUUCAAGGACUAACUCACGAGACAAUCCUAAGAAAAACUUAUGCAUUCUAGCCCUCAUGCUAGAAACCAUCUCAGGAACAUACCUUGCCAAUUAUGGAAUUUCAAGGCAUACUCUUGAACGGACAUCCUCCCUCACUUUAUGUUCACAAACUCACCCACCUUUGCCUUCCUCAACUCUUGAGGAAAGAAACGGCCUAAGAAAGACUAAAAAAAUUCCUUCCAUAUAACGGGACUAGAACAAACACCCUUAGACAACUCCCACCCUUGCACCAUUAGUAUGCUACAUACUUCAAUUAGUAGGAAGAAAAUUCAGUUGCAUCGAUCUUCGAAUCAUGCAUAAUUAAAAAAAUCUUCUCUAUUUCAUUAAUGAUGCCUUGAGGAUCCUCCUCAACCUUCAUAUCGGAUAACAUAGGAUGGAUCAACCUCAAAAAUUUUCCAAUUCCUGUUGCCUCAAAAUAAAUGGUAGCCAGAGCACCACAUUUUGAUUGAGAAGCUACCAAUUGAGUCAAGAGUUUGAUAAAAAGACGAAACUCGGUAUUAGUAGCAUCCCUUUGAGGUGACGAAAUAGGAGGGUCACUCUCAUAGUUGGGAUUGGUAGGGAUAGGUUGAACCCUACAAAAAUAGUUGGAUACCACAACCCUAGUCUGGGUCCAAACUCCAAAAUUUGGAUGAGCUUCAUCCAUAGGGCCCUCAGAAGGGUUUUCUCGAGCCUCAUAUCUCCUUGGAGACAUGAUCUAAAAUAUAAAAAAUAGAAAUUUGAGGAGUUCAAGCCCUUAUAAUCUAUAGAUUGAGAUUGAAACAUAAGAAAGGGAAACAUUUCCAAAAAUAUCUCAUAGCUUCUUUUUAUAAGUGUGGCAUACUUCACACCUAUAAAAGAAGAGACUCUACUUGACACAGUAUUGUGGAACCCAACUGACCAUGAACCUAGGCUCUAAUACCAACUUGAUAUAUCCUGAAAUUGGGUCAUGUCAUAGGGCACCUCAAGUUCACAUGAACUAGAGGUUACCCCGAUAACCCAUCAUAAUCAUCACAUCAAUCACAUAGGUUAGGCGAAUCUCGACCAUAUAAUGAGGUAGUAAAAAUCAUACUACGAGUCAUAACUUAAACAAGUCUAAACAAUUCAUUAGAUUCAUCAACUGACCAGUAUGCCAAAGUCCACAGUCAUCCAUAAUGCCUCUUAUAAACCAGAGUUUAGAAAUGUAUAUAUCAGAACAAGCCCCUGACAAUAGCCAAACUAAGUAAAAAAUGACUAAGUCUAAAUAUAGGAGACCAAGGAUGAAUGUCUUCUGAAGAAAGGAAGCUCACCACUUUAAAUUCAAUGCACGAAUUGCUUCAAUCGUCCAAUCACUGUGCAGGAAGAGAAGAAGAUGCUCUGACCCCUAUGUUGCAUGGGGAAAAAGCAUUCAAAGACGGCUAGUAGUUGGAACACUACCAUUUAACUCAAGGAUAAGGAUAAAAUAGAAUCAUCAUUUACAAUAAGCAAUAUAUCAUAUUCAAUCUCAUUCAUAACCUUAUCAAUAUAUAUAUAUAUAUAUAUAUAUAUAUAGACAUAUCAUAUGCCAAUCAAGGGGACAAGAUUUAUCAAUAACUUGGAUGCACUCAUUCAUCAUACAUGAAAUGAAGGACUCCAACCUUCCACACUUAUAGAUUCAAGCAUUUCCCAUUAGGCAUAGGACUUUAACUAUAUUCACAUAUCAUUAAGUAAGGGACUCUAAUUGCGUACACAUCCAUUUAAGUGAGGGACUCUAACCACACUUAGACUCUAACCACACUUAUAUCUAUUCAAGUGAGGGACUCAAACCACUCAUACAUAUUUAUAUAAGUAAGGGACUCUAACUGCUCACACAUAUUCAUUCAAGUAAAGGACUCUAAUUACUCACACACAUUCAUUCAAGCAAGGGACUCUAACAAAAUGUUCAAAUAUUUGGCAAGGGACUCUAACCAUAUGCUAUAUUAGAUAGGGGACUCUAACCCUAAUCUAAUUUAUUUAGCAAGGCACUUCGACCUCAUGAGGUCUCAUUUAGCAAGGGACUUUAACCAAAAACAAUUUUAUUAGGUAAGGGACUUUAACCUCAAGCAAUCACGACUAUCAUUAGUCAAAAUUGGGACUCUAGGCCUUUUUCCAUGCAUCCACAUAUAUUCAAUUCCAUCCAUAAGGACUUUAACUCAUUUAGCCAAUUCAACAUCAUACAUAACCAUAUGGUCCUCAUGGGAGCAUUUAUUGCUCAACCAUUUUAAUAGGCUAAUAACUUAAUUUAACUCAUCAUACAAUUCAAACUAUGGUCCUAAAGACCCUUAAAAACCAUUCAUAUUCUAUUUGCAAUUUUAUACCACAAUUUAGUCCUACAUAUAAUUCACGUUCAUUUUCAUGUUAGGGACUUUAAGCCCUUCUUAUUCAUAAAGCCAUUAAGGUCAUCAAUUACAUAAUACAUGCCUCACUUUGCCUUCACAAUAUUAUUUAUCAAGCAUUCAUACAUCUUGGUCCAUUGCCCUAGUUCACAACAUCAUCAUCAUGUAACUAGGCAUUCAUUUAAAUAUUUUCACAAACACCUUAUGUACGAGCCUUUACCAAAGCCAGUUUCAUAAUAGAAACCAUGAAUACUAGGGUAUUCAAGACCCACAUAUUAGACCACAUACAACAAGCAUUCACAUGUGUAAACUACCAUCAAUAAUAUGUAUAAAUAUAAGUCUAAGCAAGAAUCAUCAUUAUUCAUAAUUAGGAAAUAAAACACUUUUCAUUUGACUUCAAAACCACCAUGUACACUUACUAAUACAAGUGUGAAAUAAAUGGGUUUAGAUUUAUUUAGAAAGGGGAUGACGUACAUGCCUUAAACAAGAUGAAUCACCAAGAAUAUUCAUACCGCUUUGAGGGUGUUUGAUCAAUCAAACUAGAUGUUUAGGAGGAUAAACACACUUACAUAGUGAGGGGGUUUAGGGAUUUAGGCAUGGGAAAUAACCAUAAGACCCUUAGUUAAAAGCUGGAAAUUGAACUCAUCCAGGGGUAGGACUCACUUUAUGAAUCACUUAGGUAGUCAUACCCUAGGGUACGAGUGGUACCCUGAAUCAUAUCCUAGGCCUCUCUUAGCUGACACACAUUAUUAAGGGUAUGAUAAUGCACCCUUGAGUCAUAUUUAAGGGAUACAACUCACCCCCUAGUUGUAUGCUCUAUUCAUAAAAAAUCAGUCCACUCCAAGCCAAGAACUUACUCCAUAUGACUCACCUAGGUAUGAAUCAUACCCUUAGGGUAAUAUUGAAGAUAGGUCACUCAUAUAGAAUAUAGAAUGCUACCCUUCCUAGGCUGCUCAGGGUAUAAGACAAGUGGUGAGGGAGGAUAUGACUCAAGCCCCUAGUUGUACCCACUCGAGUGACACCAAAAUGUAGAGUUUUUCAAUAGUUCUAAGUCUAGGUAUUUCAUCUAUAAGGGGUGUGUGAUAUCAAUUAGUGGUAGGGAUACUCUUGUUGACUUGAUAGAGUUGGACAUGGUUGGUGUUGAUGUCAUUAUGGGGAUGGAUUAGUUGCACUCUUGCUAUGCUUCCUUAGAUUGACGGACCUGUAGGGUCAUGUUUAAAUUACCUAAUGAUCCGGUUAUUAUAUGGGAAGUUGGUUCCCUAGUGCCAAAAGGAAGGUUCAUUUCUUAUCUAAAGGUCUAAAAGUUGAUUUCAAAGGGGUGUUUGUAUCAUUUAGUCCGAGUUAAAGAUUAUAACUCAGAAGUUCCUUCUCUUGAAUUUAUUAUCAUGGUAAAUGAGUUUCUUGAGGUGUUUCUCAUUGAUCUUCCCGGUGUUUCUCCUGAUAGGGAAAUUGAUUUUGGAAUUAAUCUUGUUCUGGACACUCGUCCAAUUUUUAUCCCUCCUUAUAGAAUGGCUCCAUCAAAGCUAAAAGAUCUUAAGGAAAAAUUAAAUCCCUCUUAGAUAAAGUUUUUGUCCAUCCUAGCAUGUCUUCAUGGGGUAAUCCCAUGUUAUUUAUGCAUAAGAAGGAUGGUUUCCUUUUUAUGUGCAUUCAUUAUCGUCAAUUGUAAUAAAUAUCCUCUUCCUAGGAUAAAUGAUUUGUUUGAUAAACUUUAGGGGGCUAAGUGUUUCUCUAUGAUUGAUCUUAGGUGGGGUUAUCAUCAUCUUAAGAUUAGGGAUGCAGAUAUCCCAAAACUACUCUUAGAACUCGGUAUGGUCACUAUGAGUUUCUUGUCAUGUCUUUCGGAUUGAACAAUGACCCAACAACAUUUAUGGACUUGAUGAAUAGGGUCUUUUAUUCGUUCUAGGACAUUUUUGUCAUUAUCUUCAUUGAUGACAUCUGAGUCUAUUCUAAGAGUGAGGCGGAUCACGUAGAUCACCUCUAUGUCAUGUUACCCACAUUAAAGAAUCAUCAUUUGUAUGCUAAGUUCUCUAAGUGUAAGUUUUGGUUGAAAGUGGUAGCUUUCCUUGGUAAUGUCAUCUUUAGUGAAGGGAUCAUGGUAGAUCCCAAAAAGCUUGUGGCAGUUAAGAAGUGGCUUAGACCUAUGACUCUAACCAAUAUUUGGGGCUUCUUGGGUCUAGCCGGUUACCAUAGAAGUUUUAUAGAAGUUUUUCUACUAUAGUUGCCCCAUUGACCAAGUUGACCUAAAAAAAGGUCAACUUUUUGUGGUCUGAUGCGUGUGAGGGUAGCUUUGAGAAGUUGAAAGAUAAGUUGACUUUGGCUCUGGUCUUGACCUUUCCCAAGGGUAGUGAUGGUUUUAUGGUAUAUUGUGAUGCUUUUUUUGUCGGUCUCGGUUUCAUAUUGAUGCAAUAUGGUAGGGUGGUGGCCUAUGCUUCUAGGUAAUUAAAAGUUCAUGAGAAGAACUACCCUACUAAUGACCUAGAGUUAUUAGCCGUGAUUUUUGCAUUAAAGAUUUGGCAAAAUUAUUUUCAUGGGGUUCAUGUCAAUAUCUUCUUCGAUCAUAAGAGUCUCUAAUAUGUGUUUGAUCUUGGGUGUAUUUAUAUGCCUAAGCACCAUAAUUUAUCCAUAUUUUAGCUAUGUUUAGAGAACAAAGUGCCUAGUUUCUUAUGUUUUUACUCUACUUCUAUGUAAUUAAGCUAACCGAUGUGAUUAGCAUGAUUUCAGGUAUUAAUGAGGUAUAUGAAGACAUUAUGGGACUAUGGAAUGCGGAUUGCAUAUGACACAAGAGAGAGUAGCAAGCUAGACCAAAUGUGGCGCCUAGAAACUACAUCUGGACCAAAUGUGGCACCUAGAAACUAUGUCCAAGACUAGUUUGUCAUUUAUAAUUAGUUCAGGGACCUAGAAGGCAAUUAUGAUAGAAAAGAUUAUUAAAAGGCUUAAUGUUGAAUUUUUACGGGGGAUUCAAUUAUUCUGUAUUAUUCAGAGAGAGGAGAAUAGCGGCCUAGGAUGGAGAGAGAGAAAAACGUUUCUUCUCUCUUACUUUCACCAUUCGCAUACUAAGAUCGUCUUCUAGUUUUUGGUAUGAUGAAUAUAUUUAUGAUGAUUUUAGUUUUAUUCAUGAAUAGAUAAGUUUAUUAGUUAGGGUUAUGAAAGCCUUGUAGCAUACAAUCUAUUACUUUGGGUUUUGAAUUCAUUAUGCAUUGACUUGUUUAUAUCAUAUUCUCUUCGAUUAUCUUGAAUUCUUGUGGUUGCGAACUUAGAGGAUAUGCCUUAAAACACAACUUGUUCAAAAGAAAGGUUGUUGAUAAAAAAAGAGAGUACUUAUAAGAAAAUAGGAUUACCAACCCCUAUUUCAUAAGUUAAUGCCUUUGAAGGAUUAACUACUUGGAGAUUUCGUAUUGUUUUAGGUAAAAGCUUUUGAUUCGAGAGAACUAAAGUGAAUUAGUCCUUGAUGGUUGAGAAACACUAGGAUUAUGUUAUUAAAUACAAUACGUUUCUCUAUAAACAUGAUGCAUGUAUGAAUUCGUAACGCCCCUAUUUAGAAAGUAUUGAAAACUAUAAGGUGGACAUAACCCUAGCUUGCUAUUUCUCUGAAUUUGAAUACUACUACACAUAUUUCAUCUUGUUAAACUGAAACCAUUAGUUUGUGAACUCAAUCAAAUCCCUCCUAUUUAUUUUAUGGAAUCAAAUGAUUAAAAGACAACUAAUCUGCAUACAACUUAAUUAGCACCGUAUUCCUUGUGGGAUUCGACCCCAACCUAGUUGGGUUAUAUAUUUUACAACGACCGCUUACUCUCUCAUAAGAGAGGUGUAAUUUGAGUAUAUCAAAUUUUGGCGCCGUUGCUGGGGAAUACGAUUGUCGAUUGAGUUUAUGUGUGUAAGUUGAUUGUUAGUCAAGUUUCCUUAUUUUACGUUUAUUUGUUGUUUUUUUUUGUUAUAGGCUCAUUGUUAUUUAUGCCACAAACCAGAAGUUUAGCAGAACCAUUAUUACUUUUCAAUCCUGAACCUUAUGUCAUUGAAAGAAUGGCUAACCAACAGGAAGCUGAAAGAUUAGCCGCUUUGGCUAAUGCUUAAUUAAACCUCCAAAAUGUUGAUAACACAGGUCGAGAACCUAAUCCAGAUGAAGAGGACCUGGGAGACGAUGAGUUGCUGGGGCAAGUUAAUCGAAGGCAUGCACAAGAUAUAGCUGCACUAGUGAACAGAAAUAUGAACAGAAAUCGUCUUUUCAGAGCAAGACCUGAAUGCCAAGCUAUGAAUUUUAAUCUGGAGGAUGAUGAUGAUGACUUGGAUGGAGCCAGUGCAAUAGGGGCUAUUAUUUCUCCACCUAUAGCACCCGGAGCCAAGUUUAAUAUUACAUGCACUAUGAUCCAGCUGUUGCAAAUCAAAGGGUUAUUUGGUGGACUUGCAGGCGAUGACCCAAAUAUGCAUUUAGUUAAUUUUGUCUCAACAUGCAUGUCAUUUAAUAACCCAGGGGUUGGACAAAAUGCAAUUCGACUGCGCCUAUUUCUAUUGAAUCUAUCUGGAGAGGCAACUCUAUGGUUAAGUGGGCUAAAUCCCAAUUCUAUUACCAAUUGGAGGCAACUGAAAUAUGCUUUCCUAGAAAAGUUCUUUCCGCCAUCCAAGAGAGCACAAUUGAGAGAUAAGAUAAGUAAUUUCAGAGAGCUUCCAACUGAAACUCUCUACAAGACUUGGGAGAGGUUUAAGAAGAAGCUUAUGCGGUGCCCAAAUCAUCAGAUGAACAAUGUCUACUUGAUAAAGAUAUUAUAUCAGGCCUUGAAUUCGGAUAUAUAAUGCUGCGGGUAGAUCAUUCAUGGACCUCUCUUUUACUGAAGCUUCUGAGAUGCUUGAUCGAAUGACAAAGUAGAGUAGAGCUUGGCAUACCAGGGAUUCUAAGGUAGCAAGCUCUACUGUAUCUAUUAGCAUGACUGCAGAACAGAGGCGAAGAGAAGAAGAGUGUGACUAGGACAUAACUCAUAUGAAGAUGCAAAUGGAUCUUCUCACUAAGAAGGUUAAAGCUGUAGCAUCACAGGGGAGGGGUGACUCCAAUCCUGAGAAAGAAGCCAAUUACUUGAACAACCAGAUGGGUUUCUGAGGUGGUGGCCAAGGAAACCAAGGUUGGAACCAUCAAGGAGAUUGGAAGAGUAAAAGUGAAAGGAGCGCAUUGUAUGUACCUCCUGGAAGCUGUGAUAAUGCUGCCACCGGUUUAGGCAAAAUAUCCAUGGAGGACAUGAUGGAGAAACUAUUAAAGGGAGUUGAGGCGACAAAUUCUGGGGUGAUUAUUGUAAAGAGUAAAAUAUCUUCCAUGAGUCAACUAGUAAAUUCGCACUUAGUCACUAUUAAACAAUAAGAGCAGCAGAUGAGCCAAUUAUCCGCAGUAUUCAACCAAAGACAGAAUAGGACUCUACUAAGUGAUACAGUUCAGAGUCCGAGGACUGAUGGAUCAUGUAUGGCCAUUACCACUAGGAGCGAUAAGAUGUUAUCUAGUCUAGGUUUGGAAGCUUUCUCUUAUACUGAAGAGGUUAAAAUAGAUUGGGAGAUGGUUGAUGAAUCUCUAGUGGUGCUUGUGGAGUUGGGAGGUUUGAAAAAGAAGAGUGCGGAAGUUGAACAAUCAACUAAGCCGAAUCAUGUUAUGUGGAGCAAGGCAUAAGAAAGGAGGUAAAAGUUGCUCCAACUGAAAUCCCAAGGACGCCACCCCCAUUUCCAUAACGAUUAAAUAAGAAAGAAGAUGAUGGAAAGUUUAGCAAAUUCAUGGCUAUGUUGAAGCAGUUGAUAGUGAAUGUGCCCUUAGUUGAAGCACUGGAACAGAUGCCCAGAUAUGCUAAGUUUAUGAAAGACCUGCUGAGAAGAAAAAGACUGUGAGCUAUGAAAUGGUAGACAGUCUUCAUCAUUGUAGUGCUAUUUCUAUAAGAUCUAUUAUCCAGAAGAAAGCUGAUCCGGGAGCAUUUACUGUUCCAUAUACGAUUGGAUUGCUAAAGUUUGAAAAGGCCCUUUGUAAUCUUGGGGAAAGUAUCAAUCUUAUGCCAUUGGUGGUUUUCAAGAAACUGGGUUUGGGAGAUCCUACACCCACCAAUAUGUGGCUUCUAAUAGAGGAUAGAUUGGUAAAAAAGCCGGUUGGGAUUCUACAUGAUGUACUUGUAAAAGUUGCUGAUUUUAUAUUUCCUGAUGACUUUGUAAUUCUUGAUUGCGAAAUGGAUUUUAAAGUAUCCAUAAUUUUGGGUAGGCCGUUCUUAGCAACUGGGAGAGUGUUAGUUGACAUGAAGCUGAAUGAGCUGAAGUUUAGGCUCAAUGAGAAAGAAGUUAGCUUUGAAGUAUAUCGGUCUAUGAAACAAAAAAAAGAGAUUAGUGUCUUCUCGAUUGUUAAUGUAUUCUAUGAAGAUGAGCGAGAUGUACCAUUUAAGGAUAUGUUUUUUGUGGAGACCAUUGCUGGUUUGGUUGAACUUGCAAGUAAGGAUGUGAGUGACUGCAAAGUGGUUGGACUAAGUAUAAAGCAUUUUCUUGAUCCAGCAAAUGAGGUACAAAAGGUAUAAUUGAUGUAUCUUGACAAAGUCUGAGUAGUCAAGAUAAUCGAGUCGUGCUACGACGUUAAAUUAGGCGCGGAAUGGGAGGCAACCCAUGAUUUUAUUUUCACUUUACUAUGUUAAAAAAAAUAAAAAAGAAGAGUCGAGCCAUGACCGAAACUACGGCGCUUGGUAGGAGGUAACCCAUCUUUCAAAUCAUUUUUGUUGUUUUUGAUUAAGUGUAGGUGCAUGAAGUACUAAGGAGAAGAUUAUCACCAAUUUUGAUUUGGAAGGAUCCAUGUCAAUGGUGGUAAGUUUAGGAGUGAUAGGAACAUUACAACUAACUUGGAGUGGUCAAAUGUGUAAGGCUCAAGUAUGAUUCGCAUUAGAGUCGCGCUUCAAAUUAUGUUAAUCCGACCCAAAAAGUUUUGCGGUGCGACUUUAUUUUGUGACUUUCAAUAAGGUUUGUGAUUGUAUCAUAGGGAUUGGGCCGAUAGGACCAAUCCUGAAGCCCACUACUGACCUUGAUGAGGGUACGGGGGCGAAGCCCCCGCGGUAUGGAUCUUUUCGACCAAGAGUGCUCCGCACAUCCCAUCGCACAUGCUAAUUGGACCAACUAUGUGAUACCCUAUGCGGCGUAUAUAAAAAUAUAGGCGAUAGGGUAUGCGCCGCAUAUUCCAUCGCCUAUGCUCAUUGCCUCACUUAGGCGAUAGCUUAUGUGCCGCCUAUGUCAACAUAGGCGAUAGGUUAGGUGCCGCUUAUACCAUUGUCUGUGCUCACUGCCUCACUUAAGCGAUAUCUUAGGCACUGCCUAUGUCAACAUAGGCGAUAUGUUAGGCGCCGCAUAUACCAUUGCCUAUGCUCACUGCCUCACAUAGGUGAUAGGGUAUGCGCCGCAUUUCCAAUCGCCUAUGCCUACUAGCUGGUUACUUUGCUACUUGUUUUGUUAAAGGAUACCAUGAUGACUGAAACCCAAGGAAAUAAAUACGCUAGAGUAAGAAUGGAUCACUAUCUUACCAAAACAUUUAUUGACAUGCAUCACCAUAUAAUUCUCAAAAAUUGAUUUAGUUUUUCAUCCUAUCAUCUCCCCCGUAUAUCAAAGAUGACAUUCUAAGCCUAUUGGACUAUUCCAUUUCCUUAAGACUGAGCCAUAAUCUCUUCACUCUAAUGGUCUAUAUAAGAACGUUCAACUCACAUGGAUAAACUCUAUUAGGGAAAUACUAACUUUAUUCUUAGCCACUCCUCUCUUAUAUACCUCAACUAACUCUCUAGCUUCAAUAAUCCUUGUCAUAUACUUAUACCCUUCUUAGUAAACAUACCAACCUCAUUAAAGACAUAAUCCACCCUUCUCUUCAUAGUUUUCCAAAGUCAUACCUCUAAACUUAUAUUUUUUUCUGAAUCCCUGAGAAUUAUUAUCACACCAAAGACCAAACAUCUUCCACCUAUAACGUCAACUCAGCUAUCAAUAUAACCAUAUACUGUAUAUCUAGCCUUUUUCACACUUAGCAACUCAGGGGUACUAUCUAAGAAAAUAAGACACUUAAGAAACUUAGAAAAUCAUACAACCACACAUUUCCUUGGGCACAUCUCUACAUCAUACAUACACCAUUAUACUUAAUUACAAAUAAAUAAACUUAUAUUCUUGCAUACACUAUUUUAGUCCUACUAGAUCACUUUCAUAUAACUAGCACCACUAACCCAAGUAAUUAUUAUUUCUACUUUGAUAUCAUCCACUUUUCAAACUUAGUGUGUAGAAAUAAACAUAAUAACCACAAACUCACACAUAAUUCUUACUUGACAAAACAUCCAAAAACACUAGUCCACUAGCUCCUCAUAAUAAAAAUAAUUAAUCAUAAUAUUACGGUUUAUCUUAGUGUGAUCCAUUAGCAUAUCCUCAUUUCAUGCAUCACUACUAUUUAUCCAUCCAUAGGUAAAAAUUAUAAUCCUAAAACUACAAGCACCAACCAAUUCCUUUUUUACAACCACAAGGGAAAGCCUAGAUUAACAAUCCUUAACAACCAAAAGUUUCAUUAAUAACCUAUACUUUUAUAGCAUAAUAAAAUACCAUCAACAACUCCUCUCCUACUUUAAUCAUACUCUAGAUCACCCUAACUACUAGCUUCUUCUCUACCUUACACCAUAAAAUCUACACCACACUCACUCCCUAUAGUUAACACCUAAAAACAUAUUACCUUAAUACUAACUCUAUAACAUACAUAUAUUCAUUUAUAUAGUUUUAGUCAAUCGCUACCCCCACCUUUCUUGUCACUAAACAUCUAAAUCCAUGCUUUUAACUCUAAGGAUGUUCUACUAUUUACGAAUCAUAAUAUUCUAGGUUACAAUAUCCCUUAAUGAAAUCUGUAUUCAAUCCUCUAGGUACAUACUCCCUCUUUUUAUGAAUGCUAUUUGUAAUGAAGAGUGAAUGAGGAAUCUAAAUAAAUAUUGUAUUCUAAAUUAACUACACAACUGAUAUGGAUAAAGACAUAAGAUUCCAAUUUAGAGGACUUAAAAUACACUAACUAACUCCUUUCAAGCCCUUUGUGCUAUUUUUAAAGUUACUGAUAGUUAAUCUGAGAGAAACAUAUCAAUCAGAUUUGAGAUUUACUACUUGUGUUUUCUAAAAAAUAAGUCAUAGUUGGAGAAUUUUGGAGUAAUACACGAAUCGAUAGAAGUUUCUGAGAGGACAACUUUACUGCAUGAUAUAGAGUAUAAAAGAAGGGAAAUAUUGGAACCGUUGGAGAUUUCACCACUUAGCAAGGGACUAGGUCCCUCAAAGUCAAUCACAGGCAAAAAACAAUAAACCAACUAGAAAGUAAGAGAUAGUGUAGGAAGAGUAAGAACACAAGAUUUUAACAUGGAAAACCCCUUGCUAAAGGAAAAAAAAAAACACGGCUUGCCCUCACAAGCACCUCAAAAUCCAAUAUAUUUUAAAUCUUGAUUAAGUUUUCAAUAAACCUAAAUCUAGGUUACUUUCUCUUGUAAUAACUCUAUUAAAAGUUCAUCUUGACAACUCUGCCAAGGACCCUUUACACUAAUUAACUCUAAUCAGUAUCAAACUUAAGAAACUCUACCUAAGUACUCUCUACUCAAAGAAAAAAGUUAAUUACUCUUAUAUAACGAGUAAUUCAUUUACAAAUUAGAACUCACUCAAGAACAAUUUCUAUUUAAGCAUACAUAAAUAACUAAGAACUUGAGCAGUGUUGAAAUAAGGUUUUUGCUGCCUCUCUUCACUCUUUGUAUUCACUAAAAACCAUUUGAUGAAGAAGCAUAUUUUUCCUUUUAUAGAUGAGUGAUGAUUAGGGAUGAAAUACAAUUAGACCAAGUGUCCUAUUCAUCACAGGUAGCACCUGUAAGUUUGUUUCACAAGAGGAAAAAAUUGUACAGACAUGCGUGCUAGCUGUAUUUUACCAUGAACAUCCAGGGACCUGGUUAUUUACCAUUAUCUUCUCAUAAUCCAAACUACAUUUAGCAAUUUUCUCCCUUUUUGAUGAUGACAAACCAACCAUACAACUUUGAGUACGUCCAUCACAUUUAAUCAGUUUGGUUAUCACUCUGAAGAUGAAUGUUCCCCCUAUCAUCAUGGUUUCACCAUUAUGGAAUACAGGGACCUGGUCCCUUGUUACCAUUUGGAGAAAAAAUUCUAAGCAUAUAUUUGCUUCCCCUAUCACUGUACCAUACCAUACUUUUCCUUAUCAGCAUGCACUACAUGAGCACACUUACACACAUAUCUGGUCCUUGCACAUAAAGUUAGUAUUCCCUAUUUUGGCAUUAUUAAAAAGAAUUAAUAGUAAACCAAGAGUAAAGGUAAGUGCAAGAUAAUUAACUCAUGGCCACUGGGGCAACAAUACCAUGAAGAACAGCUUUAAAAUAAAGAAAAUAGAUGAGGCCAACAAAUAGAAAUUUAUUCAUGAUUAAUUAGGAUAGGUACCUUUAUAAUAUACCAAAAACGAAUUAUAAAACUCCUAUUUGCAAAGGCCACACAGGAAUCAUAAACUAGAAACUAGCACAGAAUCAUGAACUAGAAACUAACACAGAACUGAACAAGGAGGAUAUGGGUAGAGGAUGGUUUAGAUGAGAGCGAUUUCAACAACAUGUCCAUUUUUUCAUCCUCAACAACAUAAGUAUCCAAUAAUUGUUUGGUGAGAGUUUUAACUUCAGCAUUUAGUGCUUGGACUUCACCAGUCAAUUCUAUAAUUUUUCCUUUGAGCUUUGCAUUUUCUGCUGUAAGUUCUUUAGUGGCAUCUGGUCCCUCUGAGGAUAGCAUUUGAUUUUGUAGUCUCAGAUGCACUAUUUCUGUGUCUUUUGCUGCUAGAAUAAUCCUAAACUCCCCUAUUUUUUUGAUUAAGCUUUCUUAAGCAACCAAUAGCUUAGACACUUAGGACACAGUCCCCACCUUUCCUUUAAUGCACUUAUUUUCCACUAGUGUAGUUAAAGUGAUCUUUUGUUUUACUGUUCCUGGUGUUCCUCUAGACCCAAUCACUCCAAAAUGAUUAAAGACUUUGUUCAAAUGUAACCAUAUGGCAUCCCAAACCUUCCUUUCUUUUCAUGAACCACCUUGUGCAUAUGCUUUAUCAUUAGAGUAAGCAGAUUCAUCAACUCAAACUUACUCAGGUAUUCAUUUAAAAAUAGAUCAAAAUUAGAGGCAAUUGUUCUUUUCUCUACUCUUUGUAGCAUAACCCUUUUAAUGAAUUCAAAAACCAACUAAAACUCACUUUUUAGAAAUUUCUUCUUUACUGUAGCUAUUGAGGUCCUACCUAUUCUUGAGGCCUCAAUCAUAAAUUUAGUUAUGGGCUGUUGCUUCACCACUGUCCUCACACCUACUAUAGUUACAUACAAAAUUUCUCUCAAGGUUUCUUCAUCUAGUCUUAUUUUUUUUCCUUGAACUAGUGCAAAUAGACACAAUCCAUCUUUUGAGAAAUAUAUUGAAUAAUCAAAUUCUCUCACUUUAUUUUCAAAAACCAUUGGUGCUGUUCCUCAAAUAGAUGCAACUAUCCUUGGUGCCUGACAUAUUCUACCAACUCCACUACUCCAAGUUUUUCAUAGAGUUUAGGAUAAAAUAUUCUUCCUGACACCACCUUUUGUAUUUUCAAGCUUUCAAUCCUUCUAUCUUUGGACAUGUUUUUAUUUUUUUCCUUUCUUUUUAUUCUCCUGGGCUCAUUACUUGACUCUUUAUUUUCAUAAGUUUUUCUCUUCUUGGGGUUAGAUCCCUCAGAGACCUUCUUUUUUUCACAGCUUUGUGCUUCUUUUUGCUUACACCAUGAGUCCCAGGCUCAUUACUUGACUCUUUAUUUUCAUAAGUUUUUCUCUUCUUGGGGUUAGAUCCCUCAGAGACCUUCUUUUUUUUCACAGCUUUGUGCUUCUUUUUGCUUACACCAUGAGUCCCAGACUUUGGAUCGGAGGACCUAGUCCCUUCAUCACCAUGAACUACUAGUCUUUUCUUCUUAGAUCCAAUAGAAAUAUCAAAAUCAUUUUCCUCCUCUUCUCUUACCUCCAUAGCUUUAAGAUUUUCUUCUUCCUAUAUAGUAGAUUUCCCAAGUCUUCUUCUUUUAGUUGUAGAGGACUUACUCUUCGUCAUUGCAUUUGCUGGUAAUUUUAUCUCAAACCCUCUAGUGGUGUAAGAUCUUGUAAUUUAUAUACCAUAGCCAAUCAAUUUCUCCUCUCCUUUAUUGUUCUUUAGUUUUUUCAUUUUCUAAGUGAAAGGUUGUUCAUCCUUAUCCUUUUUAUUUUCCUUAUUUAGGGGUAAUACAAACUCCUUAUCCUUUUUCAAAUCAUCCUUUUCUUCUUCUAUUUGAUCUUUUCUAAUAGAAGAACUUUUCUUGGGAUCAUUUACAAGUAAGAGCAAAUUUUUAGCUACCCAAUUUAUGCUGCUAAAAAGAUCAGACUUCCUUAUAGGAAUUUUUUCAUCAACUAUUUGGUACAACAUAAGGUUUGUUUCAGAAAGAGUGGGGGAACCAGGCUCUUGUAAAUUUUCUAAGAUUUUAGUACCUUUAAAUUCCUUAGAGGGAACCUAAUUUUGAGGAGCAUUGGAGGACUCUAGUUUCUUUGGGGAAAUAGGUUCUUCAGAUUGAAGUAUCUCUUAUUCAAUUGGAGAGCCAAAACCUUUGUUUAGCUCAUAUACUAGGAUAGAACAUUCACUGGGGCUUAGAGUUUCGACUGGAACAGUUUCACUUAGGGUCUCAGGAGUCUCAUGGGAAGGACUGAUGGGAAAUGCACUUUGUGUCUCUUGAUAAUGAUCAAUAGACAAAUCUUUCAAGGGGUUUGAAGAAGAGGGAAUUUCAAAAAUUAUGAUUUUUUAAGAAGGAAAGAAGAAGUACCAAUUUUGAUUAAGUUCUGAGUUAAAUGAGAAGAGAAUGAAUUAAAAGGAUUUGAAUUUAUAUUUAAAAAGGUGUCCGUCUGACAUUUAAGAGCUAUAUUUUUUAAUGGAUGUAUCUGAUGACAACGGUUGUGACUCUUCAUAUUUGAACUAUGUUGACAACUUUUGUUCAUAUAGGAUUGGAUAUAUGGCCUUUUUAAAUAGAAAUCUUAUAAAAAUUUAAGGCACAUUAUUUUGGUACUCACAUGAGAGAUGGGACCAGGUCCUUCUCUUUUUGAGUGAAUUUUCAACUUGUGUUUUCUUCAAUUGUUUCCUUCCAAACCUAUCCCCUUGGGUGUAUACCUAAAAAGGUAUGCUACUGAUUUAGAUUAACAUGUACCUAAUUUAUCUUGGAUAUCUUUCUCCUUGACAAAGAUAAUUUUUAGGAGUGACAUUGACUCAAAUAUUUGGUCAGGGUAUUUUGAUCAAGCUUGGUCUUAAUGUGCUCUUUUAGAAUAGGUCUAACGACCAGAUUCCGGAUUUUACUUCACUCAUACUGCCUCAAGUUUCUUUUUUUAGGAUGAAUUCUAUUGGGAUCAGGUCCCUUGAACUCAUCUAUUUCAAAAUGAGACACUUUUACAUUAAAGUGUCUUGAGAGAGAAAAUCCAGUCUAAUCUUUUGAUGUCGAGCUUAGUAAACAUACUAUUAAUAAAGCAUUUUUAACUGCAAUCCCUUUUCUAAUGCUUGAAAUCAUGAUCACAAGUUAGAUUUGGGAACCCACUUCAGUUUGAGUCCUAGUAACAGGAUAAUGGUGUGAUCAAAUUUUUUUAGCCUAUCUAGGUAGAGAUAACUUCCUCUUCACAAUUUUCGGAGGCUUGAAAUCAUUAAUAAGUAAUUUCCCUCACUGAACAUAUCUUGAACCACCUAUAUUAGCUCUAAUCCCACUUUAAAAUUUUUUCUUGGAGUGCCUAUCUUUUAUACAGUGAAUGCAUAGGAGUUUGCUUUCUUUGUUUCUAAGAUUAGUGACAGUCUUCCUUUGAGACACAUUAGGAUUGGAUUAUUCUUAGUAGCAUAAACCUCUAUCAUUAUUAAUACCUUGACUAGUCAGAUUAUAAAUAAUAUAUAAAGAAGCAGUCCACUUAAGAGAUUUGUUCAACUUUUCUAAUAAGCGGACUAGGCCCGUUUCUAAGUCCUAAUUCCUGUAAAGUGCAGCUAUAAGGUGUUUUUGAGAAUCCCCCAUCCUUUCCCAAAGAUCAAUUUGAAGCCUUGAAGCUUCUUUUUUCCCCUUUUUAUGUAUCUCAUUUACUUUCUUUUGAUUACUCAUGAAACUCAGAUUUUAGAUUUUAUUUUUGUGAACAACUUUUUAGAUUUAGAAUUUUGUAAAGCUAAAGAAUCAACUCAUCCUCUCAAUUCUCUACUUUUUAUUCUAAGGCUUUCUUCUCAAUAGUUAGUUCACAUACAGAUUCUAUCAACAUACUUUCAAGCCUUUUUAUCUUCCUAGUAGAGUAAUUAUCUAGAUUCUUCUUAACAUCAGAAAGAGUUACCUCAUUUUAUUUUUCAUCUUCUGACUUUUCCAUGAAUGCAACAAGUAAUCAUAGAUAACUGGACUAUCUUCCACUUCUAGCAUAGAAACAUUUCCAGUCAUCUUAUCUUUAUUUGAAUCAAUGAAAGAGUCUCCCUUUCUUCCAUCAGAGAACACCAGGAACCUGAGGUUAUUUUCUUAUCAUCCUGUUUUGGCAUCAAACCAUCUCCAUACUCUUUGUCUUCCCAGAUUUGGUGGAUAAGUAUUCCUAAGAAGUCAACACCUUCUUUACUAUACAACUAGUUGCAUAUUUUCUUCUUGAUGUUUCAAGAUUUUGUUUCUUCUUUUGCAUUGCGUAGUUCCUCAUGAAUUCUUUAGAGCUUCUACCUUUUGUGUAGAUCUAACAAUCAUUGUUCACAAAAGAUCAACAUCAAUGUCUUAUUCACCUGAGUAAAAUUCUAAAUCCUUCAAAGUCAGGAAUCUUUUCCUUUUUACUUUUUUUUUUCUCCAUCCCUAGUUUAGUUAUAGUAGCUAUAAUGACCAGACCACUCUAGAUAUAAGUUUUUUAGAGUGAACCUUAUCUAAUACAAAUUGUUGGAAAACUUGAGGGUUGAACCAUUCAGUGAGGGACCAGGUCCCUCAAAGUCAAUCCUAGGCAAAACACAGUAAACAAAUCAGGAAGUAAGAGAAAGUGUAGGAAGAGUAAGAACACAAGAUUUUAACAUGGAAAACCCUUGCUUAAGAAAGGAAAAACCAUGGAUUGUCCUCAGAAGCACUUCAAAAUCCAAUAUAAUCAAACUCUUGAUUACAAUAUUUAAUGGACCUAACUCUAGGUUCCUUUCGCUUGUAAUAAUUCUACUAUAAGCUCAUCUUGACAACUCUACCAAGGACUCUCUACACUGAUUAACUCUAAUCAGUAUCAAACUUCGGCAACUCUAACUAAGCACUCUCUAAUCAAAGAGGAAAGGUCAUUACUCUUAUAUCAUGAUUAAUUCAUUUACAAAUCAGAGCUCACUUAAGAAUAAUUUCUAUUUAAGCACACAUAAAUAGAUAUGAACUUGAGCAAUGUUAAAAUGGGGUUUUUCUUGCCUCUCUUUACUCUUUAUAUUUGCCAAAAACCAUUUGAUGAAGAUGAAUCUUUUUUAUUUUAUAGAUGAGUGAUGAUUAGGUUUGAAAUAUCAUUGGACCAGGUGUCCUAUUCAGUACAAGAAGCACCUGCAAGUUUGUUACACAUGAGGACAAAACUGUGCAGACACGCAUGGUAGCUAUACUGUACCAUGAACAUCUAGGGACCAGGUACCUUGCAGUUAGCUACUCAUCAUCGAAACUACAUAUUGUAGGAAACAUUUCUUAAAUGCCCAAUAACCUCUUAAUGAAAAGUACGAAUGUCACUUUAUCAUUCUGCUAGACUCUACUAGACAUGACUUAAUAGACACCCUAGGACGCUCAAACUCUCUCUAAUACCAAGUUUUUAACACCCUGAGAGUACUCCCUGGAAGUUACAUGAUGCUUAGAACCAUAAGUGAUCCCAAGCUAACCCAUGAUACUAGUAUAAUUUGUGAGUAACUGAGUAAAAUAAGUGAAACUAGAAAUAUUAAGGGGAAAAGAUGCCAUUAGCUAAACUUAAUCAAUACAAUGCUAUUUAAGAAUAUUUACAUAACUGGAUUAUAAAAGAGAGAACUAAAAUAGAAUACAUAAACUCUCACUGAUGUUCUAUGAAGCCUCUACUAAUAAUGAAUACAGGUAUUUUAGACAUGACCCCCAGCUAUCCCUGAUCAAUAUGACUGAAUAAAAAUGUUACUGGAACUAUAGCUUACUCGAGUCUUUGAAUCAAAAGGACUCAACACUUACCGAUAGAAAAAUCUGAACUAUCUGACCAUGAUGUGUGGGCUACAACCAGUGCCUAUAUUAUUAAACAAUAUAGCCAUACACUUCUGGAAUGUACUGAGUAAGCAGGGGUGAAUGCAAUAAGUAAAUCUAAAGCUAUUAAUACUUUCAAAUUAUGCAUGAUAAGUGUAAAAGGAAUCAACUUGAUCAUGAAUUAAACUAAAACAUCAAAUAUCAUAAAACAUGAAUAAUAUAGCAUAAUCUGAUAAGCUUAGUGAGUUAUUACACUUAAUUUCUAAAAUCCUUACUUUUUUAGGAGAUUCUUAUAACUGAUAUAAAUCAUGUGAGCUAUCAUAAAGUUCAACGUCUUACCCAUGUUGGGAAGAGUUGUUCUACCCUUUCUAUAAGAAUAUAGCCUUAACGUAGAGGGAUCACUAAACUAGCCCAUUAGGGGCGAGGAGACACUCUCUGGUGAGGUCCCUUAAACCUAUCGUGGCAUGUAGUUUUUGUAGAAAAGGAUGCUUUAAAUCCACAUUCCCCUCUCGCUGCUAAAUAAUAUUCCUAAAACAUAUACUUAUAUGCUUAUACUUAUGACAUCCACCUUAAAAUUGCAUAUGUAUUUAUAAACGGAAAACCAACUGUGCUUAUCUUGCUUAAAUCAUAUUCUUGAGGAAAUUUGUAGAUUUCAUGUCUUAGUUGAGAUGAUAAGAUCAGAAAUAAACUUUAAUAAUGAUAUAAUACUUGUAACUUAAUCUGAUAGGCUUGAACUUCUGGUAAACUCAAUAAAUUAUGCUUAAAAAAAUUAAAAUCAUUUAUCAUCUCAUAGAAGCUUCAUAUCAAAAUACAAAAUUAAAUGCUUACUAUCAAUUUUAUAGAUAAAAAUGAUAAAACAUAAUAUCAUAUGAAAAAUAAUAUUUAUUUCAUGUGGAAGCAUCAAAAUAUCAAAGCAAAAGCGAGUGGGUAUAAGCCCUACAAAACCAAUUUCUUCCAAAUCAACUAAAAAUCAAACUUUUGGACACAAGGAUGAAAGAAUAUCCUUGUUCAAACCCCACAUACCUAAAUUUCUUGAUUUCUUGAAUAAAAAUUUAAAUUUGGAGCCUUGAAAGUUGAAAUUUGGGAAGAAACUCCAAUUUUUUUCUCUUAAGAGUAGAGAGAAGAAUAAGCAUUAAAAGGUGACUAAUGAUAAGAAUAUAUCAUUUAUAAGGUGAUUUAAGUUGUGCAAAAGUGUUAGAGGUGAAGAAAAGACCAAACUACCCAUAAGAAAAUUUAAAAUAUUAUACAGAAAUUUCUAAGUUUACAACUAAGUUGACAGCUUGUCAGUUUGUUGAUAACUUGUCAACUUAGUCGUCAAUCUCUAGUUGGAGUUGGACAAUUUUUGGUUAAGGUUAAUGACUUAGUUUACAACUUGUCAACUAGUUGCAGGCUUGUCAACUUAGUAUUCACCUUCUCUAAAUAAUUUAAGGUCUUUUCUGGUUAAGGUUGAUGACCAAGUUGACAACUCAUCAGCUCAAGUCGUCACUUUCUCAAAGACAGACACUCCCAGGUAAAAUAAAAAACACUUUCUGUUUCGAUAUCAGAUUAAGGUAAAGUUAGAUGCGUUGAAAAAAAGACUCAAAGAUAUUUAAUAUUAUGGAUAUUGAUCUCCAAAAAUAUAUAUAUUAAAGAAGUUACAUUUAUUUAAAACUAGCCCUUGUAGGACCAAAUACUAAAGCAUAAUCAAUACAAAUUUUCUCAACUCAACUUUUCUCUAAGAGCUCCCUAUGACCAUAAUCGAAUUAAAAACACUUUACACACAUGUUGAAAGUCAUGAAACUUAUAUAUGAUUAAAAAUAAUCGUCGUUGAUCCUUUGAACAUGAGACAAACAGUUAGAAACUUAGCUAGGACUCUAUGGGGUAUUACACUUUUGGUCUUUUAUGAUUUCUAUUUGCUGUAUAUCUUUCUUAAAGUUGUAUAAUUACGUAUUCAUAUUUAUUACAACGUAUUCUUUUUCUUAUUCAUUUAUGUUUAUCAUUUCUUGUAUUUCUUCAUGUAUCAAUAUUUUUUUUUGCUAGCUUUGUAUUUAUAAUUGUUACCUUUAGCACAAUUUAAUGAAACAUUAGUGUCUAAUUUUUUUGAAUUAUUUUUUUGGUUAGCUUAACAUUUACACUUUUUGCCUUUAGUACAUUUUACCUAAAAGUUGGUGUCUAAUUCGUUUGAAUUAUUUUUUAGAUAUCAAAAUUUAGUCGGGAUAGGUAUUGUUGUUAUUGGGUUCUGAGUAAUAUUUCUAGAUAGCACAACCCCAUCCCUGGUGAGAAGAUAUCUUCCAUUAUUCUGUAAUAAAAAGUCUAAUCCUAAUACAAAAUCUACUGUAAUGUUUAAUUCUCUUACCCAUAUUUUAUCGAGCUUAUAUGAGGGUUAUAAAAACUAUUACAAGUAUUAACAAAAUUUAUCAUUGCUUUACUUAUAUAGUGUCUAUAUAUGUUGGAACCAUCCAUUUGCAUGGAUGUUUGUGAUUUGGGUACUUCUUUUAUUAAAUUCAAUGGUAGAAUCCUUUUAUUUAUUAUACUUCUUGUAUGUCCAGAGUCUACUAAAGCUAAGAUUUCUAUUUCAUAAUCUUGAAUUUUUAUCCUUGCUAAAAUUUUAGUAGUACUUAUCUUUUUGUUUUCAUUACAAUUAACCCUUCAUAUGAGGUAUUCAUUAGCACUUCUUCUUCUGUAACUUUUUUUAUUUUAUCCAUUCUCGUUUCUAGUCUAUUCAUUCUUUCUACUAGUGUUGCUAUUUUUAUUUUCGUUGUAUCAUUUAGAGGUGGGUUAUAGGUAUUUUCUUUAUCUAGGUUGUAACCUUUCAUCCUCGGUUCUAAUAUUUUUUCUAUGUAGGGAAUACAUCCUUCUAUAUAACAAUUUUUACAUUUUACCCUUAUAUUUUUGCUUGGGUACCAUCGACAUAUGUAGCAUUGGCUACUAUCUAAUCCUUUGCCUUUUUCAAAACUUAUGCUCAUAAUUUUGUGUUAUCUUAACCAAGUCAUGAUUGUCUAAUUCUGUUUAGUCUAGUUUUCCGAAUCAUAUUUCAUUUAUCAACUUUUAUCCUUCGGAGUCCAAAGAGUUUUAUUUAGGUUCUUCAGUAGCGUCUAUAUUUAUGAUAGAAUACUUUCAUUAUCUAGCGUAUAUUCGUCUACAUCUAUCAGGGUUUCUUGAAAAUCAUCUAUUAAGUGAGCAUUUCUUAAUCUACUAUUAUUUAUAUUUGGAAAAGUAUUUUCUAAAGGAUCUAUACUCCCACAUGUAAAAUAUUCAAGUCUAUUCUUAUAAUUUCAGUAAUUAUAAUUUUUUCUUACACGUCUACGUUUAUUUAAGUAUGGUGUUCUUGCUGAUGAUUUUCUUAGGUAAUACCUUUUCCUAGGAUAAUAUUCUAUUUUGAAUUUUUUAUAAUUUUUCUUCUGUUGAUAGUCUUGGUUGCAAUUUUGUGUAGCUUAUAUAAUUCUACAAAAAAUUAUCUCGAUUUGUUUUAACUAUUUAUGUAUUUGUAUAUUUGUACAUUUUUCUUUCAACACUUUCAUAACAUGUAUUUUUUGUUCUAUCGAUCAUUUUGCCUCUGGAUUUUAUAUUACUUCUUUUCUUUUAUACCACUUUUCUACUAUUUCUCUUCCCAAAGCCUCUGACAGUUUAUUAAAAAGUUUCUUUUCUAAAUUUUGGUCAAAAACAUUUCCACUAAUAGCAUAGUAAUAAAAAUAAUCACUUGAAUACCGGAGAUACUUCCCAUUAAUUAUUUAAUACUUUCUAUUUCAUCUAUAAUAAACAUUGUUUCUAGAUCACUAUCUUCUUGUUUUUCAUCUGUUAACCAAUGUUUAUCUCUAUUUCCAUAAUUAUCCAUUCUUAAUUCUCAUCCUUUAAAAUGUUCUUUAAUUUUUGUAAAAUUUAAAUUUUCAACUUUACAACCUUAACAUUUAAAUGUUUGAUCAUUAUUUAUCUUAUACAUAGUUUUUGCUUUUAUUAUAACUUCAUCUACUUUGAAUUCUGAUUCUAGUAUUAUCUUUAUAUUCAUAAAUUCAGUAUUAUCACUUUUUUUUAAUUCUUCAUCGAUUUCUUUUUUAUCUGUAUACCUAUAAUCCGUAAAUCUAAUAGAAGUUUCUCCUUUAUUAUUUGUAUACAUUAAGUGAUUAUUUGGUUUUGAUUUUUACUAAAAUUUUCUAAUUCUAUUCCAAUCCAGUAUAUUCUUUCGAGUUAUGUAUAUGUGUGUAUGUAUAUAUAUAUAUAUAUAUAUAUAUAUAUAUAUAUAUUCAAUGAACCCAAUGGAUUUUGUUUAUUCAAAGUAUUUUUGUUAAAAGAUCACCAAAUAUGAUGUUAGCUUUAGAAAGGAGAAAAAUAGAAGGUCUAAUUUGAGUCUAGGUUAACUUUUGUUUUUGGGUAGACUGAGUUUUUCUCAUUCUAUGUUUAGUUGUGACACGAUUCCUAACUAAUUAUCAUGUUUCUUUAUUCAUGACAUUAGAAGAGCGUAUGAUGGUCAUGAAGAAGUUGUGGAGGAGAAGGAGAAGAGCUUGGAGACUAAGGUUUCAUAAAGAAUAACAAAGAGUUGAAUAAAUUUUGUUAUUUUUUUAAUGUUAAGGUAUAUAUCCAAAGUACUUGAUGAAGACCUUAAUCUUAGUCAUUUGGAUUUUAAUUAUUAUAUUUGUUUAUUUUUGGAUAAAGGUUUUUAGAGGAGAAAAAAUGGAUUAUUGCAGGUCUGAUCUUUUGUUUUAGAAAUUUGUUAAGGUAGUAGAUAUAGUAUUUGAUGAAAGUCUUAAUCUUAAUCCUUUAUAUUUUAAUUAUUAUAUUUAUUAAUUUUUGUAUAGAUAUUUUUUAGGAGCUUUAGAGUACUUUUUUCCCAAGACUAAGAGGUCAUGUGUUCAAUUCUUGGAAAUAACAUCUGACAGAAAUGCAAGGUAAGAUUAUGUAAAAUGCACCCUUUUGGUGGGACCCUUAUUGACUUGGUGCAUAAUCGGAGUUUUAGUGCACCAGACUGUUCUUUAGAUUUUUGAAGGAGAAAAAAUUUUUGAAUUAGAUUUUUGUAGAUUUGAAGAUAGCUUUAUAAUGUUAGUUUUUAGGUAGAUUGAUGUUUUUUCUUUCAAUGUUUAGUUUAGAUUCGUAUUGAUUAUAUUUUUUUUUCUAAUAGUUUGUACUUCAAACUAAUUAACAUAUUUCUUUAUUCAUGUUAGAAGUGCGCAUGAUGGUCAUGAAGAAGUUCAUGGAGGAGAGGGAGAAAGGCUUGGAGACUAAGGCUGCGAAAAAGAUAACAAGGAGUUGAAGAAUUUUUUUUUAUAUGUUAAGGUAUGUAGAUGAAGUAUUUUAUGAAGUUCUUAGUCUUAAUCCUUCAGAUUUACUUAUUAUACUUGUUUAUUUUUGGAUUGAAGUUUUCUAGAGGAGAAAAAGUUUUUGAUUAUAUCUAGAUCUUAAUCUUUUGUUUUUUUUUAAAACCUUAUUAAGGUAUGCAUACAGAGUAUUUAAUGAAGAUCUUAAUUUUAAUCAUUCAAAAUUUUAAUUAUUAUUUUUGUUUAUUUUUUUGAUGGAGAUUAUUUAGAGGAUAAAAUGUUUUUAAAUUAGAUUUUUGUAGAUUUGAAUCUUAAAGGAUAACAUUUGAAAGGAGAAAAAUAGAAGCACAAAUUUGAAGUUAGCUUUAUGAGUUAUUCUUUAGGUUGACUGAUUUCUUUUUUUAAUAUUUAAUUGUGACUCAAUUUUCUUUAUAUUAUUUUUCUAAAAGUUUGAAAAACUAACAUAUUAACAUUUUUCUUUAUUCAUGUUAGAAUAUUAUAUGAUGGUUAGGAAGAAGAUGUUUGGUGAGAAAGGCUUGGAGAUUAAGAUUGAAGAAAGGAUAAUAAGGAGUUGGAAAAGAAGGAGGAGGAGCUAUACUUAUGGAAAUAUAUAAUGACCUGAAUUGUGAAAUCUUAUUUUUAUGUGUUUUGACCAUUAUUCUCUUUUUCAUAGUUUCUACAUAUUGAUUUUGGGGUAUGGGGAUGAUUGACAUGGUUCCCGAUGUGAUCGAAAAUGAUUUGCCGAGUUUGUAAUUUUUAGAGAUUUUAAAAGUCAUAUAAUUGACUUUGGUCAAUAUUUGAUGUAUUGAGUAUCAUAUGGUGAAUUGGAUAGUUACAUUAAGUAUGAAACAUCAAAUUCGGGUUAGUAGUAAGGUUGGGUUGGAUUCAGAACCUUUAUUUUGUGUUUCGAUUCUUCAUUUGAAAAAUUAUCUAAAAGUGGUCUCAAGGAAUAAUUUAUUGAAAAAAAUCUAUUUUUUCAAAAACCCGACAUCGUCAUUUUAUCCAGAAUAUUUAAAAUAGCCCGGUAGCAUAUAUGGUUUACUUCUAUCGGGUUCUGAAUGAAUCCUGAGAGUCCAUUCAGAGGUUUUGGAAGUCAUGAAAAUCAACAUUUUUACUGAUAUCUGGUUUAAAGGGAAUCCUUCUUUGCGAAUGAGAGCCCCAGUACACGAACAUGAAGAAGGAAUUAAUCCUUCAUCAUAAUUGCGAUGGUGGGGCUGCAAUCACAAAGUGUAGUUGAGUCAGAUUAGGGGUUUUCCUUCUUCAUGAACGCGACAGGGCUUUCACAAAUAUGCUAGUCUGGGUUAUGGACCAUUACAAAUGCAUAGGCCAAUUGAUUGCCUAAUCAAAGUUGAACCUCACAAUCUCUAGAUACUAUUUAUAGAAUAAUACAUAAGUUUCAAUUUUGUGAUUUUGCUCUAUUUUUUGACGUCCAAGUUUGAAAAAAAUUAUUUUUGAGGUUUUCUUCAUUGUGUUUCAUUUGGGUAACCUCUAAAUCAUAUUUUGAUUAUUUUUCAUUGACUACAUAUUCAAAAAUACCUUUUAAUCAUAAUUUUGAAAUGGGUGUUUUGAGGUUUUACCAGUAAAGCUUUAAAAUGAUUUUUCUUCAUUUAUACCCCAUUUUCAUGUGGCCUUUUAGACUCCUAUAAACUUGGGGAAUAUAUAUCUAAAACAAAAUUAUGAUUUUAUCUCUUUCAUUUUCGAGCUCGUUUGUUGCACUCAUUUUUGACUUGGCCCAAAUAUGGGCAAUAUGAGUAUCAUUAGCUUUUUAAUGUGUAAAUGCUAUAUUUGAAUGUUAUAGUUGAUUUUAAGGCCGUUCAAAAGAGGAAAACUCCAUGUUGAAGCACUUUAAGCUUGAAUUUUGUCAUUUCGAGGUAGGUUAUAUCUUAAUUUGUUUCAUAUUGAGCUAGGUAGUUAAUAAAUAGGUAAAUCAUGUUAUUGUUUAUGAAAAAUAACUAUGGACUUUAUACUUUAAGAUUAUUAUUUUUGUUGAAUGCCCUAGUGGGGGCUUACAAUCUGUUGUUGUUGAUUUUUGAUAUCUGAUAUUGCGUGUUGCUCGUUUGUGGUCUGUAUUUGGGGUGAUUGAUCUUAUUUGUAGAUUUAAAUACCAUUAUUCUAGAUAUAAUGCACGUGCGGGGGCUCAAACUAUUAUUAUAAGUCUUAUUAAGCAUUAAUUGCCUUAUCAUGAUAGAAAUACACGAGUUAAGGUUUAAUAUGAUAUUUACAGUGUGUUGCAUACAUAUAUAUUCCAAUGGUGCUUAAUUAGAGUUGAUAAUCACAAAUUGUGGACAUAUUGAGUUGAUUUCAGUGAUCACUUAUGGGUAAUGGAUUGGAAAUCUUCAUACUGAUUUGAUUUUGAGAAUUAAAUCCUCAUUCCAUACAUAUACAUUCAUGAGAUAUCAGUACCAUUAAGGAAUACUAUUUUCGAAAGAAAAUGAGAUAGUUUUAUAAAAUUCCUCUCCGUGAAUAUGAGCUAGAAAAAUGGGUUGAGGUUUUAGAUAUGAGUCAUCGUAUAUGGGUCGUGAACCCUCAAUGGGUCCUAUCAUGAGAGAUGGAAGCUCAUUAGGUGUAUACAAAAAGUCAUGCGAUGAUUUUUAAUAUUCAUUCCAUCAUCAUUACAUUGCAUAUCCAUCUUUCAUUAUUUUUUAGUUUCUCUUGACUUGAGAGUUAGUUUCCAUAUGUUCUUUGUGUUUAGUAUUUAUAUUAGAAUUGUUAUUGGAGACAACGUGAGCUAUGAUUUGGGAACUUUUCUGUUUGCGAGUGACGUUCUCAUAGUUUUCUGUAUUUUUUAUUCUGUCCUUUUCUCAGUCAACCUAUGAUUCCUACUGAGUACAUGUGGAUCAUACUUCUCUUAUUGUGUCUUUUUGAUGCAGGUUCUAGUUUGAGUAGCACACUUGACGACUGAUCUUGUGUGGAAUUUUAGGAUUUUUGAGAUACUGAUAUGUUCUGGAGUUAGGGCUAAUUUGGACCUCAUCCAUCUUUAGUCGUCUUUAUAUCUUUUAGAGAUAGACUUUGUAUUUCGGAUUUGGUUAUGUAUUUAGAUGCUCUUAUACUAGUGACAUCAGGUUUAGGGAUGGUUAUAUUUGUUUAGGCUUCCAUAUUUGUAUAUAAUAUGGUGUGACCUCUUUGUAGAAGUCUCGCCUUGAUUUAUGUUAUAAUUGAUUUUGUUUUUUCUAUUAGUUUGGGUGAUUGACUUACUUAUCAAGGAUGGGCCAUGUUAAGUGCCAUCUUGACCCAUUUUCGGGCUUUGAAAAAUUUAUAUUAAAGGAUAAAAUAAGAGUAGAAUGUCUAAUAUAGUCUCAUGAAUUAGUCCAUUGAUGUUUGCAUCUAUCCUCAAGAGGCUAUAAGAUAUCUUUAUGAAACACUUCUCUAAAUUGAUUCCUUGUUAUACAAGUUGUUCAUACCCAAUGUUCUAAACUUGUACUGCAUUUUUUUCGUAGAUGGUAAGAACUUGGCCUGGAGAGGCUAUAAAUGCUAAGCUAGCAUUCAAUAUAGGAGCCCUGAUUCAAUGAUGGCAUAUAGGUCGUGGUCAACCCAGAGGUAAAUGAAGUACAUGAGGAUCUACCCGUAGUUAGAAGAUAUGCAAGGGAAGCCUAUGUCGAGCCCGAGAUUAUGUACUUUGAGGGCGAUUAUCAAACCGUGAGUGUGGGGCCAGCUUAGGAUCCACUGAGUUCAGUCAACACCACAGUGAUUUUGAGUCUUUUGGUUCUUCUCUUGAGUCAUUUGUAGGGUGUUACCUUAAGUGUACCUUGAAUUCCUCAGACUUCGAGUGAUGUUACACCCACAGUGCCGACAUCUACCUAUGGUAUUCCUACUUCUGGGGUACAACCAUCAUCUAUGAUACCCCCCACAUGUGGACUCUUUUCCUACUAGACUUACUCUUUCUCCAGUUUUUUUGGGGUACAACUAUGCCUUUUGAUAGGUUUAUUAGCUUGGGUCCACCCAAGUUUUGUGGAGCUAUUGGAGAGGAUACCUACGUCAUGACCCAAACUAGGGCCUAGCCAUAAUGGACAUCUCAAGUCCACCGAGGACCGGAGACUGCCCCCUGAUCCUAUUUCAAUGCAACUAAGUAUAUCUAGAAGAGGACUAAUACUAAUGUAAUAUAAAAUGUAAUAAGAAAUCCAAGAAGGAUCCGUAUCAGGUAAAAAUCUAAAAACCAUCCACAAUACAUAAGUCCAUAAUACCCAUAAAACUUCUAUAAAAAUCGAGUACUGAUAAAGUGUCGGGACAUGCCCCCGACCAUAGAAAAACAAACAUGAAAUAAAGUCCAUGAAAUAAGAAACAAAACGUGACAUAAAGUCUUCCGAAGGAUGGAAGCUCACCAAUUCAAGUCAACUCAUGAACCAAACACGAACCCCUGCUGUGCUGGAGGAGUAGAAGUAUGGCCAAUUCCUGCAUUACGUAGGGAUAUAGCAUCUAAUGACAGUUAGUAGUUGAAGUGCUAGCAUUUAACUCAGGGAUAAGGGAACAAAUAAUGCCAAGCGUAAUAAUUCAAAACCAAUCAAAAUUUAUGCACAUCAUCAAAUGUAAAUAAAUAUAUAUAUAUAUAUAUAUAUAUAUAUAUAUAUAUAUUUAUCACAUGCUGGGAUAGGGAACAAGGCUUAACAUAGACAUUUUAAAAAAUAUUAACCUAUACUGUGUAGCUUAACCAUCAUAUAAUAGUACCCACGGGCUAUAUGCGCUCCAGCUUUGAACCCUUAGUCGACCCCCAGAGAGUGUAGCCACACGAAUUAGAUAAUAAUCUCAUAAAUAUUUACGGGGAACUCGAACCUCCCAAUCAUAUAUUAAGGUGACUUAAGAACCCGAUCAUGCAAUGUAAUAUAGGGGACUCGAACCUCCAAAUCAUAUAAUAAAGUGGACUCAAACCACCUGGCCUUAGAAAAAGGACUCGAGCCCUCAAGCCAUAUCAACCCCUGCACCGACUAGCGCGGUUUCUAGUAUUCGUCCCACCUCCACCUCUACCUUCUAUAGUUAGCUACAAAACUCUCUUUUCAGCCGUAUUAAAAUAUUUACCACAUAUUCUCAUUAAUUGAACCAAUUAUUCAUUAAGGCAUCCCAUCGGUAUCAUCAUACCAACAUCACUUGCAAGUUCAAUAUUAUGCCGUAUCAACUUAGCCAUUUGGGACUCUAACCCAUUAAAUCAAUUGACAUUCACACAGGGAAUCUAUAUACCCCAAGUUCAUUAACUUUUUAUACCAAAGCAUUAAUUCAAGUGAACAAACCAAACUAUGUGACAAAAUUAUAUUCAUUAUCAAUUUCACAAACAUGUUGAAGGCACAUUGUUUUCAAACCAUAAAUUAAGGCAAAAUAAUCAAAUUGGUGUUUAAGCAUUUCUUCUAAGUGUAUUCACCAUUACCAUGCACCCCACAAUGUUCAAAAUCAAUUAUAAAACAUAAAUAUGGCAUAAUAAACCAUACAAAAAAAUCAAUUUAAUGACCAAUCAUGUCAAAAGCCCUUAGCUAUGCCAAAACCCACGUCAAAACCUUGAAUUUAUAAUCAAUUCAUCCCAUUAAGAAAAGUAUAAGUAUAGGGAAAGAGAUACAUACCUUAGACACACAAAUAUUAGCAAGCAAUUGAGAAUUUGGAACCCUAAUGAUGAACAUAAGUUGAAACGCUUAUGCUUUCUUGGUUGGAGUUUGAGAGUGAAAUAAUUAAUGUUGUGUUAUAAAAAUUGAUGGGAAUAUGCUUAUGUAAUAUUUAAAGUGAAAGGACCUCAUUACCCAUCAUCGCAUUUAAAAUAGAACAAAUCAAACAAAAUUUGCAUAGGUUCAUGGCACAAACCUCAUUGCGGAGGCUAUCCUCUAUUCCACGGACCUUAUCGCGGGAACCUAGACUCCGUGACACGGAGGAUAUCACGUAGCUAGCCUCCAUGAGAUGGGGCUAUCCCAGAGGAUUAAUGCCUCAGGGACCUAAAAAUGCCUCGAAACUCAUUCAAAAGUUUUAAAAGUCUUCCGAGUUACCCUUUUAACAUCUCCAAACAUAAUUUGGGAAAAAAAUUGAUAUUUCAAGCAAAGAAAGGCCAAAUAUAAAAUACCUGAAAUUUCAAGGGUGUUACAUUACCACCCUCAUAGGAUCAUUCAUCCUCAAAUGAUGAGUUAGGACACAUUUCACAAAAGGAUGAUAUCAACAUACAUCAGAAUCAAAAGAUAAGCCCUGACAACAACAAAGGGGAAUGAAAUUCAUACCUCAAGCUUUUUCAUCUGUCACAUAGAAUAGAAAUGGAUACUUAUCCUUCAUAUCCUCUUCUGCCUACCAAGUGGCUUAUUCCACUUUGUGGUUCCUACAAAGGGCCUUUACCAAUGAUACAACUUUAUUAUGCAAUCUACAAACUUAUCUAUCCAAGAUCUCCAUCGAGACCUCUUCAUAAGACAGGGAAUCUGAUACACUAACAUUCUCAAUAGGAAAACCAAGGAAGGAUCACACACACAUUUCCUCAACAUGGACACGUGAAACACAGGGUAAAUAGAACCCAAACUCACAGGCAACUAUAAAUCAUAAGCAACACUUCCCACUCUUUUCAAAAUCAAAUAAGGAUCGAUGUAAUGGGGAUUGAGCUUUCCCAUCUUUCUAAAAUUCAUCACUCCCUUCAUGGAAGACACCUUUAAGAACACCCUAUCAGCCACAUCAAAUAUCAACUCUCUUCGGCUGACGUACGCAUAGAUCUUUUGGCGACUUUGGACAGUCUUAAGCCUAUACCGAAUCACCUUCACUUUCUCCAUAACUUAAUGGACUAAAUCAAUACCGAGCAACGUCGCCUCACCAACUCCGAACCACCCAAUAAGGGAUCUACAUCUCCUACCACACAAAGCCUCAAAAGGUGUCAUACAAAUGCUAAAGUGAUAGUUAUUAUUACAGGAGAACUAAAAAAGAGGUAAGUGGUCAGCCCAAUUACCACCAAAGUCUACUACACAAGCCCGAAGUGUAUCCUUUUAAGUCUGAAUGGUCCUUUCAGCUUGUCCAUCCAUCUACAGGUAGAAAAAGGAGUUAACGGUCACUUUAGUCCCCAAACCUUGCUAAAACGAACACAAAAAAUGAGAAUGAGAACUUAGUACCACAAUCAACAAUAAUGGAAAUAGGAGUACUAUGCAACUUCACGACCUCUUGAAUAUACAAUAUUGCAUGAUACUUAGCAGAAUAAUUAGUUCUCACUGGUAUGAAAUGAGCAGACUUAGUAAUCCUAUCCACGAUGACCCAAAUAGAAUCAAACUAGUUACGACACUAUGGAAGACCGGUAACAAAUUCCAUAUUUAUCACUUUCCAUUUACAUACAGGCAACUUAAUUUAAUGAGAUAACCCAUCAGGCCUCAAAUGUUCCACUUUCACUUAGUUACACACCAUGCACUUAGCCAAAAAAUUGGCCAGCUAUCUUCAUAUUAUUCUAUUAAUAAAUUUCCUUAAGGUCAUGGUACAUCUUAGUGGAACCAAGAUGAACCAAAUAACACAACUCAUGAGCUUUGACCAAAAUUCUACCUCGCAACCCAUCCAUAUUGGGAACACACAACCUCUCUUGGUACCUCAAAGUACCACUACCACCAAUCUCGAAAGCUAUCAACUUUUUCCUACCCACAUUAUUGUUGAUUUGCAUCAAGAAGGGUCCAACACCUGCUUCUCCUAUACCUCAAUGCCAAGAGAUGACUUUGCCCCCUCUUGCAAAAACACACCACCAUUCUCAGAAUCUAAUAGACGAACUCUGAGAUUAGCAAAAUGGUGAAUAUCCUUCACCAAAUGCCACUUUUUUUCUUCCAUUUGAGAUAAGCUCCCCAUAGAUAACCUGCUAAGAGCAUCAUCAACCACAUUAGCUUUACUUGGGUGAUAGUGGAGACUUAUGUCGUAGUCUUUGAGCAACUCAGUCUAUCUUCUUUGCUUGAGAUUCAACUCUUUCUUGGUAAAUACAUAUUAUAGGCUCUUAUGAUCUUAAAAGAUGUCAACAUGGACCCUAUAUAGAUAAUUCUGCCAAAUCCUCAAUGCGAAAACUACUGCCAAUAGUUCCAAAUCAUGAGUCAAAUAAUUUUUCUCAUGAACUAUCACCUACCUAGAAGCAUAUGCUAACACCAUGCCACGCUGCAUCAAAACAUAAAUAAGUCCCAUACGUGAGCAUCACAAUAAAUAACAAAACCAUCACUACCUUCGGGUAGGGUCAAAACUAGAGAUUAUUUUUCAGCCUCUUUAAACUCCCUUCACAAGCAUCGGACCAGAGAAACUUUACCUUUUUCUGAGUCAACCUAGUCAAAGGUGCAACAAUCGAUGAAAAGCUCUCUACGAACCUCCCAUAAUAACUUGCUAAACCCAAGAAGCUCUAAAUAUCGGUUGGAGUCAUAGGUCUACGCCACUUCAUUACCACUUCAACCUUCUGUGGAUCCACCAUGAUCCUUUCACUAGAAAUAACAUGACCCAAAAAAGUGACAACAUUCAACCAAAACUCACACUUAGAAAACUUACCAUACAAUUGCUGACCUUUUAGGGUCUGCAACAUAACACGGAGGUGAUUGACAUGAUCCACCUCAUUUUUUGAAUAUACCAGAAUAUCUUCUAUGAACACAAUCAUGAACAAUUACAAAAA